UGUCGGUGAAGGGGAGCAAGCGCGUCAAGUGGACGGAGAUGAAGCGCAACUGGGGGCAAGUGUGGCAGACCGGGGAGGACCUCACCUGCGAGUCGCUGACGUUCCGGGUGAUGACCAGCGACCACCGCAAGGCCACCUCAUGGCACGUUCUCCCCGCUGACUGGAAGUUCGGCGUCACGUACCAGGCAUCCAAGAACUUCUAAGUAGCCACUUUCCCUCCUCUUCUUCAUCCUGCAUAUGCCCACAAGCAACCAUGCAAAUGAUAACAUGCAUCAUGCAUGCAUAUUCAUUCUUUCGCUCAUGCACUCCAAUAUGGUGCCGGAGUUAAAAAAAUGUAAAUCAAUGUGCAAACUCAAAUGACAUCUUAACCAGUUGUGAUCAAUCUCAACCGCUAAUGCAUUGCACACACCGAAUGAAGCUACCAUCCACUGCUGGAACAGGCUGAUUUAUCGAAUACUUGGCAAAAAGCCAAAUUCUUAGUGAUCUCCACUAUUUAGGCCUUGUGUUGCAUCAAAUGAAGUAACUUUAAGAGUCUCUCUAUAUUCUUUCCAAUUAAUAUAAACAGAUUUUUUUAAAAAAAAACCUCCAACAACUUAUCUAAAUGGCUACCUAAAUAUAACUGUUGGGGGCAUGCUUCUUCACCGAAGGUCCUCCAAGCAAAUACACCUUCGGCAGUAUGAUAUGCGAACUGACACAGCAUGAAGGCACAAGCAAAAGCUACAACCCAGAAAGCUUUGGCAUAAUGACGCGCCUUGAGACGAAGGGCGGCACCGACUUAAAGAGGAAAAGAUCGUUUAGUCCCUAAUAGUUUGUGUCGCAUUUGUAAUUUGUCAUGAAGGACAUAAAUGUAAUUUUGACCGGGCUGCAUCCCGCGCCUAUAAAUAGGUGAACAGUAACCCUGUAUUGUUCACGCUGACUUGUAUUCACUCACACGUCACACCUGGAUUUUUACCUUCUAUCAAGCCGAAGGUACAAAUAUAACUUGAUAUUGUUCAUGCUUAUUCAUGAUAGUAUAAUAAAAAUGUUCUGAUGAUGUCAUAUGACUAUUCAUGUUAUUUUACAUGUUUCAUAUGCUUCUACUUUCAUUAUUAUAUGCUGAAAUGAUGAAGGUACGUCCUUCAUGACCUUCGUCUGAAGAUCAUUAUAUCCUAAAGGAAAUAAUGCUUCGAAAGACGAAGGUCUUUAACCAUUAACAUUUUGUGUUGCCUUGUUCUUAAUUCAUAGCAUUUGAGAACAAGUCCCCAACAUUGGCGCCCACCUCCAGUGAACUCACUUCCACUGUUGAGCUGAUGGCUUCGUUCAACAACCAAGUCGUAGCACCUUCGGCUAUGAAGCUGGUGCUCCCAAUCACGGGCGGUUCAAGCACAGAGCCAGCUAACAAGAAGCAGAAGAAGGAAGCACAGAGAAGAGUGCAGCAUGUUGGGGUGCAAGGACCCUUCAUCAGGUCCAAGUGGUCCCACAUCCCAAUCACCUUCUCCAGGAGGAUCUUGAGCUAAAAGACUAUCCUCACAAUGAUGCUAUGGUCAUAUCUUGUGUCAUCAAGGGUUUUCUGGUCCACAAUGUUCUGGUUGACACAGAUAGUGCAGCAGACAUUAUAUUUGCAAAGGCUUUCAGGCAGAUGCAAGAACUAGAUGACAAGAUUCAUGACGCUACACACCCUCUUUGUGGCUUCGGAGGACGAUAGAUUGUGGCACUUGGCAAAAUCACAAUGACAGUUACCUUCGGCUAUGUCCACAACACAAGAACUGAGCAAGUUGUUUUUGACAUUGUCGACAUGGAAUACCCAUACAAUGCAAUCAUUGGUCGAGGAACACUUAAUGCCUUCGAAGCAAUACUUCAUCCAGCAUACUUUUGCAUGAAGAUACCUUCGGAGCAAGGGCCCAUUGUUGUCCAUGGAAGUCAAGAAGCUGCUAGAAGGGCUGAAGGUAGUUGGACAGAUUCAAAGGCAAUACACAACAUAGAUGGAGCCGAAGCUUGUCAACAAUAUAAACACAAAAGAAAGAAGGCUGCUUCGGCAGAUCAGCCGAAGCCUAUGCUUUUAUGUGAAGAUAUAGCAGAUCAAAAGGUACUGCUGGGGUCUCAGUUAUCUGAUGAGCAGGAAAAAACUUUGAUAAGAUUUUUGUUCAACAACAAAGAUGUCUUCGCUUGGACAACCAAUUAUCUCUGUGGUGUCAACAGAGAUGUCAUUGAGCAUUCACUUAAUGUGGAUCCGUCUUUCAGGCCAAGGAAGCAAAGACUUCGGAAGAUGUCUGAUGAUAAAGCUGAAGGUGCCCGGAACGAAGUAAAGAGGCUUCUCAGUGCAGGAGUUAUCAGAGAAGUAACAUAUCCAGAAUGGCUAGCUAACACUGUUAUGGUGAAGAAAGCUAAUGGCAAAUGGAGAAUGUGUAUUGAUUUCACAGAUCUCAACAAAGCAUGCCCAAAGGACGAAUUCCCAUUACCAAGGAUAGACUCCCUUGUAGAUGCAGCAGCUUCUUUGGAGCUCAUGAGUCUACUAGACUACUAUUCAGGUUAUCAUAAAAUAUGGAUGAAGAGGGAAGAUGAGCCAAAGACUAGCUUCAUAACCCCUAGCGGCACUUAUUGCUACCUUCGGAUGCCUGAGGGGCUCAAGAACACUGGAGGAAGAUUCAGUAGAAUGACAUCCAAGGUCCUUCAUUCUCAAAUAGGCAGGAAUGUGCUGACUUAUGUUGAUGACAUCAUAGUAAAGAGCACGAAGCAAGAGAAUCACAUUGCUGACUUGCAGGAGACAUUUGCCAAUUUCAGGCAAGCGGGUCUGAAAUUAAAUCCAGAAAAGUGUGUUUUUGGAGUAAAGAAGGGCAAGUUCCUUGGCUAUCUGGUAUCAAUGAAGGGAAUCAAAGCUAACCCCAAUAAGAUCGAAGCUAUCCUUCGGAUGGAGCCGCCAAAUACAAAAAAGAGGGCCCAACGGCUGGCAGGAAGACUGGCAUCAUUAAAUAGAUUCAUAUCUAGAUCAGCAGAAAGAAAUCAGCCAUUCUUUGAAAUACUGAAGUCAACCGAAGUUUUUCAAUGGGGUCCGGCUCAGCAAAAGCUUUCGAAGAGUUAAAGCAAUACUUGAUAGACUUGACAACUCUAACCCCACCUUCGCCAGGGGCUCCAUUACUCUUAUAUGUAGCAGCCUCUCACUCUGCAGUCAGUGCAACGCUUGUACAAGAAAAGCAAGAUGGCCAAGUUAAAAAAACAAGCACCAAUAUAUUUUGUCUCCGAAGUUCUAAGUUUGUGAAAGAAAAAUUAUACAGAAUUGGAGAAGGUACUAUAUGCCGUGUUGAUGGCCUCCAAGAAGCUUCGACACUGUUUUCAAGCAUAUCAUAUAAUUGUUCUUUCGUCACAACCUCUAAAGGACAUAAUGAGAAAUAGAGAAGCUACUGGGAGGAUCGGAAAAUGGGCUGCCGAGCUCAAUGAAUUCUUUAUUGAUUAUGUUCAUAGAUCCUCAAUUCAGUCUCAGGUCUUAGCAGACUUCAUUGCUGAUUGGACGCCAGGGGCUCAGGAAGAAGAAGCAACAAAAGACGCCGAAGCCUGGACAGUUUAUAGAGCACAUCAAUAAAAGAUACUAUAGAAGGGACCAGACUUUAGGCUAUAGAGCACAUCAAUAAAUAUGAGGCCGAAACAAUAAAGUGGCGUGAUAGAAAAGUUCGAUUGAAAAACAUCAAGCCAGAGCAUUUGGUGCUUCGGAGAGUGGCCAACCCAGACACAGUGGGCAAGUUGCAACUAAAGUGGGAAGAUCCUUUUCUGGUAGUAUCUUCGUCAAGACCCGGUUCUUACAGAUUGAAGGAUAUUAUACCACCCCACUGGUCACACACAUUGGAUGUUACCAAAACUCCUCCCACUAAACUUAUGCAACACAAGAGAUGUAAUACAGAGAGAAAAUAUUGCAAAAUCUGGCAGCACCUCCUUUGAAACUAGCAUAACAAGGGGGGGACAUGUAGUUCAUAUAGGAUAUAAAGAUAGAUAAUUCACGUAGUAGAAUCUAAAUGCAAAAGUGGUAAAACACAUUCAUGACCCAACAGGAACAAAAAUGAGAUAAGUAACUCAGCCCACCCCAACAAAUAAACCGCUCAACCACCAAGAGAAGCUAGAACAUAGAAAUUCUCUAGACUUGACCCUCCCUGAUUAACAACAUUAUUAAGUAGUGGUUCCUUAAUUAAAAGUGUAGUGGCCGUGCUGCUACAUCCCUCUUUUCCCAAAGCAGAAAUUAGGUGCCUGCAUCAAACAAUGCAAGAGUGAGAUGACACAUCUCAGCAAGUAAACAUGUAACUAAUUACUUAACGCCAAGAAGAAUCACCAUGUAAAAAUCCAGAUUAUCCACAUCCACAUAAUAGAUUCCACACCUCUCCCAUGAAUGCACAUGGCUACAGAUGCAAUAAUGACUUCUCCCUCCAUAUCUCUAAGGAUAUGAAGCUGCAUCAUACCCCUUCUCGGGCAACAUAUGAUGCUCAAUGUACCGGUACGGUCGGACCAUAAGAUCGCGACGAAACUUCAAUGCAAUGGAUGAUGAAUGCAUUAUGCAAGUCAACAACAUGAGUUCUUCCCAAACAGAAUGUGCUAGACAUAUACUUCCACUUAUUCCACAUAAUAAACCACAUGGGUAACAUGAUCAAACCACAUACUCAACAUAUGUAAUCAGUAAAACAUGAAUAUCUUCCAACGAUGGUACUCAAUUAAAAGUAUGAAUACGAACACAACAGCACAACAUAAUCAAGUGUAAGACUCUUCAUUCAACAGAUAGAAUAAUCCUCACUGCUUUACUUGCCUUUACCGGAAGUUUGGGCAAAUCCCUAAGUACGGUCCGUAAGUCCACCACCUGUUUUUGACACCCAACUUAGUGCACCAAUAUCACAUAAUAAACCCAAAAACAACGCCGCACCUACGCGCAAUCUCAAACCCCGCCGCGGGUAACAAUUCUCCUCACACCCACCAAACUGCAGCGACGCUGCUUAACGAUUCCAUAACUUUAAAAUUAAGGCAGCAGUGGUGACAAAUAAAAACUCCAGAGACAACUAUAUAAAAUUCCCCACAAGUUUUGUAUACAAUUUAUGAUUAAAUUCUAACAUCUAAUUACCCCUAAACGGUCCACAAGAUAAACCCAGCAAUCUGUUUUUUCCUCUUUUGGGCAGCGACAUACCCGGAUUCAAACAGCGAUAACUUUUAAAAUAUAAUUCCGAAUCGAGCGCAUAAGUACUAGUUGGAAAGGUAAGACAAAGACCUACAUGAUUCUCAUAAUGAUUAACACUAAUUACUCACGAAACGUCCCCAGAAACUGCUAACACUGCUGCUGUUCGUCCACCUGAAAAAUCUGUUUUUUUGGACAGCCACAUACCCGGAUUCAAAUGGCUAUAUCUUUUAAUUUAUAACUCCGAAUUGAGCGCAUAAAUACUCGUUGGAAAGGUAUGCCAAAGUUCUACAUGAUUCCCAAAUUGAUUCCCAUUAACUCCCCACGAAAAAACCCAAAAACUGCUAGAAUUACUGUUGUUCGUCUGCCACCUAAAAUUCUGGACAGCCCCUCUACCCAAUCGCAUAUGCCACAUCUAAUCAAUUGGAUUGCAGCACAAAUGAACAGGAGAUGAACACAAAAAUCACCUUGGGUUCUCCCCCUUUCCUUCCUCCCUUCUUCCCUCCACCGAAAACAAUCGAAGAUUUGCACCACGCGACGUAGAUCCGAGCGGCAAUGAAAAGCACAUUGGGAGGAGGAGAUGGGGGGGCUAGGGUUUGGUGUGUGGCUGCAAGAGUUUGGAAAGGAGGAGAUGAGAGGGGGGCAGCCAAAGGUGGGGAGAAUGAGGGGGGUUAGGGGAAAAGGGGCGGCUAGGGUUAGGGAAGAUUAGUGGGCCGAAACACGAAUCGCGGCCCAACUCGCCCACGCGACAGCUCCUGACCCCGUCGCAAGCGCCCAACCAAACAAAUUCUACUACCCUACUGGUGAAUGAUUUUCCCCAAAUUCCAAAUUCCCAAAACGCAUCAACCGAAUGAGAAAAAAACAAAAAGAAUAACCUCCAACUUCCCUUCUUUGCAAAACGGGUAUCACACUCUACCCCCCUUAAAAAGAAUUCGACCUCGAAUUCUGACGCUUCUAUCGGAACGACAAAAGGAAAGAUUAAAGAAUCAACAACACUUACCCACAACAAAAAGUUCCGGAUACUUCUGUCGCAUCAGCUCGUCAAGUUCCCACGUAGCCUCGCGCUCAGACUGAUUAGUCCAUAAGACCUUGACAUACUUAAUUGAUCUCUUCCUCAAUGCACGCUCCGAGAAUUCCAAUAUACGCACCGGACGACACUCCAAAGUCAGAUCCUGCUGCACCGCAAUUGGUUCCAUCUCAUUCUGAUGGUCCGGAUCCCGCAAGAACUUUCUCAACAUAGAGACAUGAAAAACCGGGUGUACCCCUGCCAUGGAAUCCGGCAGUAGCAAGCGAUAAGCCAAGCUGCCCACUCGGGCCAAGAUAGUGAAUGGUCCAAUGUAUCUCAGGCUGAGCUUCCCAGAGACACCGAACCGCACAACUCCUUUAGUAGGUGAUACCCUGAGAAGGACUUGGUCACCCACAGCAAAUUCCAGAUCCCGCCUCCUCACAUCAGCAUAACUCUUCUGACGGCUCUGAGCUACCAAAAUAUUCUGACGUAUUUCCCGAACCUUUUCAGAAGUCUGCUGAACCCAAUCAGGACCAACCAGGGAUCUCUCUCCCAAAGUCUCCCAGCACAGAGAGGAGAUACACCGCCUGCCAUACAAAGCCUCAAAUGGUGCCAUCUUGAUGCUAGCCUGGUAGAUGUUGUUAUAAGCAAACUCUGCCAGUGCAAGAUGAUCCUCCCAGCUACCCUUCCAUGACAGAACACAAGCGCGCAACAUAUCUUCCAAGGUUUGGAUUGUUCGCUCUGACUGACCAUCAGUCUGAGGGUGAAAAGCGACACUAAGUGAAAGCUUGGUGCCCAAUGCACUAUGAAGACUCUCCCAGAAUUUGGAUACAAAUUUGGAGUCUCGAUCAGAAACAAUAGACUUAGGUACCCCGUGAAGCCUGACUACUUCCUUCAUAUACAAGGGAACCAAAUCUGAAGCUGAAUUUGUGGUCUUCAUGGGAAUAAAAUGCGCAGACUUAGUCAAGCGAUCCACUACCACCCAUAUGGCAUCCCUGCCACGGGGGGAACGAGGUAGACCCACCACAAAAUCCAUGGUGAUAUGCUCCCAUUUCUACUCUGGAAUUUCUAAUGGCUUCAGGAAACCAGCAGGACGCUUAUGCUCGGCCUUCACGCGCUGACAUACUUCACAGGCGGCCACAUACUUAGAAACGUCAACCUUCAUCCGCUUCCACCAGAAGUUUUGCUUCAAAUCUCGGUACAUUUUGGUUUCGCCAGGAUGGACGGUGUAAGGUGUUUUAUGAGCUUCUCUCAAGAUAUCCAUCUUCACCUCUGAUUUCUAAGGCACACAAAGACGGCCCCUGAAACGAACCAAAUCAUUCUCAUCAAUGGUGAACUCCCGUGGUUUACCAUCACCAACCCUCUUUCGAGCUUCCUGCAAUAGACGAUCCUGCUGCUGAGCCGCACGCACUCUCUCCAUGAGAGAGGAUUGAAUAAGCAUCCGAGUCUCCUCGCUAGCGGUACCGACAUAACACAAAGCGACUCCCAAACGGUCUAGAUCAGCGAUCAACGGCAAGGCCACCUUUGGAACCUCGGACCUGCUAAGGGCAUCAGCCACUACAUUAGCCUUCCCCGGGUGAUAAUGAAUGGACAAAUCAUAAUCUUUAAUCAAUUCCAGCCACCGACGCUGCCUCAAAUUCAGCUCCUUCUGAGUAAAAAUAUACUUGAGACUUUUAUGAUCGGUGUAAAUGUCACAAGCCUUGCCAUAAAGGUAAUGCCUCCACGACUUUAGAGCAAAAACCACCGCGGCCAAUUCAAGAUCAUGAGUUGGGUAAUUCCCCUCAUGCUUCCUCAACUGUCUUGAGCCAUAAGCGAUCACGCUGCCUUCCUGCAUCAACACACAACCAAGACCAAUACGCGAAGCAUCCGUAUAAACUGUGAAACGCUUACCGCUCUCAGGCAAAGCUAGGAUAGGGGCGUCCACCAACUUGCUCUUCAAUGUCUGAUAACUGACCUCACAAUCGCCAGACCAGACGAAGGGAACACCCUUCUCCAAGAGUCUAGUCAAAGGCUUAGCAAUGCUGGAGAAAUUUGGUAUGAAGCGCCGAUAAUAUCCAGCGAGCCCCAAGAAACUUCAGAUUUCAGAGACACUAGAGGGUCUCUUCCACUUCACCACAGCCGCAACAUUGUUGGGAUCAACCGCAAUGCCCUGUUGAUUAAUCACAUGCCCCAGGAAAGCCACUUCGGACAGCCAAAAGGCACACUUCUUCAACUUGCCAUAGAACUGAUUCAUCCUUAGAGCACCCAGAAUGAGACGGAGAUGCUGCUCAUGCUCGGCCUCGGUCUUUGAAUAAAUCAGAAUAUCAUCCAGGAACAUGACCACAAAGUCAUCCAGGAAUUCAUGCAACAUCCUAUUCAUUGCUUCCAUAAAGGCAGCAGGGGCAUUAGUUAAGCCAAAAGACAUGAGUAUGAACUCAUAAUGCCCAUACCUGGUGCAAAAGGCGGUUUUCUCAAUAUCCUCCUCACGAAUCCUCAAUUGAUGAUAACCAGAGUUCAAAUCAAUUUUGGAGAACACUUGAGCACCCCUCAACUGUUCAAAGAGGACCUCAAUACGGGGAAGCGGAUAUUUAUUCUUGAUUGUCACUUGAUUCAAAGCGCGAUAAUCCACACACAGCCGCUUGCUUUUAUCCUUCUUCUCAACAAACAAUACUAGGGAAGCCCAUGGAGACCUGCUAGGCCUAAUGAAACCCUUAGCUAGCAGAUCAUCCAAUUGCCGCUUCAAUUCAAUUUGCUCCUUUGGGGCCAUUCGAUACGGGGCCUUAUGAAUAGGCUGUGUACCCGGAAUCAGCUUAAUCUCAAAAGCUGCAUCGCGCUCUGGAGGAAUGCCCGGAAGCUCUGCCGAAAACACGUCAGCAAAGUCACGCACCACCCAGAUGUCCUGCACCCGCAAGGCAGCCUCACCCUCCACCACCAUGGAGAAAAAGAUCCCCGACUUCCUUGACCGGCGAUCAGGAAGCAAUUGCGCCAACAAGGAUAACGUGAACUUCGGGGAACUUCCCAAGAAUACCACCUCCUUACCCGACGGCGCCUGCAAUAACACUAUCUUCCAAAAACAGGAUAUAACCGCGCGAUACUGGGAUAACCAAUCCAUACCCAAGAUAACAUCGAAUGCCCUCAAGGAAAUCACCACCAGAUUGGCCGAGAAGACCUCAUCAGCAAGAAUGACAGAACACCCCUGACAAACUGAACAGCUACUAAUGGAGCCAUUAGCAGAUCUAACCAGAAUUGGGUGACCCAACCUCUACACUGAAAGACCAGCCCGCGACACAAAAUCCUCCGAAACAAAUGAAUAGCUAGCGCCAGAGUUAAAAAGAGCAUGGGCUGCAAACGAAUCAACUGAAAUCGUACCUGUCACCACGUCUCCUUGCUCCCUGCCAUCCGCAGCGGGUAGCACAUAAGCUCCAGAAAUACCCGCAGAAGAGGAAGCUCCCGGAGUGAAAUUAACAGAAGAAACCCACUGAGCCGCCGGGUGAGGCAGACGCGGAGCUCCAAACUGAGACGGCAUAGGAGUAGACGGUGUAGGAGUAGGCGUGGCCUGAUACUGAGGAAAACCCUGCAUCAGCACAAACUGAGAAGUCCCAGGCACAAAAAGCUGCUGCGGAGGAAGAGGAACUGAAAACUGCUGCUCAGCACUUGACAUCAUGUUGAUAGUGCCCUGAGAAGAGGAGGAAGUCACCGGCUCCCAUCUGAGCUUCCCAUUAGGAUUCCUCCUACACACCACAUCCUUGUGGUCCUGACUGCAGAUAGAACACCUGCCACUCCACUGGCACUCUGCACGGCGAUGCGCAUCACCACAGCGGAAACACACCAGCCCCAGCCCGGGCUUAGGAACAGCCCGAAACCUCUGAGUACUUCCUCCCGAAGUACCCGCAUCGGAAGAUCUGCCACGGUAAGGAUGGUGGCGCUGAUGCUGAGACUUGCCCCUCUUGUGGGCUGGACCUCCCGUGUUGCCCCUCCUCGCGUCCUGGCCACGAGGCUGAUCAACACCCGAAGACUUCUGCGACUCCAUGGUAUACUGGUGUUGCAUCUCCACACCCAGUGUUUGCUCCACCGUGGUACGGAAGUCCACCAACGGAAAGGCUCCAAGAGCAUGCCUGAUAGAAGGCUUCAGACCCUGACGGAACAGGCUCGCCUUCUCCAUCUCAUUAUAAGCCACAUGAGGGACAAAGCGGACCAUCUUGUUGAAGCCCACCUCAUACUCUGUGACAGACUUCUUCUACUUGAAGGACUGCAAGUCAAUCUUCAUCUUCUCCAGGAAGGUGACCGGGUAGAAUCUCCUUUCAAACUGCCUGAUGAAAACAUCCCAAGACAGGACUCCUGGUGAGGAGGAGUGCGCUGCCUGCACGCCUCUCCACCAAAUUUGAGCCUCUCCCUUCAGCAGUUGUGUGCCAAAGCGAUCCCGAUCUCCAUACGCAAUCACGAAGACAUUCAUCUUAUCCUCCAUGUAAGUCAACCAAUCUGCUGCCUCGACCGGAGUACCACUGCCAUCAAAAGAAUCCAACUUCAUGCCCAUCCACUGCAUCAGAGAAAGACCACUGACUGGAAGAGGCACCUCGGCCCCGCCACCUGGAACAGCACCCGCAGGGACAGCGCCCCCGGGCACUUCUACACCACCAGCACCCUGAGCAGCACCCGCAGGGGCAACAAGAAUGACUUGCCUCAGAAGGGCCAACUCCUGCUGCAUGGCCUGCAUCGCGCCUAACAUUGUCGCCGGACUCGUCGAGUCCCCACUAGGAGCUUGCGGACUACCCCAAGCCCUACGAGGCGGCAUAGCUGCAGCCACAGGGAUGAGAAUAAUAAGUAAAUAAGAUUGGCAUAGCAUCUCUUCAGAUAAUGCCAAACUAGCACAGACAAUAACAUAACAUAUCAAUAGCAAGACAGAAAUCCCAUCCUACAUGUGCAGUGUGUCAAUUUAUUAUUACUCCACUUGCUAGGACCUACAGCCUAUUCCUCUGAUACCAACUGUAACACCCCACUGGUCACACACAUUGGAUGUUACCAAAACUCCUCCCACUAAACUUAUGCAACACAAGAGAUGUAAUACAGAGAGAAAAUAUUGCAAAAUCCGGCAGCACCUCCUUUGAAACUAGCAUAACAAGGGGGGGGAAACAUAUAGUUCAUAUAGGAUAUAAAGACAGAUAAUUCACGUAGUAGAAUCUAAAUGCAAAAGUGGUAAAACACAUUCAUCACCCAACAGGAACAAAAAUGAGAUAAGUAACUCAGCCCACCCCAACAAAUAAACCGCUCAACCACCAAGAGAAGCUAGAACAUAGAAAUUCUCUAGACUUGACCCUCCCUGAUUAACAACAUUAUUAAGUAGUGGUUCCUUAAUUAAAAGUGUAGUGGUCGUGCUGCUAUAUCCCUCUUUUCCCAAAGCAGAAAUUAGGUGCCUGCAUCAAACAAUGCAAGAGUGAGAUGACACAUCUCAGCAAGUAAACAUGUAACUAAUUACUUAACGCCAAGAAGAAUCACCAUGUAAAAAUCCAAAUCAUCCACAUCCACAUAAUAGAUUCCACACCUCUCCCAUGAAUGCACAUGGCUACAGAUGCAAUAAUGACUUCUGCCUCCAUAUCUCUAAGGAUAUGAAGCUGCAUCAUACCCCUUCUCGGGCAACAUAUGAUGGUCAAUGUACCGGUACGGUCAGACCAUAAGAUCGCGACGAAACUUCAAUGCAAUGGAUGAUGAAUGCAUUAUGCAAGUCAACAACAUGAGUUCUUCCCAAACAGAAUGUGCUAGACAUAUACUUCCACUUAUUCCACAUAAUAAACCACAUGGGUAACAUGAUCAAACCACAUACUCAACAUAUGUAAUCAGUAAAACAUGAAUAUCUUCCAACGAUGGUACUCAAUUAAAAGUAUGAAUACGAACACAACAGCACAACAUAAUCAAGUGUAAGACUCUUCAUUCGACAGAUAGAAUAAUCCUCACUGUUUUACUUGCCUUUACCGGAAGUUUGGGCAAAUCUCUAAGUACGGUCCGGAAGUCCACCACCUGUUUUUGACACCCAACUUAGUGCACCAAUAUCACAUAAUAAGCCCAAAAACAAUGCCGCACCUACGCGUAAUCUCAAACCCCGCCGCGGGUAACGAUUCUCCCCACACCCACCAAACUGCAGCGGCGCUGCUUAACGAUUUCAUAACUUUAAAAUUAAGUCAGCAGUGGUGAUAAACAAAAACACCAGAGACAACUACAUAAAAUUCCCCACAGGUUUUGUAUACAAUUUGUGAUUAAAUUCUAACAUCUAAUUACCCCUAAACGGUCCACAAGAUAAACCCAGCAAUCUGUUUUUUUCCUCUUUUGGGCAGCGACAUACCCGGAUUCAAACAGCGAUAACUUUUAAAAUAUAAUUCCGAAUCGAGCGCAUAAGUACUUGUUGGAAAGGUAAGACAAAGCCCUACAUGAUUCUCAUAAUGAUUAACACUAAUUACUCACGAAACAUCCCCAGAAACUGCUAACACUGCUGCUGUUCGUCCACCUGAAAAAUCUGUUUUUUUGGACAGCCACAUACCCGGAUUCAAAUGGCGAUAUCUUUUAAUUUAUAACUCCGAAUUGAGCGCAUAAAUACUCGUUGGAAAGGUAUGUCAAAGUUCUACAUGAUUCCCAAACUGAUUUCCAUUAACUCCCCACGAAAAAAACCAAAAACUGCUAGAAUUACUGCUGUUCGUCCGCCACCUAAAAUUCUGGACAGCCCCUCUACCCAAUCGCAUACGCCACAUCUAAUCAAUUGGAUUGCAGCACAAAUGAACAAGAGAUGAACACAAAAAUCACCUUGGGUUCUCCCCCUUUCCUUCCUCCCUUCUUCCCUCCACCGAAAACAAUCGAAGAUUUGCACCACGCGAUGUAGAUCCGAGCGGCAACGAAAAGCACCUUGGGAGGAGAAGAUGGGGGGGUGGGGGCGGCUAGGGUUUGGUGUGUGGCUGCAAGAGUUUGGAAAGGAGGAGAUGAGAGGGGGGGCGGCGGCCAAAGGUUGGGAGAAUGAGGGGGGGCUGCACAAGGGGGGGGGGGUUAGGGGAAAAGGGGCGGCUAGGGUUAGGGAAGGUUAGUGGGCCGAAGCACGAAUCGUGGCCCAACUCGCCCACGCGAUAGCUCCCGACCCUGUCGCAUAAGCCCAACCAAACAAAUUCUACUGCCCUACUGGUGAAUGAUUUUCCCCAAAUUCCAAAUGCCCAAAACGCAUCAACUGAAUGAGAAAAAAACAAAAGAAUAACCUCCAACUUCCCUUCUUUGCAAACCGGGUAUCACAGAUAUGGACGGCAACGACAUACCCAGAUCUUGGAAUGCGGAUGAGCUUCGAUGAUAUUAUGUGUAAUUUGAUGUAAUCUUUCUUUUUCAUUUUUUCUAUGGCACCCUUUUCCUUUCAGGAGGGGAGAAAGGUUUUUAAUGGGGCCAUAUUUUUUAAUUUUUCAUUCUUAUUUAGCCCCAUUAGGGCCAAAUCCCCCAAAGAUGUAAUAUGUAAAAUCUGAGCCUGCACCAACGAGUGCAAAAAGAGAACAGGGAGAAGCUCAAAAGAUGUCCCUAAGGGGAUGCGGAGCAUGAUGAAGCUACAAAAAGUCGUUCCUAAGGGAGCGCAGCGUAAGUUUUCUGCUCAAAAGUCGUUCCUAAGGGAAUGCAGAGCCAAAAUUGACGAAGCUACAAAAAGUUGUUCCAAAGGGAGCGCAGUGUAAGUUUUCUGCUCAAAAGUUGUUCCUAAGGGAAUGCAGAGCCAAAUACUGCCGAAAUAUAAGGCGAAGAAGUUCAAAAGUCGUUCCUAAGGGGAUGCAGAACUUAUACCACCGAAAUAGAAGGUGAAGAAGCUCAAAAGUCGUUCCUAAGGGGAUGCAGAGCUUAAGACUCAAAAGAUGUUCCUAAGGGGAUGCAGAGUCUGGGUGUGGUUUCAUGUGCGUGGUCGGGACAUUCAUUUGCACGUUACAUUACAUCAUUCAUUGCAUUCAUACACAUUCAUGUAGACAUUCGUAGGAUCAUCAUCAUCGUAAAGCACAAACAGAUACUUCGGCUUUGAUAACAAUGCUUCGAUGAGCAUGAAGAAGCAAGAUAUGCUUCGUUGUGUACGAAAAGAAGGGAAGGUGUUUUUCGCCUUCGGCUCAAAAGAUAUAAGUUUUCGUCCACAGCAAAGCAAUUUACACAUAGAAGGAAAGGUAAAAAUAUAUUACAAGGUAUGGAUAAAUAUACAGAGUAAUGUUCAAUUCUCGGUUACAAUGUCUCUUACAGAGAUAAUACAAAUGCCUCUAAAAGAUCUAUGCAGGCAAGUCUAAAGAUCAGCUUCAGUGGCCUUCGAAAUCUGCUUCGGAUUAUUAAUCUUCGGCAUCAUCGUCCUACACACAACAAAAUUUUAUAAGGUAAAAGGUAAUCACAAGAAAAGGUAAGCAACAGGUAUAACUUUCAUACCGACUUAAGUAAGCUUCGGGCCUCAUCACCAGCCAAAUCCCGACCACCCUUCGCCCAAAUUUGUGUUAUAAAUCUGCUUCCUAUGCUUCGGGCUUCGCCGGGAAUAUCAACUAAAUUUGUCGAAGAUAGGCUGAAGGUAGGCCUAUUGAAAGGGAAAUGUGCCCUUGGGCCAUUUCUAUAAUGUUUUGGUGAUUAAAUGCCCAACACAAGUGACUAAGUUCUUAUGGGCUAAACAAAGUGAGAGAUACAAAUCAUAUUACAAGGUAUGUUUCUAGACUUAGUACAUUGUUUUGUAUACUAAUGUGUUUGUCUAAGUGCUAGAAAUAGUGACAAAAGACGGAGAAAAGAAAAGGGAAAGAGUUGACUGUGUGCAGCAAACUCCAGCUCGGCCUGGCACACCGGACUAUCCGGUGGUGCACUCGGGAAUCGACGGAGUUGUACGGCUAUAAAUCACCGAACUGUCCGGUGGUGCACCAGACUGUCCGGUGAGUCAUUCGCGACGAACUCGUCGGUAUCGGGAAAUGGAAAGGUGACAUGGCUUAAAUUCACCGGACUGUCCGGUGGUGCACCGAACUGUCCGGUGAGCCAAUAGCGGUCAUAGCCAACGGUCGGCUGGGCAAUCUGCAGGUGACGCGUGUCUCGCUCCAACGGUCGGUUGGGCACACCAGAAAGUGUCCGGUGCGUCAACGGGCCCGGAGGAGCAAUGGUCGGCUACGCCCGAUAUGGAAGGAGAUCGCGCACCGGACAUGAACAGUGGCUGUCCGGUGGUCCGGUGCACCACUCGACAGAAGGCAAGAAAUGCCUUCCAAAUUGAUCUCCAACGGCUCCUAGAUGACUUGGGGCUAUAAAAGGGACCCCUAGGCACAUGGAGGAGACUACCAAGAAUUCUCUAAGCAUACUAAGACAUUCAGACUCCGCUCCCAUGCAUUUGAUUCGCUGUGUUGGUGAUUUGGGCUCCAUUCGAGUUGUGAACUCCCCGUGUUGUCCUUUGAACUCAAGUCUUCACUUGUGUGCGUGGUUGUGCUGCGUAUUUGAGUCUUGUGUGUGUUGCUCUCCUCCCUUACUUCUGUCUUUCUCUUGUGAUCAUCAUUAUAAGGGCAAGAGGCUCCAAAUUGUGGAGAUUUCUCGCAAACGGGAGAAAGACUAUAAGCAAGAAAGUUUUGGUAUUCAAGUGGAUCAUUGGAUCGCUUGAAAGGGGUUGAGUGCAACCCUCGUCCAUUGGGACACCACAACGUGGAAGUAGGCAAGUGUUACUUGGCCGAACCACGGGAUGAAAAUCAUGUGUCUCGUGUGUUGCUUCUUGUGAUUGUUUUGUUCGCACGAGCGUGUUCCAUAGCCACUUGAUUUAAAUAACACUUUAAUAAUCAAGUUUGUGGCUAUUUAGUGUUUGAUUUUACAGGAUCACCUAUUCAGCCCCCUCUAGGUGCUCUCAAUUGGUAUCAGAGCCGUACUCUUCAUCUAAGGGACUAACCGCCCGAAGAGAUGGAUCCUAAGGGAAAGGGGAUGGUGGUCAACGACAAGGAAAAGGAGUCCAUCUUCAAUGAGCCAAGAGACAACAAGCCCACUGACUCAGGCUCGAGUCACAAGAAGAGGGACGGGAAGAAGAAGAGACGCAUCAAGAAAAUCAUCUACUACGACAGUGAUCCCUCUUCCUCUUCACCAAGGGACGACAACGAUGACUCCUCGUCCAAGAAAAAGACGGUCAAUCAAAAUUAUUCUUUUGAUUACUCUCGCAUGCCCUAUAAUUCAAAUGCGCAUUUACUAUCAAUUCCCCUUGGAAAGCCUCCACACUUUGAUGGAGAGGACUAUUCGUUUUGGAGUCAUAAAAUGCGUAGUCAUUUAUUCUCUCUCCAUCCUAGCAUAUGGGAAAUCGUAGAAAAUGGGAUGCACUUUGAUAGUACCGAUAAUCCUGUGAUUAUUAAUGAGAAAAUCCAUAAAAAUGCCCAAGCUACUACUGUUUUGUUAGCAUCUCUUUGCAGGGACGAAUAUAAUAAAGUGAGUGGCUUGGACAAUGCCAAACAAAUCUGGGAUACCCUCAAGAUAUCACAUGAGGGAAAUGAUGCCACUAUGUUUACAAAGAUGGAACUAGUGGAAGGCGAGCUAGGAAGGUUCGCGAUGAUCAGGGGAGAGGAGCCAACUCAGACCUACAACACGCUCAAGACCCUGGUCAACAAGAUCCGAAGCUAUGGAAGCACAAGAUGGACGGAUCAUGAUGUCGUCCGACUCAUGCUAUGGUCAUUUAUUGUAAUUGACCCCCAUCUUGUCAAUCUUAUUCGUGAAAACCCCAGGUACACCAAGAUGACGCCCGAGGAGAUCCUUGGAAAAUUUGUGAGCGGGCGCAUGAUGGUGAAGGAGGCGCGAUACGUGGAUGAUGCGCUAAAUGGUCCACUACCCAUCUACGAGCCGCAGCCCGUUGCCCUCAAAGAAACGAGCAGCAGGGAGAUACUACCGAGCAAGGUAGCACAAGUGGAGGCUACCAGGCUCAACGAGGACGAAAUGGCGCUCAUCAUCAAGCGCUUCAAAACCGCCUUGAAAGGACGCAAGGAAUACUCCAACAAGAACAAAACAAGGGGAAAGUGCUCCUGCUUCAAAUGCGGUAAGACUGGUCAUUUCAUAGCAUAGUGCCCCGAUAAUGAUAAUGACUAGGGACAAGAAAAGUAUGGGAAGAAUGAGAAGAAGAAAAACUACAAGAAGGCGAAGGGCGAGGCACACCUUGGAAAGGAAUGGGAUUCUGACUGCUCUUCAUCCGACUCCGACGAUGAAGGAUUGGUUGCCUCGGCCUUUGACAAGUCUUCGCUCUUCCCCAACGAACACCAUACUUGCCUCAUGGCUAAGGAGAAGAAGGUACGUAUUCGAGAUUCCUCAAGGUACUCUUCUUCUAGUGAUGAGGAUUCUUCCGAUGAUGAAGUAGAAUACACUGACUUGUUUAAAGGACUAGAUAGAGCAAAGGUAGACAAAAUUAAUGAAUUAAUUGAUGCUCUAAAUGAAAAGGAUAGAUUGCUAGAAAAGGAAGAGGACAUAUUGUAUGAGGAACAUGACAAGUUUGUAAAUGUUCAAAAAUCUCUUGCUUUAGAAAUUAAAAGAAAUGAAGUGAUAUCCUCUCAGUUGUCUGCUGUAAUGCCCAAAUUUUGUAUCAGGAAAAUAAUAAUAACAAUGAUAUAAAAAAAUUAAUUAUGUAGUGUUUUGGGAUUAUGGAACCCUCGAAGAUUAUUGGUGUUCUUUUCUCUGUGCAUACUCAAUUAUGGAAAUUAAAGUAGUCAAAUAGCAAAUAAAUAAAUAUGGAAUUAUGCAUAGCAUGCUGAAGUUUUGGACUGUGCAUUCAAAACUUAGUUGAAAUCCAAACUAGAUUAAAACGAGAUUGUAAAUUUGAAUUUGAAACUUACAAAUGAAAUUAAAAAUCAGAAAUUCAAAAAAUAGAAGAAGAUAGAAUUGAAAACAAAAGAAAAAAAGCUUACGUUGCUUGGUGCUUGGCCUGUCCGUGGCCCAUUGCCACCAUCGCAUGGAGCCCCACCUCUUCCCCAUUUUUGUUUUUUUAUAUAUUUCCAGCUGUAGCUAAACAUCAGCCUGACAUUAGCUCACAUAAUUGUGUCUCUGCACAUGGGACCGAGCUGUCAGCUUGGGUCGGCAUCUACCUCAUGACGGAGUCAAAUUGGGGCACUGCGAUUACCAGCCACCAGGAAUCCUUCUCCUCGCUGUUUCCUUCGACUAUUCGCGGUCGUUGUUGACCCGCAUGGUCAGCUCUUCCUCGUGGAACAGAUCACGUAACAGCCGGUCCGUUUUCCACGCCGCGCCAUGUGCGCCACCAGCUGAUUCCGAGUCCUAGCCUCUGACUAAAUUGCCGUUCCCACCGAAGCGGGGUUUAAGAACCGAAGUAUCGUGGCCUUUCCUCUGCAUCCCAUCCAAGCGCCGCCCCAUAGCUCACUUUUCCUUGCCCCGCCGUGCCAGCAUCGUUAAGGGCGGAUAUUGCCGCCGCCAUAGAAUCUCGGGCCGUGACUAGCCAAAGCUUUAGGCGGGAGUUCAAUUGGAUUCGCUUGGUCGCGGUGAAGGUUGCCAGCGACGUUUCUGGGGCGAAUCGGGGCCCAGCACCUUGGAUUUCUCGCCGUUGAGUUGCAGUCCACCGCGUACCGCACUGCUCUGGAGCCAGGGCACGACUCGACAUAAACCUAGGUAUAAACGCUUAUCCCAUGCUCGCGUUGUCCUUCUGCUCUCGUUGCGCGCUUCGGCAGGGUGGUUGGGGGAUUGUUAUCGGGUUGGGUUUGCUCACCGGCGUGGUCUCCGCCGUGAACGGAGGUGAGCGCCGCCGUGCCCAAUGUCAGAUUAGGGGAAGGAAUGUGCACCGUUAGAUCUCAAUGGACAGCCCAGAUUAGAUGUCUGCGUACCCUUUCACGCUGUUGUAUGCAGGUCGUGGAUCUGUGAUCGUGCGGUUAGGCUGCUGGGGCUAGUCAUAAUAGAUCUGGACCGUCGGAUCCGUAUCCGACGACUGUGAUUAUGUUCUGGUUCGCGCGGAGAUAAGAUUUAAUCGUGGCCGUUCGCUCAAUCCGAUGGCCCAAAUCGUGCGAUACCCCUUCGGCUAGCGCAAUUGCAAAAGAGACCCUAACCUCUCUGGAAAUCAACCCGCCGUCCCCCGCCGGAUACGCCUGAGUCUGGGAAAUAUUUCGAGUUAGCCCCUGCGUUACUUUGUUUUUGAUGCCCAGCCCAGAGAACAAUGGAAAUAGAAAAUUAAUUAUAGAAAAUGAUUUUUAAUACAAAAAUAAUUCAGAAACUUGUUUAAUUAGUAGAAAAUUCAUAUUAAGUCCAAAUUGAUCCAUUCCAGUUUCAAUAAAUUUGUAUUAAUAUUGUAUAUCAAUUAAAAACAUUUUUUGCCAUGAAACUUGAAUUAAAAUUAUUCACUCAAAUUAAUCUGUUCUAAGUACUCAAUAACUCCAGAAAUUCAUAACUUAAUAAUCGUAGCUCCGAAUAUAGUGGUUCUUGUUUCUACGAUCUCGUAACAUCGCGUAGAUUAUUAUUACGUGGUUUAUUCUUAUGUUUGGUGUGAUGUUAAUUUUGUAUGUACCAUGUUUGUCUGUAUUGCUACGUUUAGCAGUGAGGACACGUAUCACUUGAAGAGCAAGUUGGUACCUGGAAUCUCAAGUGCCAGGCAAGUUGUGCCCUUGACCACUUUUUACCCAAUAAUGUUCUUUAAUAUCAUUUAUUCUUGCAUAGGUUAAUUUUGAUGGGACCCAAUAGGUUACCCUAGAUUGUUUAUCUCAUUACCUUGUUUACCCCUGAAUCACUUGGGUAGUUUGCUAUUGCGUUACAUGGAUUUGGGAUAAUUAUUUAUCAUAUCUAUGUUCCAGUUAUUUUGUUAUUCUAUUUAUGUUCAUGUCAAGAUCAUUAAUGUUAAUUGGAACAUAGAGCUUAACUUGAGAAACACGUGCCACCACAAGGGUUUAUGGACGCCCUUGGCUGAUUAAUUAGGAAAGCUAGUGGAGGACUACCUUACCCGAAAAGGGGCAAGGGCAGUAGGGGAGUGGUCAGUGUAGGGAGGUCCUUGGUUGAUUUUGCUGCGAUGGCGGUCAGGCAAGAACCCUGCAUUGGAGCUUCCUAUAAACUGUAGCGGGUUUUCUGAAGCUAGUGGAACUUUGUAAAGGCCUCGUAGUGUUACCCUGCCUCACCUCCUCGGUAGAGGUGUAUGGGAAGUCGCGAUCCCUUGGCAGAUAGGUAACAUGACUUGUGGGUAAAGGGUACCACCUCUGCAGAGUGUAAAACUGGUAUACUAGCCGAGUUCACGGUCAUGAGCAGCUCAGGACUCUCUGAUGAUUAAAUUAUGGAACUAAAUUCAAUUUGUCAUAUGCAUUGCAUCGCAGGUGAUGUUGUUACUUUUGUUCUACUACUUAAUUGGGUUGGUAUUUACUUAUACUUAGUAAUUGCUAAUAAAAUUUUGACCAACUUUAAAAGCAAUGCUCAGCUCUAAUCAUCAUCUUUGGUAAGCCUUACACUACACGUGAGCUCCCACCUUUGGCGAGUUCAUGCACAUUAUUCCCCACAACUUGUUGAGCGAUUAACGUAUGUGAGCUCACUCUUGCUGUCUCACACCCCCCCACAGGUCAAGAACAGGUACCACAGGAUAAGGCGCAUGGAGGAUGCUGUGAUGAGUUCGUGAGAGGUCUAGGCCGUCGUCUCCCAGUCAACUUUGGGUUGCUGGACCGUUGUCUCCUUAUAAUGUAAUUAUUUAUUUAUUUUGUAUAGAACUCCUAUUAUUGUAGUAAAGAUGUGACAUUCGAUCAUGUGCCAUGAUUCAUCAUACGUGUGAGACUUGGUCCCAGCACACCUGGUGAUUAUGUUCGCGCCCGGGCUUUGGACCCCUAAAACCCGGGUGUGACAUCUGCUUGCCAUGAAUCUGUCUCUAAUUUAAAGAAUUUAAAUGAUGAAUUAAAUGCUAAACUAGAGGAAGUUAAUAAAGCUAGUUCAUGUGUAGAGCAUGUUGUUAUAAUGAGGUGGCAAGUCUUAAUGCUCAACUUAAGACUUGCAAGGUUGAUUUUGAUAAAUUGAAAUUUGCUAGGGAUGCCUACACUGUUGGUAGACACCCUUCAAUUAAGGAUGGACUUGGUUUUUGAAAGGAAACCAAGAACUUAACAAUCCAAAGGACUCUCGUUCUCAACAAGGAGAAAGGGAAGGCCCCUAUGGCGAGUAGCCCUCAAGGGAACCAUGCUUUUAUUUAUGACAGGAAAAUUGCUAGCGGUCCUCAUUAUAAUAAGAGUUAUGUUCAUGCUGCUUAUAAUGAUUCACAUGCUAUGUUUGCCUCUAGCUCUACUUUUGUUCAUGGUAGAAGUAGGCCUAGGAGAAAUCAUGUUGUGUCUCAUGCUCCUAGGAGAAUGUGCAAUGGACCUUCUACUAUUUAUCAUGCUUGCAAUACUUCCUUCGCACUUUCAUAUAAGAAUGCAAAAGUAGUUGCUAGGAAGUUCAGAACCAAAUGCAAGGGAGACAAGACUUGUAUUUGGGUUCCAAAAGUUAUUGUGACUAACCUUGCAGGACCCAACAAGUGUUGGGUACCUAAAACCCAAGCUUAAAUUACCUUGCAUGUUUAUGCAUCCGGGGGCUCUAGCUGGAUUAUCGACAGCGGAUGCACAAACCACAUGACGGGGGAGAAGAAGAUGUUCACCUCCUACGUCAAGAACAAGGAUUCCCAGGAUACGAUCAUCUUUGGAGAUGGGAACCAAGGCAAGGUCAAAGGCUUGGGCAAGAUAGCUAUCACUAACGAGCACUUAAUAUCGAAUGUAUUUCUAGUAGAGUCGCUUGGGUACAACCUUCUGUCUGUAAGUCAAUUAUGUCACAUGGGUUACAAUUGUCUGUUUACAAAUGUUGAUGUAUCUGUCUUUAGAAGGAGUGAUGGAUCAUUAGCUUUUAAGGAUGUAUUAGAUGGCAAACUCUACUUAGUUGACUUUUUGAAAGGGAAUGCCGGUCUAGAUGCAUGCUUAAUAGCUAAGACUAAUAUGGGCUGGUUGUGGCAUCGCCGUCUAGCACAUGUUGGGAUGAAGAACCUUCUUAAGCUUCUAAAGGGAGAUCAUGUGUUAGGACUAAUCUAUGUCUGUUUUGAGAAAGACAGAUCCUGUGCAGCAUGUCAGGCAGGAAAACAGGUGGGAAGCACACAUCACGGCAAGAAUGUGAUGACAACAUCAAGACCACUGGAGCUCCUUCACAUGGAUCUUUUCGGACCCAUUGCCUAUCUAAGCAUCGAGGGAAGUAAGUAUGGUCUUGUAAUUGUUGAUGAUUUUUCUCGCUUCACUUGGGUGCUCUUUCUACAGGAUAAGUCAGAAACCCAAGUGACCCUAAAGCGCUUCUUAAAGAGAGCUCAAAAUGAGUUUGAGCUUAAAGUGAAAAAUAUAAGGAGCGACAAUGGGUCUGAGUUCAAGAAUCUACAAGUUGAAGAGUUUCUUGAGGAGGAAGGCAUCAAGCACGAGUUCUCCACUCCCUACACACCACAACAAAACGGUGUGGUAGAGAGGAAGAACAGGACGCUUAUUGACAUGGCGAGAAUGAUGCUUGGAGAGUUCAAGACACUCAAACGGUUUUGGUCGUGAAAGUCGCCUAGAGGGGGGUGAAUAGGGCGAAUCUGAAAUUUAUAAACUUAAGCACAAUUACAAGCCGGGUUAGCGUUAGAAUUAUGAACGAGUCUGAGAGAGAGGGUGAAAAACAAAUCAGAAGCAAAUAAAGCAUGAGACACAAGGAUUUGUUUUACCGAGGUUCGGUUCUUACAAACCUACUCCCCGUUGAGGUGGUCACAGAGACCGGGUCUCUUUCAACCCUUUCCCUCUCUCAAAUGGUCACUUAGACCGAGUGAGCUUCUCUUCUCAAUCAAACGGGACACAAAGUCCCCGCAAGGUCCACCACACAAUUGGUGUCUCUUGCCUCGGUUACAAUUGAGUUGAUCACAAGAAAGAAUGAGAAAAAGAAGCAAUCCAAGCGCAAGAGCUCAAAUGAACACAAGUCACUCUCUCACUAGACACUAUUUGAUUUGGAAUGAACUAUGGACUUGGGAGAGGAUUUGAUCUCUUUGGUGUGUCUUGUAUUGAAUGCUAUAGCUCUUGUAAGGUGUAGGAAGUUGGAAAACUUGGAUGCAAUGAAUGGUGGGGUGGUUGGGGUAUUUAUAGCCCCAACCACCAAAAGUGGCCGUUGGGAGGCUGUCUGUCGCAUGGCGCACCGGAUAGUCCGGUGCGCCAGCCACGUCAGCCGGCCGUUGGGUUCUGACCGUUGGAGCUCUGACAGGUGGGGCUUCUGGGCUGUCCGGUGGUGCACCGGACAGGUCCUGUAGACUGUCUGGUGCGCCUUCUGCGCGUGCUCUGUCCUCUGCGCGCGCAGGCGCGCAUUAAAUGCGUUGCAGUCGACCGUUGCGUGCGAAGUAGCCGUUGCUCUACUGGCACACCGGACAGUCUGGUGAAUUAUAGCGGAGUGGCCUCCCAUUUUCCCGAAGGUGAGGAGUUUAGCGUCGAGUUCCCUGGUGCACCGGACACUGUCCGGUGGUGCACCGAACACUGUCCGGUGCGCCAGACUAGGGUGCCUUUGGGUUGUCUUUUGCUCUCUUUGUUUGAACCCUUUCUUGGUCUUUUUUAUUGGCUUAUUGUGAACCUUUGGCAUCUGUAAAACUUAUAGACUAGAGCAAACUAGUUAGUCCAAUUAUUUGUGUUGGGCAAUUCAACCACCAAAAUCAAUUUAGGAAAAGGUGUAAGCCUAUUUCCCUUUCAGGUCGGAAGCUAUGAACACAGCCUGUCAUGCCAUAAAUCGGCUCUAUCUGCAUCACCUUCUCAAGAAGACCUCCUACGAACUCCUUACCGGUAACAAACCCAAUGUCUCUUACUUUCGUGUAUUUGGGAGCAAAUGCUACAUUCUGGUGAAGAAAGGUAGACAUUCUAAAUUUGCUCCAAAGGCAGUAGAAGGGUUUUUACUAUGGUAUGACUCAAAUACAAAGGCAUAUAGGGUCUUCAACAAAUCAUCAGGAUUAAUUGAAGUCUCUAGUGACAUUGUAUUUGAUGAGACUAAUGGCUCUCCAAGAGAGCAAGUUAAGCUUGAUGAAAUAGAUGAAGAUGAAGUUCCGACGGCCGCAAUGCGCACGAUGGCGAUAGGUGAUGUGCGUCCACAGAAACUACAGGAACAAGAUCAACCUUUUUCCUUGACACUAGUGCAUCCCCCAACUCAAGAUGAUGGACAUGUACCUCAAGAAGAGGAGCAUGAUCAAGGGGGAGCACAGGAAGAACAGGCUAUGGAGGAAGAAGCACCACGGGCCCCUCCAACUCAAGUCCGAGCAACAAUCCAUAGACAUCACCCUGUCGAUCAGAUUCUGGGUGACAUCAGUAAGGGAGUAACUACUCGCUCACGACUAGCUAACUUUUGUGAGCAUUACUCGUUUGUCUCUUCUAUUGAGCCUUUCAGGGUAAAAGAGGCCUUGUAGGAUCCAGAUUGGGUGUUGGCCAUGCAGGAAGAGCUCAUCAACUUCAAAAGGAAUGAAGUCUGGAGCCUGGUGCCACGUCCAAAGCAAAAUGUUGUGGGAACCAAGUGGGUGAUCCGCAACAAGCAAGACGAGCAUGGGGUGGUGACAAGAAAUAAGGCUCGACUUGUGGCAAAAGGUUAUGCCCAAGUCGCAGGUUUGGAUUUCGAGGAGACUUUUGCUCCUGUGGCUAGGCUAGAUUCAAUUCGAAUUUUGCUAGCCUAUGCCGCUCACCACUCUUUUAGGGUGUUUCAAAUGGACGUGAAGAGCGCUUUUCUCAAUGGGCCAAUCAAGGAGGAGGUAUACGUAGAACAACCCCCUGGCUUUGAGGAUGACAGGUAUCCCGACCACGUGUAUAAGCUCUCUAAGGCGCUCUAUGGACUUAAGCAAGCCCCAAGAGCAUGGUAUGAAUGCCUUAGAGAUUUCUUAAUUGCUAAUGCUUUCAAGGUUGGGAAAGCUGAUCCAACUCUUUUUACCAAGACUUGUGAUGGUGAUCUCUUUGUGUGCCAAAUUUAUGUCGAUGACAUAAUAUUUGGUUCUACUAACCAAAAGUCUUGUGAGGAGUUUAGUAGGGUGAUGAUGCAAAAAUUCGAAAUGUCGAUGAUGGGCGAGUUGACAUACUUCCUUGGAUUCCAAGUGAAGCAACUCAAGGACGACACUUUCAUCUCCCAAACGAAGUACACUCAAGAUCUUCUCAAGAGGUUUGGGAUGAAGGACGCCAAGCCCGCGAAGACACCGAUGGGCACUGACGGGCAUGUUGACCUCAACAAAGGAGGUAAGUCCGUUGAUCAAAAGGCAUACUGGUCAAUGAUAGGUUCAUUACUUUAUCUUUGUGCUAGUAGACCGAACAUUAUGCUUAGUGUAUGCAUGUGUGCUAGAUAUCAAUCCGACCCUAAGGAAUGUCACCUUGUGGCCGUUAAGCGAAUUCUUCGAUAUUUAGUUGCUACGCCGUGCUUCGGGAUCUGGUAUCCAAAGGGGUCUACGUUUGACUUAAUUGGAUACGCAGACUCCGAUUAUGCUGGGUGCAAGGUUGAUAGGAAGAGUACAUCAGGGACAUGCCAAUUUCUAGGAAGGUCCCUGGUGUCCUGGAGUUCCAAGAAACAGACAUCUGUUGCCCUAUCCACCGCUGAGGCCGAGUAUGUUGCCGCAGGAUAGUGUUGCGUGCAACUACUUUGGAUGAGGCAAACCCUCUGGGACUUUGGCUACAAUCUGAGCAAAGUCCCACUCCUAUGUGACAAUGAGAGUGCAAUCCGCUUGGCGGAUAAUCCUAUUGAACACAACCGCACUAAGCACAUAGACAUCCGGCAUCACUUCCUGAGGGACCACCAGCAAAAGGGAGAUAUCGAUAUUUAUCAUAUUAGCACCGAGAACCAGCUAGCCGAUAUCUUCACCAAGCCGUUGGAUGAGAAAACUUUUUGCAGGUUGCGAAGUGAGCUAAAUGUCUUAGAUUCGCGUAACUUGGAUCGAUCUAUAACAUACAUGUGUUCUAUGCCUUUGAUCAUGUUACUUUGAGCAUUUACAUUAUUCGUUGUAUAUUUAUGGUGCUCAAGUUGUACAAAUCCUCCCCGGACCUCACAAGUCCAUAUGCAAAUGGUGCACAUAUUUAGGGGGAGAUGUGCUACAACUUGACCAUUUGAGACUAACAUGUUUGUUUAAGUACACCUGAUGUAGUCUCAAAGGUACAUUAAAAGGGAAACUGAACUUGGACGAUGCAAAGACUUCCACUGCACUCCGGUAUUAGUGUAUUCAAUUCCAAGUUCAUACUUAUGCUCUCACUACCUUUUUGCUCUUAAUUGACAUUUUUGGUGAGGCAAUGGGGUUAAAGGGCCAAGAAUGAUCCCGUUUUGGUGCUUAAUGCCAAAGGGGGAGAAGUUAAGGCCAAAGCAAAAUGGAUCAGCCAACCACUUGUGAAUUUUUUGAAAAUAAUAGAGUAAGAAUUUGUGAUUUGCUCAAAAUACCCUUAUUGCAAAAUUUGGUCUCUUGUGGGGGAGAAUUUUGAUUAUGGGAAAAGGGGGAGUUUUUGGCACUUGAUUAAUUUUACUCUUGGAAUAUCUCUCUAUAUGCCCAAACAACCAUGUUUAACUUAGAGAAAGGAAAAUGAAUUUGAUUUGCAAAAACAAACCAAGUUGUGGCGAAGAAUGAUCCAAAUAUGCCAAAAUCCUAUUAAAGUGUUGGGGACUCGUUCUCAAGUGCUAUGAGUUAAGAACAAGGCAACAUAGAAAAUGUUAAUCGUUAAAGUCCUUCGUCCUUCGAAGCAUUAUUUCCCUUAGGAUAUAAUGGUUUUCGGACGAAGGUUAUGAAGGGCGUACCUUCAUAAGUUCGUUAUACAGUGACGAAGGAUGAAGUGUAAGGAAUAUAAAAGAUAAUAUAAACAAUUAUAUAUGUAUUAUUAUGUAUAAACAGAAAUAUCGCUGAAUUACAAAUGUACCUUCAACUUGAAGGAGAUGAUAGUACAAACGUGACGCAAAAAGCAAAUGCCCAGUCAGCGUGACCAGUACGGGGGUACUGUUCACCUAUUUAUAGGCACGGGACACAACCCAUACAAAAUUACAUUCAUGCCCUUUACACUUGAUAAUAAUUCUAUAGUAAUCUGUCGAGGUCUAAAUAGCCUUUUCAUCUUUAAGUCGGUUUCACUUUUUGCUGCCACGCCGAAGCUUUCCUGCUCACACCUUCGGCGCUGUACCAACCUUCGUAUUAUUCUGGUCUACUGUGAUGCCGACUUGGGUCCGAAGAUACCUGUUCACACAUUAUACUCCAGAAAUACUGUUAAAUCCUGUUUUUGAGGACCUUCGGAAGCCGAAGGUCCCCAACAGUAGCCCCUCGCAAUAUUAAUUUGUUUAAAAUAAUAAAUUUAGAUUGCGAUAUGGACGAAGGCUUUUCGCCGAAGGUCCGAAAAAACACCUUCCCUUUGCUAGAAUAGCAACAUUCACUGACAAGCGGGGUCUUUCAAUUUUCAACGCUCUUGGCGUAUAAAUACGGUCAUACCGCAAACUCAUUUGACACGCUCUCUGGCCAACUGCUCCCGCUCACUCAAUUUUUAGCUCUUGUGCACUACGAUUUGCUAAGCUUUUAGUUUUGAAGCUUCGGCUUUGAAAAUAGUUUUUUAGUGUCUCCGAAGAUGUCCGAAGAUAAGAAGACUGCUGCUGAGAUGAAGCUGAGCCUCGACGAAGAGAAAAAUUUGGGGUUUCUUAUAGCGAUGUCAAAGACCAAUACAGAAAAAAUCACCAAGGAGAUUUUGGAAGGUUUGUCUGAAGAUACUGGUGACAGUGACAACUAUGAUGUGGACAGUGGUGGUGAAGACUCCGAAGAUCGUCCCUGGCGACCAAGCCAUUCAGUUUAUGGUAAAUCAACUAUCAAAGAGAAUCAUCUUGUCAACAUGAGAGGAAGGUAUUUCCGGGAUUUGUCCAUUGUGAGGGCCGACGAAGGGGAAAAAACUUGCCCACACCCUGAAGAGAAUGAAGUCGUAGUGUACCGAAGCUUUUUGAAAGCUGGACUGCGAUUUCCCUUGAGCAGCUUCGUUGUAGAGGUGCUGAAAAUAUUCGAAGUCUAUCUCCAUCAACUUACCCCCGAGGCAAUUAUAAGGCUGAAUAUCUUCGUGUGGGCCGUGAGAAGCCAAGGUCUGAAGCCUGAUGCAAAAAGCUUCUGCAAUAUUCACGAAUUAUCAUACGAAACAAAACCUUGGGGUAAGGAACAGUAUCACAAUAAUUUUGGCUGCUACAGUUUCGUUUCUCGGUCCGGGUCAAGCUGCCCCGUGCCAACCUUUCGGAAGAGAUGGCCUGGCGACUGGAUGACAGAAUGGUUUUAUGUGAAGAAUGAUCUGACAGUACGAGAAGAUAUCAAAGGUAUAAUUAUGCACCCUAUUUGGCAAAGCUUCGGCCUUCGGAGGCCGAAGGUUGAAAUGAAUGAAGCCGCAGAAGAAUGCCAGAGGGCCUUCGGCGUUAUCUGUUCUUUUAUUGGAACGAGAGACUUAGUACAAGAGCAUAUUGCCUUCAGGGUAUGGCCGCUCGCGGAGAAAUGGGAAAUGCCACAAGAAACCAUAAAAGAGACCGACGAAGGUGGACUUAUCAGGUUGAAGUACACUUUUAAAUUUGGAGAUAAAUUUGUUGAGCCAGAUGAUGACUGGUUAAAAAGCAUUGAAAAUUUAAGUGAUGAACUGCUUGGGGCUUAUUCGAAGGCCGAAGAUACUGCAAUGUCAGCAGCCUUCGGAGGCCGAAAAAAGAAGAGGCUGAAUCGGGUAUUUGAUGCAAUCGGGUUUGUCUACCCUGACUAUUGCUAUCCCAUUCGAAGGCAGAAGAGAAAAAAUACAACCUCUGCAAAAGAAGAAGCUGCAACUGCUCCUAGCGAGCCAGAACCGAAAAGAAAAAAGAUAAAGGUCCUCACACAUCGGCCGCGCUAUAUUGAACCAGCUUCGGUGCCUGAGUUUACCGGAGAAACCUCUUCGGCCACCGAAGCUGAAAAACCAACCGAGCCAACCUUGCUGCCAGAAGUCGCAGAAACGGCCGAAGUGCCAACAAAGAUAGAAUUGGAACAAUCAAAGAUUUUGUUACCAGAAACGAAAGAGAAGGCCGAAGCGCCGUCCAUAGAAAAAAUGGAAGAAGUAAAAGAAGCAACUGAGGGAUCAAAAACAUCAGAAGUUUUGAGUCCUGCAGCAAAUAUUGAGACAGUAAAAAACCAAAAGGUGCCAGCAGUGACUCCGAAAAGGAAGAGAAUGGUCAAUGUUCUAGAUGUUCUAGAGACAAUUAAAUCUUCAAGCACACCUCCGAAGGAGACUGUUGUCAUCCCCGAAGAAAAAACUGAAGUCUCUGAUACUAAAGCUCCAGAGCAAGAAACUGAAGCCGAAGCUGGGUCCUCAGAACCCACGAAAAUAAAAUCCCUGGAAUUUGAGGAAGAAAAAAUUACAAAGCCAACUUUUGUUGAAGAAAUCAGUGCUGCUGCCCCCGAAGCAUCCCCCAAAGUCCUUGAUUAUAUUAUUCACCAUGCUUCGGGGAAACAACUAUCAGAAAAAGAAAAACAAGAGGCCCAACUUUACGCCCAAAAACUGAAGUAUCCAAAGGGGGCAUUAAUAUUCAAUGGCAGUGGAGAAGAAGACUUUUUGUAUUGUCUCCCUGACAGCAAAGAGAUUUCUGUCUGUCGGGAGAUGAGCAAGAGCUUCGGAUUCCCAACACUGGAAGAUGGGCUCUCAGUGCUAUCGAAAAAUGAUUUGGCCGACAGCCUGGCAUAUAAUAGCUUGAAGGUGCAACAAAUGAGAUCUUUGCAUUUUUUGUUGAGACCAAAAUUUUUCGUUUGUUUAAACCUAUUGACACAAACAUAUUUUUCUUUGCAGGGCCUGAUACUUAGCAAUGCCCUCAGGGCACAGAAAGAUGCUGAAGACGAAGGGUGUACUAUAGCCCUGAGCAACCUUCGUUCCGAAGUAAUUGAACUGAGGAACGAAGGUCUCGAGAAAGAUAAAAUAUUACACUCAUUGAUAAAUAAAAUAAAGGAAGACGAAGCUGCUUUCAAAGGUCAGGCUGAAGCUCAUAAACGCGAACUUGAAGAUCUUCGGAAACAACUGGCCAGAGCCAAGGAAGAACGUAUACUUGAAGAAACAAAGCGAGAACUCAGCGACCAAUGGGCAGAUCACUUAGAAGGAACUGUUGAAGAGCUUCGGUCGUCCAAGAAGAGAUGCUAUAACAAAUCUAUAGAAUGUGUUAAGAAGUUAAAGGCUAGCUUCGCCAGGGUCGGCGCAUUCUCAAGUGAGGAAAACUUUACGAGAUGCAAUCCCGAAGGUCCCAUCGAAUGGAUCGACCACGAAGCUGAAGCCUUCGAAGAAAUUUUAAAUAGCCGUGGAGAUAUAUGUGCCUUCUCGGGUGCCCGAGGGAUUGCCACUAUUUUAGAGAAAAAAGGCUGCGAACAUGUAAGGAUUCUGGCGCAAUCCGAAGGUGCUUUGUCCUUCGAAGAUGCAAGGGAUCCAUCGGCCGAAGCUAGCAUGGUUGGUGGAAAAUUUUUCACCGAUAUCUGGGAUAAUGGUGGCCAAGAAAUGGCCCGAGAGAUUAUUCAAAGAAGCGGAAAGGGCAUUCACGAUGCUAGAGAAGUAGCUGAGGCUGCUGAGAAGAGCGCAGAACCCGAAGGUCAAUUAGGUAUUAUCUAAUAGUUUUUAUUGUGUUGUAAUUUUAGGUUUUAAGAUUCGUUUGCAAUUUGUCAUAGCAAUGUAGCCGUAUCCUGUUCUACUUCAGAUUCUGCUAAAGCCCCUUCGGACCCCCAGCCGAAAGGAGACGACGAAAUAAAAAAGAUGGCUGAAGCUAUUAUGGACGAAGUCGUCAAUCGGCUCCUAAACGAGGCUGCAGAAGUUGUUUUGAGAGAGGAUUAAGUAUUAUUGUAAAAACUUCUGAAAUGUAAUAUAUUGUAACAUUUUGUAACCCUGAAUGUAAUAUACCUGUUUUUCUUGCUUAAUUCUUUACGAUGCAUGAAACUUUACACGUACCGUUUUUGAGUCUUUGACGAAAAAACACCUUCCCUUCUUUUCAUGCUUCGUGAAGAAGAAUUUUUCAACAAUAUCCAGUGUUCUGAUGAAUAAUAUCCAGGCUUCGUGAAAAUAUUUUCCGAAGCUACACCUCCGAAGAUCAAUAAUGUAUCUCCUUGUGAUAUUAUGAUUUUUCCCUUUUUUCAAAACGUUCUUCUGUAGAUUAAUAUUGUGUCCAACUCUUGUGCCAUAUGCAACAUGAUGUAUGAUGCUUAUGCUAUGCGAAAUGAUGCGAUGAUGUUAUGUUAUGUGAGGCGAUGCUUAUUCCGAAGAUGCACACGCAUCCCUGCAAUAAAACAUAUAAUCUUUUACAAGCCUCCCUUAGGAGCUUCUUCGCCUUUUACUUCAGCGGAAUCAGCGUUUAUUUUUCGCUGUAAGCCUCCCUUAGGAGCUUCUUCGCCUUUUACUUUCAGCGGUAUUCGCGUUGACUUUUCGCGCUUCGCCUUUUACUUAGGCGGUAUCAGCGUUGACUUUUCGCUGUAUGCUCUGCAUUCCCUUUGGAACGACUUUGGAGCAGAAAACUUACACUGCGCCCCCUCUGGAGCGGCUUUUUGUGACUUCGGCAAACUUACUCUGCGUUCCUUAGAACGACUUUUUGUUACUUCGAAGAAUUUUCGAUGUUCGAAUGUCCUCUUUGUUGUCACAAGUCUUUCAACAAUUUAAUCCUGUGAAGAAAAUAUAUUUUCCUUGUGGGAAUCAACGAAACUAUUUACAUGAAACCUGAACAAUGUCCUUUAUUACAGAAAAUAAAACUGAAUGAAAAAGAUUGCUAUUAAGGUAGGAUAUUUGUCAAUAGAUGUGCUUUGACUCUGGCACAGUGCUGUUGACUGUGCGAGCUUCGGACUGCUCUCUGAAUUCCCUUUGGUGUGGAGCAUAUUGGCUCCCUUCUGGCUGCUGGCCUUAUUGCAGCGGUGGUGGAGGCGGAGGUUGUUGCCAGGAAGCCUGAGGUUGACUCGCCGAAGCAACAGAAACUGCAGGGUGAUUGCCUACAUACUCUGGGAUGUAAGGCGAAUGAUACAAAGCAGUGUGCAUGACCUGCUUCGGCUGAGCCUGUUGUGCUGCCGCUUCGGCUAUUUCUUUUUGCUUUUGGAUGGUAACAUGGCACAUCCUGGUGGUAUGACCUUUGUUCUCACCACAAAAUAAGCAAAAGAUUCUUCUCGGUUGAUCGCCAAAUCUUCCUCCGAAGCCCCUGGCGCCUCUGCCUCUUGGAACUGGUGGUCGGAAGGAGCCCUGCUGUUGCCCCGAAGCCUGUGAGGAACAUUGUGGCCUUUGCUGUUGGCUCCCUCUAUCAUCAUUUUGUGUAGAGUUAUGAAUUGAUCUAACGUGCCUCGGGUAGAACCUCCCUCCGAAGCCCCUAGUCAUUUCAGAAAACCUGAAAGCCUCCUCCCUUCUUUGGCGAAAAUCAUUAUCGGCCUGAAUGUACUCGUCCAUCUUCUGGAGCAGCUUCUCCAAAGUUUGAGGGGGUUUCCUAGCGAAGUACUGAGCUGACGGUCCUGGCCGAAGCCCCUUGAUCAUGGCCUCAAUGACAAUUUCAUUGGGCACCGUUGGUGCCUGUGCCCUCAAACGCAAGAACCUUCGGACAUACGCCUGAAGGUAUUCUUCGUGAUCCUGGGUGCACUGGAACAGAGCUUGAGCAGUGACCGGCUUUGUCUGAAACCCUUGGAAGCUAGUUAACAACAAGUCCUUCAGCUUCUGCCAUGAAGUGAUCGUUCCUGGUCGAAGGGAGGAAUACCAGGUUUGAGCAACACUCCUGACAGCCAUAACGAAAGAUUUGGCCAUGACUGCAGCAUUGCCACCAUACGAAGAUACUGUUGCUUCGUAGCUCAUCAAAAACUGCUUCGGGUCUGAGUGACCAUCGAAUACGGGAAGCUGAGGCGGCUUGUAGGAUGGAGGCCAAGGUGUAGCGUGCAGCUCAGCGGACAGAGGAGAAGCAUCAUCAAAAACAAAAUUCCCGUGAUGGAAAUUGUCAUACCAGUCAUCUUCGUUGGGAAAACCCUCCUGAUGAAGGUCUUGGUGCUGAGGCCUUCGGUGUUGCUCAUCCUGGGCAAGAUGGCGAACUUCUUCAGAGGCUUCGUCUAUCUGCCUCUGCAGUUCAGCUAGCCUGGCCAUCUUUUCUUUCUUCCUCUGCACUUGUUGAUGAAGCAUCUCCAUAUCUCUGAUUUCUUGAUCUAUCUCGUCCUCUGGUGGUGUCGGGCUGACAGCCUUCCUUUUCUGGCUUUGGGCCUCCCGAAGGGAGAUUGUCUCCUGAUUGUGGUCCAGCGGUUGCAGAGCUGCAGCCCCAGUUGCUGAAGCUUUCUUCGGCGCCAUAACGAAGGUUUAUGAUCGCCGAAGGUGUUCAAAAAACUCAAAGAGUGGAAGUGAGUUCACCGGAGGUGGGCGCCAAUGUUGGGGACUCGUUCUCAAGUGCUAUGAGUUAAGAACAAGGCAACAUAGAAAAUGUUAAUCGUUAAAGUCCUUCGUCCUUCGAAGCAUUAUUUCCCUUAGGAUAUAAUGGUUUUCGGACGAAGGUUAUGAAGGGCGUACCUUCAUAAGUUCAUUAUACAGUGACGAAGGAUGAAGUGUAAGGAAUAUAAAAGAUAAUAUAAACAAUUAUAUAUGUAUUAUUAUGUAUAAACAGAAAUAUCGCUGAAUUACAAAUGUACCUUCAACUUGAAGGAGAUGAUAGUACAAACGUGACGCAAAAAGCAAAUGCCCAGUCAGCGUGACCAGUACGGGGGUACUGUUCACCUAUUUAUAGGCACGGGACACAACCCAUACAAAAUUACAUUCAUGCCCUUUACACUUGAUAAUAAUUCUAUAGUAAUCUGUCGAGGUCUAAAUAGCCUUUUCAUCUUUAAGUCGGUUUCACUUUUUGCUGCCACGCCGAAGCUUUCCUGCUCACACCUUCGACGCUGUACCAACCUUCGUAUUAUUCUGGUCUACUGUGAUGCCGACUUGGGUCCGAAGAUACCUGUUCACACAUUAUACUCCAGAAAUACUGUUAAAUCCUGUUUUUGAGGACCUUCGGAAGCCGAAGGUCCCCAACAUAAAGAGAAUUUGGUCUUCAUUUGCAUUGAUGUUGCUCUUCUUUUGUUGCUUUUUGAUGUGUUGGAAUGAAUCACCAAAAAGGGGGAGAUAGAAAGGGAAAUGUGCCCUUGGGCCAUUUCUAUAAUGUUUUGGUGAUUAAAUGCCCAACACAAGUGACUAAGUUCUUAUGGGCUAAACAAAGUGAGAGAUACAAAUCAUAUGACAAGGUAUGUUUCUAGACUUAGUGCAUUGUUUUGAAUACUAAUGUGUUUGUCUAAGUGCUAGAAAUAGUGACAAAAGAAGGAGAAAAGAAAAGGGAAAGAGUUGGUUGUGUGCAGCAAACUCCAGCUCGGCCUGGCACAUCGGACUGUCCGGUGGUGCACCGGCAGUGUCCGGUGCCCGAGGCUAGCCGACGGUGAACCAGCUGCUCUCGGAAAUCGACGUAGUUGUAUGGAUAUAAAUCACUAGACUGUUCGGUGGUGCACCGGACUGUCCGGUGAGUCAUCCGCGACGAACUCGUAGGUCUCGGGAAAUGGAAAAGGCGACGUGGCUAAAAUUCACCGGACGGUCCGGUGAGCCAACGGCGCUGGUAGCCAACGGUCGGCUGCGCAAUCUGCGGGUGACGCGUGUCUCGCUCCAACGGUCGGUUGGGCACACCGGACUGUCUGGUGUGCACCGGACAGUGUCCGGUGCGCCAACGGGCCCGGAGGAGGAACGGUCAGCUACGUCCGAUAUGGAAGGAGAUCGCGCACCGGACAUGAACAGUGGAUGUCCGGUGGUGCACCGAACUGUCCGAUGCACCACUCGACAGAAGGCCAGAAAUGCCUUCCAAAUUGAUCUCCAACGGCUCCUAGCUGACUUGGGGCUAUAAAAGGGACCCCAAGGCACAUGGAGGAGACUACCAAGAAUUCUCUAAGCAUACUAAGACAUUCAGACUCCGCUCCCACACAUUUGAUUCGCUGUGUUGGUGAUUUGAGCUCCAUUCGAGUUGUGAACUCCCCGUGUUGUCCUUUGAGCUCAAGUCUUCACUUGUGUGCGUGGUUGUGCUGCGUAUUUGAGUCUUGUGUGUGUUGCUCUCCUCCCUUACUUCUGUGUUUCUCUUGUGAUCAUCAUUGUAAGGGCGAGAGGCUCCAAAUUGUGGAGAUUCCUCGCAAACGGGAGAAAGACUAUAAGGAAGAAAGCCAUGGUAUUCAAGUGGAUCAUUGGAUCGCUUGAAAGGGGUUGAGUGCAACCCUCGUCCAUUGGGACGCCACAACGUGGAAGUAGGCAAGUGUAACUUGGCCGAACCACGGGAUAAAAAUCACGUGUCUCAUGUGUUGCUUCUUGUGAUUGUUUUGUUCGCACGAGCGUGUUCCAUAGCCACUUGAUUUAACUAACACUUUAAUAAUCAAGUCUGUGGCUAUUUAGUGUUUGAUUUUACAGGAUCACCUAUUCACCCCCCUCUCUUGGUGCUCUCACCUAUUCACUAUCUUCGCAUGCGUACAGCUAGCUUUCAAAAAUGAUGCAGUCGUGCCGCGAGAAGCUAGCAGGGCGCAGAAGUCACCAUGCCCCGCUAUUACUUCGUCAAGCGCCUCAACUUCGCCUUCAAUAUGUUCGAAGGUGCAUGAUAUGUUGUCGGCCGAAGGAGUACACUUUUCAGCACUGGCUCCAACUGAGUUGAAAACCUUUUUUAACCGUUGUACGCAGCGGCUGCCGAAAUUCAGACAUAUGUCAUGAAGCUCCUUCAAAGAUUGCUUUAGCUUCGUAUUCUCGGUAGCUUCGGCUUCAUACUUCGUCUGCAAGUUUUUUCUCUCUCGUUCUAAGCUCUCUGAUUUUUGCAGGAGUUCCCUGUUUAAUCUAAUAUUCUCGGCUUGCGCUUCUGCAAGGGAACCUUCCACUGCUUGGAGUAGGAAAUCUUUCUUUUAUAGAGAAGCUUUGUAUUCUUUGAUUUUUCUCUCUAGACCCUCGAUUAUAAUUUCGUUCUUUUUAUCCUCGAGGUCCUGUUGCAUUUGCAGCGCUUUGCUCAGCAGCAUACUCUGUACAAAAUAGACCUUCAUCAGCAAAUUUCGUCGUAAAAAUGAAACAGAUGAUGAAAUUUUGCUUUGUUAUAAGAAUUUUACCUUAAAGUUGGAAUAAAACAAACUACCGACGAUAUGUUGUCGUUGGUAGCUGCUAAUAUCGGCUUCAAGCUUCGGAAAACCGACACUCUUCGAUAGAGUGCCGAUUACCAAUCCUUUCAAUGGCAUCUUUUCAAUGGCUUGCAUCACGCUACCAAUCCUUUGCUUCUUCAGCCCAUCUGCCUUCUUUGUAGCCGAAGGUUCUCCUUUCUUCUGAAAAAGCUUCGUCAGUUCCGGUCCCAGAGGACUUAGCAGCUUGAUAGGUAAAGAUUCAGUCAUUACCUUUAAUAUCUCUUCUACUUCGGUAGCAGGAGGUGUUGAAGGAGUUUCCUCUUCCACCUCAGUCACCUUCGGCUCUAGAGUUGUAGCCUUUCUCUUCUUCAAAGCCACCGCUUUCGGCUUGGGACUAGAUUUUCUCUUCUUUAAAGUUUUUUCAUCUUCCUUCACCAUUCUAGCAUCCUGCCUGCUCAGAACGCUGACAACCCUUUUCCUUUUUGCCCCUUCGGCACCUUUGUUGAGUCGCUCAUAAUCAGGGUAUUCAAAAUUUAGAGCAUCCAUUACCCGGUUCAACCUUCGUUUUGGUCGGGUGCCGAAGGCUGCAGUCAUUAAUUGAUCUUCUUUUUUGGUAUAGUUUCCCAAAAUUUCAUUGCACAUUGUCUCAAUCAUUUCCAGCCACUUUUGGCAAGGCUCCUUGAACUGUUUCUCAAAUUUAAAACGAUAAGGCAAUCGAACAAGCUCAAGUUUUUUCUUUGUUCCCUUUAGCUUCGGCAUGCUCCAUUCACUUGACAUUGGAGAUGUUCUAUUAGCCAAGUAUUCUUGAACCAGAUCUUUAGUGCUGAUUUGUUCAGCCACCACCCUGAAUUCUUAUACAGACAGUUGGCAUGCUAACCCUGGCUGCAUGUUGCACAAAGGUCUGGUCAUUCCAAAGCUUAAAGCCAAUGGGCACAUGGCCAUCGUCAUCAGUUUCCCCUUCUCUUUUCAUCGGCUUUAAUAUAAAACCAUUCACUCUUCCAGACGGUUGGCCACUUGGUGCGAUAGUUGAGGAUCCGAGCCUUCAUAUCUUUGCGAUACGCGAAACUAUAACAACCAAAAUUCUCAUGUAAACCAUCUGCUCUGGCCUUCGUUUGGUAGUGCAGCUCGUGCACUCGGCAGAAUGCUUCGGCAUCUGGGUCCAUCCCUUGGCUUCGGAGGGCCCAGAUGAAGAUACUGAGCCUAACGAUAGCGUUAGGGGUCAGCUGAUGAAGAUAAAUUUCAAUUUUUUUUAAAACUCCUCCUAUCAUCUCGUUUAGAGGAAACCGUAAUCCUGCUCUGAAGAAACUUUUGAAAACCACUACUUCAUCAUCCUUCGGUGUUGGAGUGGUUUCUUCUCCGGCAAAACGAACAAGCUUCCUCUCAGCUUCUCCAAAGUAGCCUAGUUUCAUCAUCAUGGGCACGUCGGCUUCAGACACAGUAGAUUUCUCAAAAUCUAGGUGGCUGGGUUUUGAUGGGAUCAAAAUGCUAUAAUCUUCCUCUUCUUCAUCAGCAUUUUCUUCCUCAAUAUCAACCUGUUCAGCUUCGGCAGCAGGUGUAUCUUCGUCAAUGGUUCCCUCUGUCACAACUAAACCCGACUGUCUAAUGACUUCGAAAAUCGGAGCUGUCUCGGUGGCCUCGGUCUCCUCUCCUUCACGAGUCACCCUUGCAGUCAAGCGUACUCUAGCCAACAGAUGGAUUUUUUUGCGGUUUUUACGAAGUUGAUGUCUUUCGCAGUUUUGACGAAGUUCUAUUUUUUAACGAAGCUAACUCAAAAUGAUGGUCCGCUCGAGAGUGCAGCGAAAAAGCUUCGGCUAUGGUUAAUUUUUUUAACAGCACAAUAGUGCAAUGACAAUGAAUGUCGUGGUAACUCCACACCUACCCGUCUGUUUAUAUAGUGCUGCAGGUGGGAAGGUGAACCGCCAAGUCGCCCACACCCGCUGAAUGGUGGGCCACUCGGUGUCUGGAAGGUGAAUCGACAGAUCGCUCGUACCCACUGAGCGCUAGGCUAUCUGACGCUUGGAAUAUUUUAAUCGUUUCUCGACAACGAGCUCAGGGAAGGUGUUUUUCGGACCUUCGGCAUUCCGAAGCCUUUGAGAUUUUUUCACGGGUCAUGCUCAUUACGAAAAACGAUCUAGCACCGUGAAGGGGCUACUAUUAGGGACAUGCUUUUUCACCGAAGGUCCUCCAAGCAAAAACACCUUCGGCAGUAUGAUAUGCGAACUGACACAGCAUGAAGGCACAAGCCGAAGCUACAACCCAUAAAGCUUCGGCAUAAUGACGCGCCUUGAGACGAAGGGCGGCACCGACUUAAAGAGGAAAAGACCGUUUAGUCCCUAAUAGUUUGUGUCGCAUUUGUAAUUUGUCAUCAAGGACAUAAAUGUAAUUUCGACCGGGCUGCGUCCCGCGCCUAUAAAUUGGUGAACAGUAACCCUGUACUGUUCACGCUGACUUGUAUUCACUCGCACGUCACACCUUGAUUUUUACCUUCUAUCAAGCCGAAGGUACAAAUAUAACUGGAUAUUGUUCAUGCUUAUUCAUGAUAGUAUAAUAAAAAUGUUCUGAUGAUGUCAUAUGACUAUUCAUGUUAUUUUACAUGUUUCAUAUGAUUCUACUUUCAUUAUUAUAUGCCGAAAUGAUGAAUGUAUGUCCUUCAUGACCUUCGUAUGAAGAUCAUUAUAUCCUAAAGGAAAUAAUGCUUCGAAAGACGAAGGUCUUUAACCAUUAACAUUUUGUGUUGCCUUGUUCUUAAUUCAUAGCAUUUGAGAACAAGUCCCCAACAAUAACCAUCUUCUAUUCCGGGUUUCUCGCUAGCCAAAUAUAGAAAACGUGAAUGACUCUCUAGAGCGCAAACAAGAUAUAGAAAAUGCGAGUUAUUACUCGGUACUCAGGGACGGAUCUAGCGUUGGGGCUGGUGGGGCUCAAAUCCCACUACCGCUCCUGAGCAUAUGGAGCUCCACCAAAAACCCUCCUAAAAUUUAAAAUAUAUAUAAGGGGUGUUUGAAUGUACUAGAGAUAAUAGUUAGUGGCUAAAAUUAGCUGGAGACAUCCAAACUCCCUAGCUAAUAUUUCAACUAUUAGCUAUUUUUAGUAAAUUAGUUAAUAAUUAGCUAGAUAUUUGUUAGCUAGCUAAUUUCACUAGCAAAUUUUUAGUCAACUAACUAUUAGCUCUAGUACAUUUAAACACCCCCAUAGUAUAAUCUUAUUACGUAUUUUAUGGUUUUAUCAUGUAUCGAUGUUUUAAUAUAAUGCUACUUCAAACCAUUACAUAUGUCUAUUAUAAGUGCUUUAUCAAUAAGAUUAUAUCAGUUUAGUUUAGUCCCUCCUAAAAAAUUUUCCUAUUGUACCGAUCAUUGGCAUGGUGAACCAGAUGCUUGGUACCCACCGAUCGAGAUGGUCAUAGCGCCAGUCAGCUCUACCGCUUAGUUGGCUGGCUGUCAACUGGCCAAUCGAAGCAUACCACCUACGUUGGAGCCUGCGCAGUCGGUACGUGUUAGGGUCGCGACUAAAACCGACCGGACAUGGUCGAUACUGUCCACAUGUUUGCACAUGUGUAAGCAUAUGAUUGGCCAUUCAAUUUCAAACGUUUGAAUUUGAAACAAAAUUCCAAAAAAAUAAAAACAAAUCAAAGCAGCCCUUUUCCCUCCUCUCCAACCCGUAUGCCCGCAAGCAGCCAUGCAAAUGGUAACAUCAUGCAUACACAUAUUCAAUUCUUCCGCUCAUGCCCUCCGCCACGGUGCCCUAAGUUAAAAAAAUUGUUGAAAAACCAUUAUGCAAAUUCAAAUGACAAAAUAACCAUCUUAACAUGUUGUGAUCAAUCUGAACUGCUAAUGCAAGCGCACACCUAGGGGUGAAAACGGAAACAAUAAUUUUCGGAUACUGGGAAUCGUUUUUGAAUUUUUACCUAAAUUUAGGUCUAAACAGAAACGAAAACGGUUACCGGAAAUACAAAAACAGAAUUGAUAGAAAAAAUCGGAAUCGAAAACAGAAAUGGUUUGGGUCUCUUCCGACCAUUUCCGAAAAUUACCGUUUUUAUUCGGUAUUUUACCGUCGGAAAUAAAUUCGGCAUUUUUCAGAAAAAAUAUUAAAUUUGAACUGAUCUUUGUAAAUUCGUAAUAAAUUUAUCUUAGCUUAGAAAAAUAUGAAACUAAUUUUAUUAUUUUUCUAAAAUUAAGAUCUAUCUAAUGGUAUAUAGUUUAGAAUCAUUUGAAACUUUUAUAAAUCUUAUUUAUGUUUUCUUACCUGUUAUUACUAUUAAUACAUAUAUUUAUAAUUUACACGAGAACUUAAGAAGGACUAAGAGGAUACUAAUUAUAUUGACUAUGCCAAGUAGUAAAAGUACAAAUAUAAUGUAAGUGCCAUAUCAUUAUACACAUCUUAAUUCUACUUUAUUUAAAUACAAAAUAAUAAUUUUAUUAUUGUAUGACUUCUUACUUUAUAUAUUUAUUGUGACCUCCUACCUUAUAUACUAUUACUAAUUUUAUAUGAAUGUAUGACUUGCGUGAUCGAAUUUUAGAUACAUGUUAAUUGAGGAUACAUGUUACAGUUUUUACUGAUCUAAUUUUAGAUUCCGAUCGUAACCGGUGUAAUUUUCGUACCGAACUUUCGUUUUCGAUGUUUCCGAAUUAUCGAUGUCGUUUUCGUUUUCGGAGUAUCCGAGGAAAAAUAUGAAACAAAAAUGGUUUUAGUGUUUACCGAUCGUUUCUGACCGUUUUCACACCUACACAUACCGAAUUAGACAUGUGAAAUAGACAAGCAAUGGUCUAUUUGUAAAUGGGAGAAAUAUGUAUUGGAAACCACUUGCUGGUCGAAAACAUGAAAACUAGUUUUAAAAAGAACACUUUUGUAACUUGAAAUCUUCUGGAACUUGAUACAUAUGCAGUUCAUCCAUACAUAAACUCACAUAAAAAGUUGAGAUGCAAAGUCAUCUGAAAAUAACAAAAUUUGUGUGCAUAUAUAAUAGAAGACAAAAAUACAGAAAUUGUCUUGUAGUGCACAUACAAGUGAAGUUUAUGAUUUUUAUAUGAAUCUUUUAAUAUUGAGUUUAUAUUCUAACAUUUGUAUGUAAGUACAUAUGUAGAUGACACAUAUGUGUCAAUUUUCAAAAAAAAAAGUUAAGUUACAAUAGUAUAUUUUAAACUAGUUUCCAUAUUUUCACAUAAGAGGUGGUUUUCAAUGUAUAUUUUAAAGUCUAUUUGACCCUUCAAACUAUUGUUAAUUGUUUACCUCACCCUUACACAUGUAAAACAAGGUAUUGUCUCCCUUAAACUAUUGAAAAUCAUCUACAUAAUCCUCUAAGGAGGUUUAGAAACUGGUUUUAUUGAUGUGACAUGUUAAAAUGUCUAAUUCCCUCAACUAUAACCCCUAGUCUUAUAGAUCCGUUUAGUUACCAUAUUCGGCCAAACUAGACUAAGAUUCCAUGCUUGCAUCCAAUACAAGCCUAUCAACCGCCUCACUCUCUCUACUCUUUUUGAGUUUCCACCACUGCCAAAUGAGCACCACCCUAUUUCCUUCUCCGCUCAUGGAAAUCCUCGACAACAUUGAACUCAUGCAUUGCACUUGUGCCCUUGUCAUUUGGUCCCUUCUUGUCUGCUCUUGUUUUCUUCUCACAUUGCUACGUAAAAAUUUGAAGGAUGAUCAGGUAAAAGAUAUGGGAGGGGUUGGAUGACAAGGGUACAAGCAUGCAUGGUGCUUGAGCUCAAUGUCAUCAAGUGUUGGGUGAUGGUCUAGGAGAUGAGAAGUUGCAUCCUGUUUAUUGGGUGGUGGAUUAGCAUAGAAAGACUAAAGAGGUGCAUGCUACAAAUGGGCCUAUAAGAAAAUAUGUGUACUUAGGCUAGCCUAGUAUGACACAAUGUCUAAACACCCUAGAAGACCAUGCAGGAGAUCACAUUAUUAGAUACUCUAAAAACUGUAAUAUUAGAUUUUAUAGUUGAUGGGGUUAUUGUCGUUGCGGAAACCUUCUAGGGACCGCCUUUGCAGACAAGGAGUCGGGAGGUGCGCUGCUGCUGCCUUUGUCCCUACAGAACGUGACUCUGUGUACAUGGCUGCUCUACAGACGCACAACAAUCAGUUAAACAUUAAAGCCAGAUCGUGUGGAUCAUCCUGUGCUGGUUGCACCGAUCGGCUCCUUGAGCCAAUUUUUGUUUCUUUUAUGGGUCGACUAUUAUCAUAAUAAUAAAUGUGAUCAUGCAUUGGAAGUGGUCGACAAAGAAUAUAAAUCUAUCUAAAGCAUGCAUGAGCCGAUUGUUUACUCUAGAGCAAUGUAAGUGCAUGUCCAAGAAGAGUGGCAUGCCAAAGGGCAACCAUUAUUAACUACAUUGUUAACCAAAUCUAGGGCCAUAUGAACAGUAAACCAUCUAUAGAAACAUUAGCUACUGAGAACUGUUGACCACACAUGUGAACAUGGAUCAUGACCUUGAAGGAAGUCCAACCAAAGUAAACAAUGAGGCUAAGCAUGUAAAAUAGGAUGGCAGAUAUGUAUUGGACUUUCAAGUUGCUGCGUUCACAUGUGCAACUUGUAAGUCGUAGAAUGUGGCAACUGGUCAAUGAAUACUCAUGCGGCAAUGUAAAAUCAAUCUAAUAGCAUGAAUCAUAAAGACAAAUAUAGAUUGAAACUACAAAUGUAACUAGCGGAUAUUUCUAACAACAACGCUUAGUACAAUAUCUAUCAGGGUAAGGUGGUGACACCAUGCCACCUUGACACGAUCAAGACCACAUCAGGGCAACAUGGCGUUACCUUGUAAAACUCUUGGGAAGGGGUGGCGAUGCACCGAGAGGAUGAGAGUCACUUGCUGCUUGGUGAAUGAAUGACUUUCUAUUUAUUCAUGUUUGUAUCAGUUUUAAUAUAUAGCCUUGUGGGCCUGAAGUGAUAAACACUUCCUAACUUACAUUACCAUCUAAUCUGUUACUUAUUUUUGAUAUAAUGGUAUAUUUCUAUAUCACACACUUAUUUUUUCUUGUGAUCAGAUACUUCUUUUGUGGAGCCAUUCGGUCAGAACAAUAUCCUAGACCCAGCUAGGAUUAGGUGCCAACACAUGCCCCCUAUUUUUGGUAGAAUCUUUUAUGUCGAAACUAAAUCUUCGCCUUGUGGAAGAUUAACACCUCUGUUAGCAGUCAAGUCAUGUCAACUGACUCUUCAUCACACAAAUCUACCUCAGGUUUUGGUCCGACACUUCCACUUCAAGUUGUUUGCCUCCUUAUACUAGUAUUAGUAUGCACAUGAACUCCUCUCCAAAUAGCAUGAACCUAUCGUAAGCAAUGACACCGCUUCUCCCACCUAGAACAACGACUCUUCCUACUUCUCUUGGCCAUCUGAUCCUCCCAUCACCCCUAUGAGUCUCCUCUUCCUUCUCCACCCUCGCUUUAUUUAGUCGAGGAGGAUUGUGACUUCCACUAAGACAUUGAUCCCUUCUCGAUUGAUUAUGCCUCAAUGAUCGUCGAUGAGUCCGAUGCAUAUUCGUUGUUUGUUGUGUGAGUUGCUCGCCUCCUGCAUGCCUCUUUGUACCCUCCACCUUGGAAGAUGAUUGGGACUAUGAUGAGGCAUACAUCGACUCCACUGAGGAGGAAGUCUUCGUUGAGGAGAUCGGAGGAGUUGGUAGAGAUGUGGCUGCGCAAUAGCAGCUCCACCAAUGAGGAGCCUAAGGAGGACCUCAACUAAGAUUUCAGCGACGAUCCUAGUGUGGAGAGCUUCACUGACGCUGUUGCCACCAAUGAAAGUGGUGACAAGGAGGAACUAGAGCGUAAGCGUAAGAGGUUGAUUAGAUACCUCUGCCUUUUAUAGAUAAGAUUUCUUUGAUAGGGUCCCCUUGUAGUCCUGCUCCUUCUCGAUGAAAUAAAUAAAACUUUCUGUCAACCUGAUCUAUUUGUGCUUCCCUUUGCUUGAUAUAUUUUGGCCAAUCUAUCUGUGAUGUUCAUGUUACCUUUUCUUGAUGCAUUUGAAUGACCUCCUCCUCAUUCCCAUUAUUAUUAGAAUGUUUCGGUAGCGUCCUAUUAGCCCAUAAAACCCCCAUCUUCGUCAUCUCUUCCUAUGGCGACGGUACUCUUAGCUGACUGUCAUUGGGGCUCACGAACGACAUCAACAAGUUUUCCUUGAACGACGUGUUGACUUAUGAUACCCUCCGAGCAGCUAAUGACACUUCAAUGUGUCUAUAGUCUUCUAGUCGUUCAUCGACUUUACCAUUUUUAUCAUUAUUUUUUAUCUAAAGGCGAUGGCAAUGCAUUGACUAUCCGACCUUUUACUUUUUUAGAUGAUAACAACAUAUCAACUUUUGGCUAUCAACAACAUUUCUUCAAAUAUUUGCCAUUGAUAUUCCUGCUAAACUAGAUGCCUUCUAAUGUUUCCAUCCGAUAUGAGUUACUUGGGACAGUUUCUUUGAUACGAUGUGGACACUUUCCAUAAAUCGGAUCCUUAGUCCCAACUAGCAAAAUCAAUUCCUAAAUGAGGUCGCUAGUGUGAAAUUAUUUGGGCCUAACCUUUUUCUUGUAUGCCCAAGCCGCUUUAGCUUUAUUUUCCUUGUUUUUUCUAAUGACCACAGUCUCAAUUCUAUUAGGUCCUCAGUAUUGAUAUUCAUCAUUAUUGCAUACUCACCAACCUAUAAAUCAUUCCAAAAUGUUACCAUUCUUGAUCCGUGCUGAUUUCCCAUGGAAUUAUGGCCUCUGAACCAUAAACUAGCUGGUAGGUCAAGUUCUUGGUUGCCUCAUGACAAGACAUCAUGUAAGCCCAUAAUGCUUCUACCAACUUGUCAUGCCAUUAUUUCAGGUAGUCAUUGAUCUUACGCUUGAUCAACUUGGUUAAGUUUUUAUUUGAUGCCUCGGUCUUUCCAUUGGCCUGAGCAUAAUAUGGUGAUGACUAACCAAGAUGACUCCAAAUUAUUUAGCAAACUUUCCAAAUUCUUCUGAUAUGAACACUAUCUGUUGAGGCCACAGACCCAUGUGCCUAAUUGGUAGAACAAGCGGUAUGCCCCAUACCUGUGGUGUGUUGGGUUUCUAAACCUAGCCUAAGUAGUGACCUCUGGGUUACUUGACCUUGACCUAGCACUACACACCACUGGCAUGGACCAAAGGUAGCCGAAGACCCACUCGUUUCACCUUACUUAUGCUGAGAUAAUGAUCACAAUAUAUGAUGUUGCCUAUAACACCCCUGGUGUUAUUAUCACUAAAACUUGAGCAUAACAUCAUGAAAAUUAGCAUAUCAUGUGUUUGUCACACCUAGAGUGCAUUCAUUAGGUAAAAAGUUCAAAAUUGUUGGACUGAUAUGACUUGAUGUGUGGUGAAACCCUAGGGUAGGGUACUUAACCCUAAACUAGGCUUAUGAGGGACAAUGAAGCACAAACAAGUUAAAAUCUCAAAACUUAUUAGAAAUGAACAUAAGAUGUCACAUUUAAUGAACUUUGAUAGCACCAAAACCCUAAAUAGGUCAAAACCCUAAAAAGACCCCUAGAAAACCCUAAAUUGAAGCCCUAGGGGGCUAAGUGUAAAAUUUGUACCUUUUGGACUCAAGUGCAAAAACCAAGGUAAUAGGGCACCUCAAAUCAUAUAGUUCACACCCUUGUGGAUUUUCAAAUCAAAUUGUGGAAAUUGGACCUAUUUGCAAAAAGGUACCCUAGGAAUCAUAUGUGGCUAAGUCUGAAAACCAGUGCAUAGAGCCAACUUUGGAAACCUGUAUCUGUCAGUUUAUGAGGAAUUUGCCCUAAAUCAACACAUCAAAAGUCUAGAGCUACUAUAGGAGCACAACUUUGCUUAAGUGAUUAAGCAUUAUUGACAUACAAAAAUUGGAGAUAACUAGCCCUGAAGUCUGGCUGUCAGACCACCCUAAGACUGAAUACUGACUGGCAGUUAGUUCUGAGGAACUUUGGGCUCGAUUCUUGCUCAAGGGGAUAAUCAAAGGAGCAUAGAUUGUAGUUGGUAUAUAGAGCUACAAGUUUGUUACAGAUGGAUUAGCAAGUUCUCAUACAAAAAUCCAAGAUCUGGGCACUGCAAUUCUGGUUAUCACGCGUUCUGAAUAAGGAAUCCGAUGGUACAGUGCUAUACAAAUAUCCCAGGUUCAGAGAACCUCACCGCUGGUGAGCCAUGCGUCCGGAUUCACGCCAGCCGCUGUGAUUCGUGCCCAUCGCAAGUGGAUAACAGAGAGGAGUAAAAAUCUUGACGCUCGAAUUAGCUCGGGCUUGCUCACCGUUGUGCCUGCCGUACCCACUUGGACCACGGCUGGCCGGGAUCGUCCUCGCUGGCAUUAGCCACUUAACGAUCGUGCGCCACACGUCUUGGAAGUCUAGCACGUCACAAUGAAUCGGUGUUACAAGCCUAUCCAUCGCCUGAGAACUGGCCACGGUGAAAGCCACAAAUUCAUUGCGCCAGUAACCUCCCCUCUCCCCGGUCGCCAACGCUUCACCUCCAAAUUAAGUGCCACCGCCAUUGAGUGAUAUAAACUGAAGCCUCAGGGAGCUCCGCUAGGAAAUUACGCGUCCAACGCACCAGCACUUGCCUCCAAUUGUCCACCAGAGCCGCCCAAUUGCCCAUUUCCCCCAAAUUGGUCUAAAUACCACCGCGUGAGCACCUCGCCGUGGCCAGCGUGCUACAGGUCCAUUCAUGUCCUCUGCUCUCUUGUUGCAGUACCCUUAUGUGCCCCUGAUGCUUCUCGACCCGACCGACUAAGCUAGAACCCAUUAGAUUACCAAGAACACUUUGAAUUGUCCCCGGAUUGCGCGGUCACCGUGAGCAGAGAAGUUGGGAGCUCGAACCGUGCAAUUGAUCGAGGGGAAAUGAUUGUUAGAUGUUGAAUUAGGUAUCAACCAAGUUAGAGAACCGGCCAUUGCGUGACUUGGCCAGUACAGGCUCGCCAGAGCUCGGUUUGCCGUCGUUCUGCAUCGUGGACUUGGCGCAGUGAAGAAAUAGAAAUAUAGGGGGGUUUUGUGAGUUGUCAGUGACUCAGUGAUUAGUACGUUAGACUCUUUUCAAGUUGUUUAAAAUUCCAGGGGCCUUUGCGCAAAGUUAUCAGCACGGGCGCGCGCGGGGCAUUUUGCCUAUCAUGGGCUGUCUUGGGCCAGAAUGAGCCCAAUACUGUUGACCCUUCAUCUUUUUCUUUUUCUGCCAGGAUUAGAGAAUUCUUAGAAAAUUGUAGAAAAAUGCUAAAAAUACAAUACCAAUUUUGUUAGACUCCUAAAUUUCUAUAUUAUUUAAUAAAAAUGGUUUCAGGAUUUUUAGUCCAAACCAGGAAUUAUGAAGUAUAAAAAUAGCUAAAACCUAUACUCCUAGAAUUUUAGAAAUUACUUAGUAGCUCCGAAAAUCACCAAACUUUUUGGAUAAGCCUAAAAUGGUAUUUAGAAACCUUGGGUGAAGUUUGACUUGAUUUGGACAAUGUUUGAUACCUAAACCCCAAAACCCUAACCUUCUAAGUAGUGCCUGCCCUAUGGAAUAAAAUGCUGACUCCAAAACCCUAGUUUCCUAGAGUACCGUGAAGGAAAAUUGUAUUCAAGGCCUAAUAUGAUGUACCUUUAUUAUCUUUGCAUUUCCAUAAGCAUUACAUGAGCAUUCAUGGUUAUAUAUAUAUAGAACGAAGAAGUAGUGGUUGAAGAAGGAGUUGCACCACCACCACCUGAAGACCCACAUGCUGGGAACUGCUUUUACUUCGAUAUUUACGGAGCAGAGCCCGACUCUCCUAUAACACAAGGCAAGCCCCGGUGCAUUUGCCACCUCCUUGCUAUUUUAAAAUCUUUCUCACUUGCUUGAUGCAUUAAGUGAUAGGAGUUGUGUGCUAAACAAAUUGAUGCAUUUCCUUCCUUGGAAGUUUGAUUACCUUUCCUUGAUCACCUGUUUUAUGAAAGGAUUUUUCUUAUGCUUAGUAUUGCUCUAGAAAAACAAAAUGUUUUGUUUUAACAUAAUAUGAUGCUUCAAGUGGGAUGGGAUAUUUUCAAAAAUAAAACUUGAUGGUGGAUCCAUCAUGGCCAUGAUGGGUUCAACGUUGUCACACCCGGUUUUGGAAGGUAAACCGAAUGCGAACCAUGUACGUGCCAGGAUCAGAAAUUCACGUACACAGCGAUUACAUAAAUGACUCAUCAUAGCACAAUGCUUCGAAUAACAAUAAAAAGUAAUUAAUAAUAUUAAAGACCAGAGUCAUUUACAUAAUAUAAAUCAAAGUGCACAUAAUAGAAACGUAGCCAAUGUAAAUUAACCCACCACAGGCAGCUGACUGGGGGAGGUCGCUAGCCUAAUCCUCGAACUCGUCAUAGUCCUGGAACUCCUGGAGAUCCGCCUCGACGCCUUCUUCUUUACCUGAGCAUAGAUUGCACCAAAGGCAACCUGGUGUUUUGUGAAAGCAAGGGUGAGUACACAUCAACGUACUCAGCAAAUGUCCCGUUUGGCUGAAGUGGACUAGCUUUUAUGUGGGGUUAGGCUCAAGAAGUUGCUUUUAGUUGGUCAGAUAUUUAUUGUUAGUAGAAGCCAGAUUUUAUCAUAAAACCCAAGUUAUAAUCCCAAAAAGUACCUCCUCAGAGAGGAAAUACUAGAAUACAUAAUUAAAGUCACCAUCAUUAACCAUCAUCAUUAAAGUCAUCAUCUGAGGUGUAUCCGGAGUAUCUCUAAUCAAAGAGGAUCCCAAGGCCGCUCUUAACCGUGAGCACGACUGAUAUAUCAGUUUCGAUACCCUCUGCAGAGGUCGCACACUUUACCCAUGAGCCAUGAUUCCCGUUUUGCCCGGGGAUCAUGACUCCCCAUUGAUCACUUCCUAGGUGGUCCGGCAGGGUAUCACUACGUAGCCUUUACAAAGAUUCCCUAGAGGUCAUAGCCGCCCGUUAGGUUUCUCCAGUUUGAUAAACACAGUACCUCUUCCCGCAGGAGGGUGACUAACAAAAGCAAAACGAAAGAACCUCGGCACCCAACCUCGGCAGAGCAAGCACUGUGCCUGGACCCCAUUGACGGCACGACGGCGAAGCAACUACACCUCUAGUUCCUCUAAUUAAUUAGCUAAGGGCGUCCCAUUUCGCCCUCAUGGUUGCACUGUUAUCCCGGGUGGUCUCUCAACGAACAGGUCCUUACGAAGAGGUACUCGGGAAACAGCCCGAGCCCCCUAAAGUAUCACAAGAACAUCAUCGGGAUAACAUCAUAGUAUCAUAAGUAUUCACAUCAUGUUCAUUGAUUAAAGUAAAGCAAUAGCGUAAUGCUAACCAUGAUAACCAAAAAGAUAAACAAGGAUAAGGUAAAUAGAAAGCUAGUCAAUCCUUAGGUCUCAAUUAAGUAAUGCGGGACAGUGCAUUAAAAGUGAAUGGGAAAUAAUGGGUCAGAGGACACUUGCCUUCACCAAACAGAUGCUCAGGGUAUUCAAUCUCGUAGAACUCGAAGAGUUUUGAUCUCUUGGUCACCAACGCUUGAUCAUCGAUUCCUGGAAGCUUGGAGAUGGAUCGCAUUCUAAUCGCAACGCGAAGCGAAGACGAACAGACACAAGCAAGCAAACACAUACAUAUGCAUAAGAACAUUACACCAUACAAGAUAAAACAUCAUAAAAACGAGUAAUAUAAAGUAGAGAACGCUUCUCCGGUUACGUGACAAAAAGAAACGCGACGGUCGAGGCUACAGUCGAGGAGUUAUCGUGUUUACGUUAAACAAAUGUUAAAAAUAACAUUUAAUUCGACAUUAACAAACAUAAAUGUUAUAUAUCAGUUAGUUCGAUUAAUCUGCUACACUAACAAAUGUCAGUUAAUUAAAUAAUUUAAUUAAAACAAGAGAUCCUAAGUGAGAUGGAUUUAUGACGCGUGAAACAACACGAUAGCAUGCAAACGACGCGCGGACACGCGCGACAUAGCACACUAACGACACACGAAAAUAGCGUGCGCGACGAGCGCGAAUGCGCACGAACCCGCACGCGACCACGAGCGCAUCACACACGAACAACGCGCAGACAGCAUGUGAACGACGCGCGAAGCAGCACACAAUCGUGUGCUGAACAGCACGCACGAUAUACGAGGAAAGCUAAAUCGGUGACGGGUUUAUACUAAACAAGUGUUAGUUAAAUAAAAAAUGAGUUAAGCUAAUAUUACCCCGGUUAAUGUUUAUUAUAAAAGCGCGAGAUAAACACUACACAUUUAAUCUAAUUGAAAUGUUAGUCUAAUAAAUAUCAGUUGAGCGAACCUUAAGUUAAUUUCUAAGAUGUAUGACUUAACGAAUUAAUGUCACUAACAUGAAUAUUCAUAAGUGGCAAACUAUUUAUUAUCACACGCAGACGUCGUGCGACACACACAAAACAACACGCACGAGCCAACGCGACUACGCGCGUGAACGGCUUGCUGACGCGCAAACGAUGCCGCGCGCGAACAACAACAACAAAUAAUUAAAUAAAAUUAUUUAGGUUGGUAUUAAUCAAGUUAAUUAACAAUUAUAUUGAUAAAGGCACGAAUUAAAGCUAAAGUCUCAUUCUAAUUAAAUCGUUAUUUUAGAUAACCGGCAACUAAACCAGAAUUGACUAAAUAACGCGAGCAAUCAUAAUGGAAACAAUUAAAUAAUGCGCGGAUAGCGCGCGAGACACACGUGAGCAGCAAGAGACGACACACGCGGCAGAGGAACCGAUGCGAUCGACGCAAUGGUCGAGAGAUAUCGCAUGCAUGCUACACAGAUAUGAAUUACAAUAUUUUAACUCAACCUAGUCAUACUAACAGACAACUAUCACAUGCAAAGAUAAAAUCGACGCUUAGCUUUGAUGGGUUUGCUACUCGGUUACUCGCUGUUUAAUUACGUAAAUUAAUUAACGUGAGUGAUUCUAGGCGAAACAGUUUAUUGUCGUACGACACGGCGCAUGACCCACUAAACAAGGCCGCGGAACGGCGCACGCAACAACGCGCAUCGACACGUGUGAACGACACGCACGGUGCGCGCGAACGGCACGCGAUAAUCGCUAACAAAUAACGUGUUUAUAAUAAACAAGUAUUAAAUAAAAAGUGUUUAAGUUGAUAUUAAUGUCAUUAAUGUAUAUUUACAAAAGUGCAACCUAAACUAUAAAUUAAAUUGCUAUUUUAAUAAUCAUCAGACAAACCAUUAAUUAAUUAAUUAACUAAACCUGCGACCAAAUUAAUUAACUGAACCAUUAAUUAAUUAAUUAAUUAAGUGAAGCAUGCAAUGGCCUUUGUUGGCUUUGGUUCUGCAUGCCGUGCAUGCGGUGGGGGCGAGACCGGUUUCCAAUUGACUGAUUCCAAUCGCAAGGGAAAACGUGUGGGGGAAUGGGUAGAUCGGCAUGCAACCAUGCGGGUGAGGUCGACCUAGAGCUCUCUUUUUCUCUCUCUAUCUUCUCCAUACUGGAACAGUAAGGACGGUUAUUGCUCACCUUCUCCUCCAAAAUUCAUGGCGGCAGCAAAGCAAUAGGGAGCAGCCGACCGGACGUGGGAUGGAGGUGCGACCUGCAGAGGCCUAUGCGCGCAGGGAGCCGAGCGGGGCACAUCGGGGUGGCUCGGUGGCUCACUGAGGCGGCUGGCCAGGCCAGCCUCGGCGACAGGCGGGCAGCAACGGCACGGUGAUGCACCUGCGGGAGGCUGCAAGGUCCAGUCGCGGCCGAGCAGGGACGUGGGAGCUCGGCCCGCCGGCUGGCCGGUCUGCCGUGGCGAGCCGUGCGACCGCGCAGGGGAGGGCCUCGGACUGGGCGCUGGCUGCGGCUGGCUGGCCGCCGCGCAGGCUGGGAUGGGCGCCGCGCCGCUGCUGGCCUAGGGGCUGGCCGGCUAUGGCUGCUAGAGCGUAGUGGAGGUACAUUUAUGGGGCUGGGCAAACGAGGAAGAAGAGCCCAGGAAAGAAAGGGACGAGCGUACGACGAUGCUCCUCCUCUCCUCCGGUUGCUGCAGCGUCCGCGAAAAUUCUUCGUCUGGGAACUGACAUUUGCGAAGGAGAGAGGUAAAGAUAGGACAAUUGUGUAACUGCUCGGGAAUAUGCGGAGGGAGAGAUUAUGUAUGGGUGGAGAGGUUACGGUGGAUUUCUUCUCGUAGGAUCAUGGUAAUCUAUUUUAAAGAUUAAAUAAUCAUAUUAGAUACCAAAAUUACUUUAAUGGAUAAAAAUAUUUUAAAGAGUCCAAAAAUUUAGAAAAACUCCUAGACAUGUUUUGGAACCUAAUGAACUUAAAUAAAAUAUUUGGAGGUUAUAAAAUAUUUUUAAGCGUCUCAAAUAACUAGAUUUUGAUUUUCGGAAAAUAGGAAAACACUCAGAAAAUAUGAAAAAAAAUCCAAAAGCUUCUACAAGAUAUAUUAACAUGUUUCAAACAACUUUUGCAUACAGAAACACUAUGCAACGACAUGAAUGCGACAGUCAAAGCUUCUCUAGAGUUUCACUUCACUAAGCUUACACCUAUAUAUAACAAAAUAACUCUCCAUUAUUUAUGAAGUAGAGAAGAAAAGCAAGGAAAUGAGAGGGUAACACCUGAAUUUGGUAGAUAUUAGAAAAGAAAUUUUAUACCCCCAAAUUCAGUGUGUUACAAACGUCGGAAAAGAUGUACCUCUGUCAGGUACCAAACUUUGGGUUGAAAUGAUAAAGUUGAGACCGGGUGGGUGACUUGCACAAGAAGAGAGUCUCGGUGUAGUGUCUCCGUCUGUGUCGAUUAAGGACCGUGUCGAUGUUGGCUUGAUGAUUGAGGACCUUUUAACUGGUCACAUGCCUCAUCAUGGGUAAGCUUUGCCUCGGGCAGACUAAUACCAGAAUAAGAUAACACGCAAUGGGAGUGGAGAGAUGGCGAGAGUAGCGUGUAGCCUCCGUGGCAAGAGGCUAGACGGUGGUGUAUCUGUGCUCUUGGUUGGCGUGAACCUGAUCUAGUCUUAAGAACCCCGGUGGCGAGUUGACAUAUGCAAGAGUUAAGUGCUACAUAUGUCGUGUGAUUGGAGAUCCCCAGCUGGGUAUUAAUCGAUUCGGAUCGCCGUUACUUCUCGAACAUGAAGACUUGGUCACUGACCUACACGUAGCAUUCCAGUGAACAAGAAGGGUUAAUAAGAAGAUGGCUAGUAUAGGCCAAGUGCUUGAACUAGGGUACAAAGAACUCUAGAUUCAGGUAAUGACUUAACUUGCUAAUAAAACUGGAUUUUUAAGGAUCCACUAUUAGUAAGCAUUUUUGCAAACAGAGUCUUGAUUCUUGAUUAAGCCUUACCUUGACUCUCUCAAGCCAGCAUAUCCUUGAGAAUCUUUUAUUUUGACGGGUAAGACUUGCGAAAGUACACUUCGUACUGAGGGUUUUCGAACCCAUGUUGUUGUAGGUGAGGAAGCAGUAAACUUUUGUUGCUUUUGCUCUAAGGUGGUGCCAAAGGAAGAAUCUCAAGAAUGAAGCCUCGGGAGGAUGUUGUCCUCCUUAAAAACUUUAUACUUUUAUGCGGGAGGGGUUUUUGCCUCCCGAGUUUGUAAUAAUAAUACUUCUGCACCCAUAUAUAUUACUGGUCUGUAAUAAUAACACUCUUCUAUAUUUUAAUGUAAAUUAAGUUACUGUAAUUGCUUCCGUUAUCCGUUCCUCCGAUGUGUUGUAAUAUCUGCGUGACGGGUGAAACGCUCUUGGGAAAGGCAAAGAAUGCAGAUACCGAACUUGUCAAGCGAUCAGGUGCAUCUGCAGGAUUGUCCGAGGUCCGAUGGACAAGGACAACUGUAGGUGGGCCUAAUGACUAGGGAGGUUCCGUCACAGCUGGUACCGGAGCGAAGCCCAUCUCUUCAGAUUUUAUGAGACAUUUCAAAAAGAAUUUUCAAACACUUAUCUAAGAAAACAUCUUUCAUGCUUAUCUUACUACUUUCUGAAGUACUCAUCUUAUAAGACCAGGUAGCAGAGUGCAAUGUAUAGGAGGUUGUGAAUCAACGAAAGUUGAUUAUGUAAUUAUGCAUGCAUCAUGUUUAAAAACUAUACUAAUAAAGUUUUCCCCAUUAUGGAGAUAUGCCGCUGCGUACGAGGAAAACUGCGCGUAAGUCCACUGGACCUAUUGGCAUACCUCGGCAUCAGCUAGCUCCAUGUAACGCCCUGAAUUCGGGGGUAGAUAUUUUUCUUCUUUUUACUCACCAAAUUCAGGCGUUACUCUCUUUUCUCUUCCUGUUUCGCUCCUUCUUCACAAUUUCAAAGCAGUAUAGCGACUGGUGUCCGUAUGGCGUGUGAACAAAAACCAAAGUUGUCAUGGGUAUUGCAUCAUGCCAAGGCAUAUUUCUUGUCUGAUGUCGUGUUUAAUCGCGUGUUUUGCUUGGUCACGUUUCGCGAAUCGGAUUCCGAUCGGUGGUUGUGCGUGUCGUGGGUCUUUGCCCCGCGACGUGACCCAGCCCGACCCAACCCGGCCCAGCCAGCCCGCUCUAGCCCACGCGCCCUCGGUGCCCUGCCCCUCCCCAUGCGCCCCCCUCCCUUUCUCUCAUUUGAUUUUCCCGCGCAGCAACCUCCUCUCCUCCACCUCUCUCUCUCCCCGUGGUGCCCUAGGUUUUGGAGACGAUGAUCGCCGGAUUUGGACCCCGAGGUGAGCUCCCCUCUCCCUCUCUCUCUUCUCCUCCCCCCUCCCCUUCUUAUUCCUCCCGCGCGGCCCCCUGGCGCGUCCCGCACGGCCCCCUGACAGCCCCCAGCGCGCUCCCUGGCGGCCCUCGACGCGCUCCCGCAUGGCCCACUGGCACGCGUCCUGCGCAGCCCCCGGCGCACUCCCCUCGCGACCCCAGCGUUCGUCCCGCGCGGCCCCCGACGCACUCCCGUGCGCCCCCCAGGCGAGCUUCUGCGCGGCCCCCUGGCGCGCUCCCCGCGCAGCCCCCCGACGCGCUCCCCCCCCCCCCGCGUCCCAGCAUGCCCCUGCGUGGCCCCCCGACGGUGCUCCCUCGUGGCCUUGGCAGCGCCCCUCGCGGCCCCCUGCCCCGCCCUCCCCGCGCGCCCCCUGGCGGCGCCCCUGCGUGACCCCCUCGUGGCCCCCUGGCGGCGCUCCCACGCGUGCCCUGGCGGCCCCUCGCACACGCCCCCGAGCGGCCCCUGCUCGGCCCCUCCCCGGUGGCGCCCGCCCUGUCCCCGACACGGCUGCGCGCCCCCGGCGUGACUCACGUGUCCCCGGCGCGGCCUCGCGCAGCCCCAGUGCGUGGGGCGAUCGAUUUUAAGUUUAAUUAGUUUUGAAUUUAGUUUAAUGAAUGUGCUGCGUUGCGCGCUUCGUCGCGCGAUCAUUCGUUUUAAAUUCAUCUUUAUUAAUGAGUUGUGUCGCGCGCUUCGUCGCGCGACGAUUCGUCUUAAUUUUAGAUUUAUUUAAUGUGUGGCGUCGUGCAUCCAGUCGCGCGACGUUUCGUUUUAAAUUCAGUUUAGAUGACAUAUGCCGUCGUGCGUUUCGUCGCGCGACGCUUAAUGUGUCUUUAUAAUUAAUGCAAGUGUCUCGUUGCAUGCUCCGUCACGCGACGAGUCGUUUAUUUCUUAAUUCAAUUUAAGUGUUGUGUCGUGCACUUCGCCGCACGACAAUUCUUUUAAUUUACCUUUAUCUGUUCAUAAUAAUUAAACAUGGAACAUGACUUUACCCUAUGCUAAACACGAUGGCUAAAUUAAUACUAUUCUGUUUAAACGAGUAUUUGAUUUAUAAUCGUGUGACAUAAUCGCUCUUCGACCGUAACCUCGACCGUUACUCUCUCUUUCUCGCUUAGUCGUAGGUGUGAGCCCUGCGCCGAGUGUCUGUUUAUUUAUAACAUUCUAUUGUAUGGUGUACUAUUCUUUUUGUAUUAAAUAUGUGGAAUGUAUGUUUGAACUCGUAUAGAUAACGGUCAGUUGGUGGGGCCCGAAGGAAUUGCAGGUGAAGACCCUGAGCAGCAGCUGGUUGGUGAAGGCAAGUGUCCCUUGACCCAUCUAUGUCCUACUCAUUCUUAUAAUUCACUCCCCGCAUUUAUACAGUUUAUACCUAAGGAUUGACUAGCUUUUGUUUAUCUUGUCCUUGUUUACCUAUUUCAUUUGGGUUAUUUUGGUUUAGCUUUAUGCUAGCUAUUCACAUUAAUCAAUGAACAUGAUGAGAUUAUCUAUGAUACGCUGUUUUCCCUUUUGAUUAUGAUGAUGGUUCUAUGACAUUUAAGGGGACUCGAGCUGUUUCUCGAGUGCCUCUCCAUAAGGACUGGUUCAUUGGAUGACCGCCCGGGAAAACAGCGCAACCAUGAGGGUGGAAUGGGAUGCCCUUAGCUGAAUAAUUAGAAGAACUGGGGUGUAGUUCGCUUCGCCGUCGUGCCGUUAAUGGGGCUCGAUGUAUGCGGCUCGCUCUGCCAAGGUUGGUUCGCCCCCUUGGGGAGGAGUGUGGUGCAUUUAGGAAACCUAAUGGGUGGCUACAGCCCUAGGAAAUAUUUGUAAAGGCUACAUAGUGAAACCCUGCCUAUUCACCUUGGUAGUGUUUAAGGGUUUGAUCGGCCCGAGGCAAGAGGAAAUCACGGCUUGUGGGUAAAGUGUGCAACGUCUGCAGAGUGUUAUAAACCUGAUAUAUCAGCCAUGCUCAUGGUUAUGAGCGGCCAAGGGAGCUCCAUUGAUUAGAGAUACUUGAUCAGAGAUGGUUGGUUUAUAGGUGGUGAUGAGGAUGAUGGUUUUGGUUACGACUAUGGUAAUGGUAAGUGGUAUUCUUUCCGUUUGGAAAGGGUACUUUGGGUUAAUAACUUGGGUUAAUGCUAAAACCUGGCUUUCUGCUAGUAAUAAUAACCUGACCAACUAAAAGCAACUGCUUGACUUAACUCCACAUAAAGCUAGUCCACUACAGCCAAACGGGACAUAUUGCUGAGUAUGUUGAUGUGUACUCACCCUUGCUUUACACACCAACCCCCCAGGUUGUCUGCGUUACAACCAUUGCUCAGGUGAAGAUGAAGUCGUGGAGGAGGACUUCCAGGAGUUCCAAGAGUACGAUGAGUUCUAGGCGUGGGUUAGCGGCAACCCCCAGUCGGCUGCCUGUAUAGGCCAUGUGUAUCUACGUUUCUUUUCCGCACUUUGAUAAUUGUUAAAGACUAUGUGGAUCUCCCGGACAUCAUGAUGUAAUCAACUAUUACACCUUCUUUAUGUUAUUAUUUGAGCACUGUGUGAUGAUGUCCAGUUAUGUAAAUGUUGUGUACGUGAAUUGCUGAUCCUGGCACGUACAUGGUUCACAUUUGGUUUGCCUUCUAAAAACCGGGUGUGACACUCCAAGACAUGAAGAGAGCAGCAGCGGCAGUAACGACCCCAUCAGAGACCUAGAAGCCCAAGUGGAGCAGCUUCGGAUGGAGCUACAUCACCGAAAUAGGGUGUGGGUAGAAUAUGGUCAGCGUAUAAAUGAGUUAAGAGCUGAUGUCAGACAUCUGCAAGAUGAGCUUGCUGAACGGGAUUUGGCAAUCGAUUGGGCUGUCAACUCACGUUCAAUUGCUUGGGACCGGGAAGCCAAAGCUCGAGCCCGUGUGGAUGAGCUCAGCACGGCCCUUGACAGCUUGCAGGUGUAUUGCAAUACUUUAUAUGAGGAAGUCCAUGUACUGUAUUCGCGACUGCACCUAGACGUACCUACUGACCCUGUUGGAAUGGGAGUCGGACCCUCAGGAACAGCAGGUGAAGCACUUGGUGGCAAGCCCCUUCCUUCUAUGAACCUGGCUGACGAACGGUCCCCUACAACAGAUAGUGAAGCAACCAAAGACGAUAAAUACUAGAGUAGUAUAGUUUAGAUAUAAUACUAAUGUAAAAUAGGUAAGGAAGUCAUGUUGUACAUUUGAGUCUGUAUGAUUACAUCUUGGUAAUGUAAAAUGAUGGUAUCAGUAUGUUAUAUUUCCCAAAUGUUUCUUUGCCUCAUAUGCCAUCCAGGACUCGUGCACAUGACAGUGUUGGUACUUCCUGUGGUCGGGAAGACACGCCCAAUCCACCACCUGUACCGCCAACGUUGGCCGAGGCUAUCGCUGUCUUGGUCAAUGCGACCGCCGACAACACCCGCUUUUUGCGUGAAAUGGCGGGAAAUCAAUUUCAGCAGCAUGGCGGAAGGGUUUAUCCGCAGGGACCCCGUGAAACUUCAUACCUAGAUUUCUUGGAAACCCGUCCCCCACUCUUCGUUAAAGCCAAAGACCCUCUGGAAGCCGACGAAUGGGUACGGGUUAUUGAGUAGAAAUUUGGACUCAUCCGCUGCACUGAAACCUAGAAGUCGUUGUUCGCGGCUCAAUAGCUAAGAGGCCCUGCCAGUACAUGGUGGGGAAAUUUUGUGGCCAUUCAACCUGCCGGACAUUAGGUCACAUGAGAUGAAUUUAAAUUAGUGUUUCGUGAGCACUAUAUUCCAGAAGGAGUGCUGCACAUGAAAUAGGAGGAAUUCAUGCGACUCAAGCAAGAAGGAGAUACUGUCAUGCAGUAUCUCAACAAAUUCAAUCAUUUGUCCCAGUAUGCAAUUGAUCAGGUAAAUACUGACCUGAAAAAGAAGAAUUGCUUCAUGAGAGGCCUCAACGACCGGCUUCAAAGAAAAUGGCCACCUGCCUAGAUCUCUCCUACAACAGGGCUGUCAGCAUAGCGCUGGCAGUAGAAGCAAAGCAUAGAGGCCCAGGAAAAUCAAAGGGAUUCGGAGGUGACAGGUCCAACCAGGGGCCUAAAAAGCGACCAAGGUUGGUAAUUCGACCUUUCAAUCAAAACCGUUCUUCACCUCGUCCACCCUCCUACCCAUUUAAACAGCCUGUCUUCAUUCGCCCUGCCACUGCCCCCACUUCAACAAGUCAGCCGAGUGCCCCUGGUGCUCGUUUCCACGCCCUCCCUAGUUCCUCAACUGGCUGCUUCAAUUGUGGGAAGUCUGGACAUUUUAUCAAAGACUGCCCAUAUCUGAGGCAGAACAAAUCCAACAAUCAGCGGAACCCAGGGAGCUCAAAUCAAGGCAAGGGAAACACGACGAAUAAUUUAGCGGGCAAGAAUAUAAAGAAGAUUGGGCGAAUAUACUACACACAAGUGGCCACUACACCGGAAGGAGAGCCGGUUAUGAUGGGUACGUUUCUUGUGGCCAAUCACCCUGCAAUCAUUCUCUUUGAUUCUAGUGCUUCACAUACAUUCAUAAGCAAGAAAUUUGUGGAGAAAUAUUGCAUUCCUUGCACUAAAUCAAGGGAAGGGUUUAUUAUUUAUUCGCCUGGGGGACAAAUAUUCACUAAAGAAGUGGCUUUCCAUGUGCCUGUAACAUUGGAUGAACGGGACUUUCCCACCAACAUGAUUGUUCUGAAAGGCCAAGAUAUAGAUGUAAUUCUGGGCAUGAAUUGCUUAGCCCAGCACAAAGCUAUUCUCAACACUGAUUUGAGAACCAUCAGGUUGAGCUAUGGCCAUGAAGAGGUUCUCUUGUCCAUCCCUGUAGCUAUUCCAGCUAAACCAUGUGGCAGAGUCUAUGAAGCUAUCAUCCGCAAAUCCAAGAUAUUCCGGUAGUAUGUGAGUUUCCGGACGUCUUUCCUGAAGAUCUGCCUGGAUUACCUCCAGAAAGAGAUAUAGAGUUUGUGAUUGAACUAAAGCCUGGUACGGCUCCUAUUUCUAGAAGGUCGUACCGAAUGCCUCCAAAUGAGUUGGCAGAGCUCAAGACUCAAUUACAAGAUCUACUAGAGAAGGGAUUCAUCCGGCCUAGUUCGUCACCUUGGGGAUGUCCCACAAUCUUUGUCAAGAAGAAGGAUCAAACACUUCGGAUGUGCGUGGACUACAGACCCUUAAUGAGGUCACAAUCAAGAAUAAGUACCCUCUUCCCCAGAUUGAUAUUUUAUUUGAUCAGCUUACCGGAGCCCGGGUAUUUUCCAAAAUUGACCUCAGGUCGGGCUAUCAUCAGAUCCGUAUCCGACCCGAAGAUAUACCCAAGACUGCAUUUACUACGCGGUACGGAUUAUUCGAAUAUUUGGUUAUGUCUUUCGGAUUAACCAAUGUUCCUGCCCACUUCACAUAUCUAAUGAACUCGGUAUUUAUGCCUGAGUUGGACAAAUUUGUGGUGGUCUUCAUUGAUGAUAUCUUGAUAUAUUCCAAGAAUGAAGAUGAGCAUGCUCAACAUCUACGGAUCGUAUUAACGCGCUUAAGGGAACAUCAACUAUAUGCUAAAUUCAGCAAGUGCGCGUUUUGGCUGGAGGAAAUCCAAUUUCUGGGACAUGUAUUGUCUGGCAAGGGGAUUGUGGUUGAUCCCAGCAAGGUCAAGGAUAUUUUAGAGUGGAAACCACCAACCACUAUACAUCAAGUUUGAAUUUUCCUUGGACUGGCUAGCUAUUACCGCCGAUUUAUCCUGGAUUUCUCUAAACUUGUGAAGCCAAUCACAAGUCUAUUGAAGAACGAUACAAAAUUUAACUGGUCCUCAAGAUGCAACGAAGCCUUCGAGCAGCUGAAGGUGUUAUUGACCACUGCUCCGGUAUUAGCUCAACCGAACAUUGAAAAGCCUUUUGAUGUAUAUUGUGACACAUCGGGCAGUGGCCUCGGAUGUGUCUUAAUGCAAGAGGGCCGAGUUAUAGCAUAUGCUUCAAGACAGUUGCGUCGGCAUGAGGAACAUUAUCCAAAUCAUGACUUAGAGUUAGCUGUUGUGGUUCAUGCUGUGGGGGACAGAUAUCCCCCGGGUCCACUAGAAGGCAAGAAGGCCUCACAAAAGGCCUCAGGCCCAUUAUUUCGCAAGGCCAUCCCUUCAUGGGCCAGGGGAGGAAUGUCUGGUAGAAUGGAUCAACGUGAGAUCGGAUCGGCUCGAGCCAGUGCGACUCACUGAAUUCAAACGUUAUCCACAGCAGUGAUCCGAUUCUCCCGCGCAACGCCCUCAGACGACGGAACUGAAUGAUGAUAAGUCGGCAGGAUUAUAGGAAGAUAAGCUCAAUCGGUUCACUAUUACUUAGGCGCACGUUGUUAUCAUAUCCGCAUGUAACGCCCCACGGUCGAGUAUAUAAGGCCUAGGGGGCACCCCAUCAAACAACAACUGACUCAUUAGUCGUCUACUCAGUUCUCUAUUAUCCCUCAUACUAGAGAACUCCCCUGUAACCCACCACAUAAAAGAUCCACACCAGGAAGUAGGGUGUUACGCCUCUCUAAGCGGCCCGAACCAGUAUAAAAUUGUCCACUGUCUCUCAUGCAUCUAGCACGAACCAUCGAGCUAGAGUCGGUAACACUGUCCUACUCCAAAAAGCACCUCGAGGGGCAACCUCCAGGUGCGCGGUCGGACCCAAAACACCCACAGCUGGUGCGCCAGGUAGGGGGUGUCACUGAUCCAAGCUAGCUCAAUGGCCAUCACUUUCUAGCACAAGAUCGCUCUCCGCCCUAGAUCCGUGUUCUGCUUCGGAACCAUCUCAUUCGUGGCACACGAAGAAGGAACUCUACAUCGCAUAGCGGAUCCGCCGGAGAGAAAACCUUCCUCGAUAAUCUCCGGGAAAGUCGGAACGAAGCAAGAAAUAGCGCAACCUCCAGUGCUCCGAGCAAAGACUACCUCCUGCAAGCCAGGAGCGGAAAAUUCAUUCACCCGAAGAACCCCGUUGUCCACCUCAUCCACAGAAGAGUGGACACGGAUUACGAGGAAAAAAGAAACGAAGACCCGUCAAGCUGCCCUUCUAGUACCUCCGCCCUCAAAGGAGAACAAAAAGAAGCUUGUCAUCACAACAACUCCGUUCUACCCCGACAUCCUCUUUAUCGGGGGGAGAGUGGAAUCGUCCCCCAUCUCCAACGACGAACCAACUGUGCCUAGGGAGGAACCACCUCAGCGGGAAGCUCGUCGAUGAAGGAACCGACGCCGUAACGCCCGGCGACAUCAUGAAGCCGGAGAACGAGAUCCAGCACAGCCUGUGUCGCGAGAUGAGAUCUCAGAGGUGGGAGAAACUCCAGAUGAACGAGUCUUCAGGGAAAGGAGGAAUUCACGUCGACGUGAUCGUCGGCAAGCUCAAGAGCAGGCCGAGCAGGAGGCGAGACAACAUUGAGAGAACCCUCUCCUCGGACGAAACUUGAACCCCGACUUCGCCCGAGCCAUGAACACCCCGAGCGAGGUCGGUGGAGUGUUGGCUCGGAUAGCCGAUGGCCUCCCCCGGACUCCAGACGCUGAGGGAUAUCGGCGGCUGCUCACUCGGGCAGCUAACCAUCUUCUGCCUCUCGCUCAUCCUCCGAGUUAUCUACGACACACCAUCAAUAGUCGAUGGGACACACGGAGCUCCAUCAAUGCUUCGUGCGAACGAUGACAUGAGAACGAGAUUCGGCGCCGAGAAGAGUAUGAUCGGGAUCACGACAUCUCUACACGAAGUCAGGCCACUAGGGUUGAGUCGGCAACAGCUUCAACUGGCGGCACAACCCGGGGACGGUCGAGGUAGCACAUCGACAACUCCCCUCCCUAGGACUGACACCACAACCAUCGACAGGAAGACACGUGUGGAGUAUCGGCGCUUACUCCACGUAUCAGGGCCAUUCAGUGGCCCCCUAACUUCAAGGUCUCCAACGUUGACAAGUACGAGCCUAAGCAGGACCCAGGAGGCUGGUUGGCCGUCUAUACCACUGCUGCCCGGGCCGUUGGGACAACUAAAGAUGUGAUGACUGCGCAUUUGCCCAUCGUCCUUGGGCAAGAUGCGCUGCAAUGGCUACGACACCUGCCCCGACACUGCAUCGACGAUUGGAGCGACUUUAGUCGACGUUUUAUCGCCAACUUCUAAUCCCUCUCUGACAUGUCGGCGCAGCCAUGGGACCUCAAACCCAUCAGGCGCCGAGGGGAUGAGACUCUCCGGUCAUACCUCAAAAGAUUUCAGACCAUGAGAAAUCGAAUCCCCGAGGUUGUGGAAGCAGCGGUCAUCGAGGACUUCUACCGGGGAUCUAAUGACUCGGCCUUCGUCCGAGCCAUACUGCAAAAGGCGUCGACUACCUCCGAGCAGCUAUUCAGGGAAGCAGACCUCUACAUCACUACCGACGAACGAGAUCAGGACCUCAUCGGAGGAACGAAGCCUACACCGCCGGCACCACGACGCGACGAGAACCAACAACCCGACAAGCGUUGGGAGAAGAGGCCUCGCGAAGAGGUCCACGCCACCGGACCACCCGUCUCUCAUGCCCGAGGGACACCCCGCGGAGGCGAACGGACAUUGGACGACAUCCUCGACGCCCAAUGUCCGUACCACAAGGACAUGCGCCACACCCUCCGGAACUGCAGAGAUUUAAAGUACUCCAUCGGGAACAGCUGACCCUUCCAACCUCUGCCACCUCCCCCACCACGAGGAGGACCCGGAGAACCUCAGCAACCCUAGCAGAAGGAAGGGGGAGGAGGCGGGGCAUUCCCGCACGUCGACAGAGAAGUCAACGUCAUCUUCGGCGGACACGGGUAGCAAGAGAGCAAAAGGCAGCAGAAGCUCAACGACCGUCAGAUACUAGUGGCAGCCACCAGUCCUCCUGCCCCGUAUCGAUGGUCCGAACACCCGAUCACCUUCAGUCGGGCGGAUCAGUGGCUCAACUUCGAUCAUCCGGGGAAAUACCCACUCCUCAUCGAUCCGGUGAUCCGAGAGAGCAGGGUAAAGAAGGUGUUAGUGGACGGGGGAAGCAGCAUCAACGUCACCUUCCCCCGGACACUCCUAGGCUUGGGAGUCGCACUCAAAGAGAUCCACGAGUCAGACACUCCUUUCUUCGGCAUUGUGCCGACUGAAGGAUAAUAUCCACUUGGACAUAUCUACAUGUCGGUUACCUUCAGAACUCCGGAAAACUACAGAACCGAGUUCUUGAGGUUCGAGGUAGCAAGCUUCGACUGUGGAUACAACACCAUCAUCGGCAGGCCGGGAUUGGCGAAGUUCAUGGCCAUUCCACACUAUACAUACAUGAUAUUGAAGAUGUCGGGACCACAAGGAAUCAUCACCGUGCGUGCUGACCUCCAAGGCGCCGCAGAAUGCUUCCGAGUUGCCAUUCAGGCGGCCCUCACCACCAAAUCAUCAACGACUUCUUCCGCGCAGGCGAACUCAAAGCCUGAGGAGGACCUCACGGUACCUGCAAAUGAAGCUCAAGCCGUGACCUCUAUGCGGCCGACUGAGGAAACAAAAAGAAUCAACCUCGGGUUCGCUGAUGAAUGCAAGACCACCAUCAUCAGCUCCAGCUUGGAUGACAAAUAGGAAGGCGCGCUCAUCCAGUUUCUACAAGAUAACCGAGACAUAUUCGCAUGGCAACCUGUGGAUAUGCCGGGAGUCCCGAGAGAACUGGCCGAGCACAAACUGAAGGUCUAUCCCCAGGCGAGGCCGAUCCGACAAAAGUUGCGUCGUUUCAUGCCCGACAAGAGAGAAGCUAUUCGUGCUGAGCUAGCUCGCUUAGUCGCAGCAGGGUUCAUUAGAGAAGUACAGCAUCCUGAGUGGUUAGCAAAUCCUGUUCUUGUACUCAAAAAGAAUAAAGUGGAUUGGCGCAUGUGUGUUGACUAUACAGAUCUCAACAAACACUAUCCGAAGGAUUCCUUCGGACUUCCUAGAAUAGAUCAGGUGGUAGAUUCAACCGCCGGAUGCUCUAUACUGUCAUUCUUGGAUUGCUACUCGGGAUACCAUCAAAUUAGCUUGGCAAAAGAAGACGAGGAAAAAACAGCAUUCAUUACCCCAUUUGGAGCUUUCUGCUAUACCUCCAUGUCGUUCAGCCUCAAGAACGCUGGGGCGACUUACGAGAGAGCCAUUCAAACAUGCUUAGCCGAUCACUGGGGCAAGCGGGUAGAAGCUUAUGUUGAUGAUGUAGUAAUUAAGACAAAAAAACUCAGAAAACUUCAUUGAAGAUUUGCAGCUGGUCUUCAACAGCCUGAGGCGAUAUAGGUGGAAGCUCAAUACAGAAAAAUGUGUCUUUGUAGUGCCAGCAGGGAAAUUGCUCGGAUUCAUUGUCAGCCACCAAGGAAUUGAAGCUAACCCAGAAAAGAUCGAAGCUAUCAUGAGAAUGGAAGCACCACGGUCACAGAAGAAAGUGCAAAGGCUCACUGGAUGCAUGGCAGCUUUAAGCAGGUUCAUAUCAAGGUUAGGAGAAAAAGGCCUACCAUUCUACAAAUUGCUCAAGAAGGUGGAUAAGUUCCAAUGGACCUCAGAAGCUCAGGAAGCUCUUGAUGCACUAAAGAAGUUCCUGACCACACCACCAGUGCUAAAGCCGCCACACUGAGCCACGCCAAACCAGCCGGCAGAAGAUCUGCUGUUGUACAUCUCUUGCACGACUCACGUGGUGAGCACCGCGUUGGUAGUCGAGCGAGCAGAGGAAGGACACGCAUAUCCAGUAUAGCAUCCUGUCUACUUCAUCAGCGAAGUUCUGGGGCCAUCUAAGAAGAAGUAUCCUCAAGUUCAAAAACUGUUGUACGCAGUACUUCUAACUGCACGCAAGCUCUGUCACUACUUCGAUGACCACAAAGUCAUAGUAGUCACUGGGUUUCCAAUAUGGGAUAUUCUCCACAACAAAGAAGCCAUUGGAAGAAUAGCCAAGUGGGCCUGCGAGCUGGGAGCUCACGACAUUGAGUUUCAGCCUCGUACUGCAAUAAAGACUCAAGCACUAGUUGACUUCGUAUCAGAGUGCACCGAGCAACAAGUACCAAAUAACCCAGAGACUGCAGAAGUAUAGCGGAUGUAUUUCGAUGGCUCGCUGAAGCUGCAGGGGGCAGGCGCAGGGAUCCUCUUCAUUGCACCUGGAGGUGAACAACUCAAAUACGCUCUUCAGUUGUUAUUCUCAACAUCCAAUAAUGCAGCAGAAUAUGAAGCUUUAAUCUACGGAUUGAACAUUGCCGUAUCACUGGGCAUUAAGAGGUUGAUGGUAUACAGAGAUUCACUGGUGGUCAUAAGUCAGAUAAAUAAAGAAUGGGAUUACUCGAAUGACUCUAUGGGCAAGUACUGCACAGCCGUCCGAAAGCUGGAAGACAAAUUUGAAGGGUUGGAAUUUCAUCAUGUAGAAAGAGAUCGCAACGUGACAGCAAAUGCGUUGUCGAAACUAGGAUCCAGUCGGUCCCAGGUUCCACCUGGAGUUUUCGUCCAAGAGGUGCCACGCCAUAGCAUUUCCUCAGAUCAAGUAGAAGAGUGCAAUGUUUUAAGCCAGCCAGAGUCAGACUCUAAUGACUGGAGGGAGCCCAUCAUCAUAUAUAUAAAGAAUGAAGAGGAACCAGAUGACAAAGCCGCAGCAGAAUGCAUCGCAAGGCAGUCAGCCCACUACACCCUCAUUGGGGAUGCACUGUACAGAAGGGGCGCAACAGGAGUCCUCAUGAAGUGCAUUCCUUCGGCUACUGGGAAGCAACUGUUAGAUGAGAUCCACGCCGGACAGUGCGGGAUACACGCAGCAUCCAGGACUCUGGUUGGGAAGAUCUUUAGGUCUUGUUUCUACUGGCCGACAGCAAAGAGUGAUGCAGCCGAGUUAGUCCAGAGGUGUGAAGCUUGCCAAUUCUUAUCAAAGCAGCAGCAUUUGCCAGGACAGCAACUGCAGACCAUACCCAUAACAUGGCCAUUUGCGUGCUGGAGACUGGACAUGAUUGGACCCUUCAAGAAAGCUCAGGGAGGAUACACUCACGUGUUGGUCACCAUUAACAAAUUCACCAAAUGGUAGAAUACAAACCCAUUGCUUCUCUGACUUCAGCCAAGGCAGUGAAGUUCAUACAAGAUAUAAUAUUCAGGUUUGGGAUACCGAAUAGCAUCAUAACCGACCUGGGAUCCAAUUUCACUAGCUCUGAAUUUUUUGAUUUCUACGAACAACGAAGCAUCCAGAUCAAAUAUGCAUAAGUAGCACAUCCAAGGGCCAACGGUCAGGUAGAAAGGGCUAUUGGAAUGAUACUGGAAGCACUCAGGAAGAAUGUCUUCGACAAGAAUGAAAAGUUCGCGGGAAAAUGGAUCAGAGAGUUGUUGUAUGUAGUUUGGAGCUUAAGAACUCAACCUAGUCGAGCUCUGCAUGGAAAUACUCCUUUCUUCAUGGUCUAUGGUUCGGAGGCAGUGCUACCUGCCGACCUCAGGUUUGGGGCACCAAGGCUGGUCUUCGAAAACAUAACUAAGGCAGAGGCUACCAGAUUAGAGGAUAUUGACGUAUUGGAGGAAGAGCGAUUGAAUACAGUAAUUCAGUCAGCUAGAUACCAGCAAACCCUGAGGCGCUAUCAUGAUAAGGCUAUACGACAUCGAUCCUUUGAAGUGGGAGACUUGGUCCUUCGCCGAAUUCUAACGGGGGAAGGACGACACAAAUUGUCACCACUAUGGUAAGGGCCAUUUGUAGUAGCGGAGGUCACUCGGCCAGGAUCAUAUAGGCUCACUCAAAUGGAUGGCACGGAAAUAGGGAAUUCAUGGAAUAUAGAGCAUCUCAGGAACUUUUACCCUUAGCAAAAUUUCAAAAAGCUAUCGGGGCAGCAUUGUAUUCUAUAAUUGGAAAAUACAUCAUCAAUAAAAAGAUUUCAUUCUCAAGGACACUCGAACUGUUUAUUAUCAAUCAGCAUGCUUACUCGGUAUAGGGUGACCACUAUACCCUACUAACAGAGCAAUCGGCUUAAGUCGGCAAUGACUUAAGACGGUGCAACAUGCUCGCGCUCACUCAGCAUAGGGUGACCACUAUACCCUACUAAUAGAGCAAUCGACUUAAGUCGGCAAUGACUUAAGACGAUGCAACAUGCUCGCGCUCACUCAGCAUAGGGUGACCACUAUACCCUACUAACAAAGCAAUCGGCUUAAGUCGGCAAUGACUUAAGACGGUGCAACAUGCUCGCGCUUACUCGGCAUAGGGUGACCACUAUACCCUACUAACAGAGCAAUCGGCUUAAGUCGGCAAUGACUUAAGACGGUGCAACAUGCUCGCGCUUACUCAGCUUAGGGUGACCACUAUACCCUACUAACGGAGCAAUCGGCUUAAGUCGGCAGUGACUUAAAACAGUGCAACAUGCUCACGCUUACUCGACUUAGGGUGACCACUAUACCCUACUAACGGAGCAAUCGGCUUAAGUCAGCAAUGACUUAAGACGGUGCAACAUGCUUACGCUUACUCGACUUAGGGUGACCACUAUACCCUACUAACGGAGCAAUCGGCUUAAGUCGGCAAUAACUUAAGACGGUGCAACAUGUUCAAGCUUACUCAACUUAGUGUAACAUGCUCGCAAGGCGAUCUCUAUGCCUUACCAGCCGAUCAACUAGCGUAAAUUAGAAAAAGAUUCCAAAACCAGCGCACUACACUUACUUCUACAAUCAUUCAUGACAACUGUUGAAUUCUAACGACAGAAACAAAACGUUAUAGUUUUUGGCGCCAAGAACACAUUCUAACAUCCUACCGAAUAUUCAAGCGCGCUGGUCACACAUACAUAUAGUUCACAAAUGCAUUCAAUGUCUUCUAAACACAGCAAAACAUCUCUACUUGGCAAUGUCUUUCGCAGGAGCAAUCAAGGAUGAAGAGCGACUCGAAGCAUCAGGUGUAGCCUUGACGUCCGCAACAAUGUCAUCAGGAACAACUACACCAGGCCUUCUCAUCAAGAUUCGCCCCGCGCGGAUGGCUUUGUCCAUAGCCUUGUCACGCUGGGUCUUCAAAACAGCGCAGUUGUCUUCUGCAACCUUGGUAGCCAGUCGAGCGGCCUCUAGCUCCUGGGCGACUGAUCUCUUGGAGGCACGUAGAUCUUUGAUUACAGAGUCCUUGCUUGACACCAGCUACCUGAGCCGCAGGAUCUCAUCCUGGGAUACUUGUAGUUCAUGGCGAUGAUGAUCCAGAUCUGUCAUGGUGAAGCGGUGGCUCCUCUCCAAGAUGGUUAGAGAAUUGUUGGCGUCAUGAUAUAACUUAUCCAGAUUGUCGCGAGAAGCUGCAAGUGCUCGUUUCUCCUCCUACAGACAAGAUUCAGCUCUCAAAUAUCCAGAAAUCAGUAAAAGCACAGUAGAUCCAAUUAAGUAAGCUUACCUCAUUAGCCACCCUUUCAGAGUCAAGCCGAGCAUUAAGAGAGGAAUUCGAAGAAUUUGCGUCGUCUAAAGAAGCAGAAACCCAGGCCAGGUCGAUCUGACCUUGGGAAUACUUCUCCUCAAGCUCAGAAUACCACUGGGUUGAGUCGGUUUGAUACUGAAGAUGUUUCUCCUCGAGCUUAGAGUACCUCCGGGUCAUAUCUGACAAAAAACAACCGAAUAAAGAUACACGGUCAAAAAACAAAAUAAUCAAUCAGCCAAGAAAGAAGCAAAGGUACCAACCAGCAUUUGUCACUUUCAAAUCAGCUAUCUGUUUCUGAAGCAGCAAUGGAUUCCACUGCGUCAAAGACAGAGCUCCUUCUGGGAUAGCAGCGCCAUGUGAUCUCAAUUGAGCAGACAUCCCAUCAACCAAAGCCUGUUAUUAAAAACAAGUGAGUACGAAGAAAGUAAUUUACCAGGAGGAAUGACAUAAUGAAAAAAGCUAGUUUACCUGAAGAUUAGAAAAGAAUGAAGGCAAUCCCAAGUCAUGAGAAGUUGUGUUAUAACUCAACGAAGGAAGAUCAACUCGAACAAUCUAAAAAGCAUCGUCGGGGGUUGAUUCAGCUCCACCAGCAGAUAUCUGAAUCCUAUCUUCCGGUGCGCCGACCUCUAAGGCGACUCCCUCACUUGAAGCUAAAGAAGUAUGCAUCGCUAUCACUCCAUCAGAAUGUGGUGGAGAUGACCCGACGUGGACAUCCAUGGAGGUAUGGGAAGGAGAGCUCGCUCGGACACCCUCGGGGGCUGGGUUGCAGCACGCACUGCCCAUCGGAGCCGGAUCACUACCGGCAACACCCUCGUGGGAUGGGUUACAGCUUGCGAUACCCACCCGAGCUGGAUCAUUACUGGCAACACCCCCGGGGGCUGGGUAAUCACCAGCAUCACCCUUGGGGCUGGGUUUUCUACAACAGCCACCUCUACGGCUGAAGGAUCCUCAGUCACCUCCACGGGAGUCGGGCAAUAUGGACCAACCUCUUGACAUUGAAGACCGCCUCCCAAGGUCAACGAUGCGCGAGAUGCUGCCCGAGAUGCCUCUAAUCCCACAUCUGGAAUGUCAGAGCAAACAUCCAUCAUAUCACCAUCAGUCGACUCUGACAGCAUAUCCUCAGGAAAUGACAUCCUCAAGGGCCUGACCAAAAUCUGUUAUGGAUAAUUCUUGCAGGCUAACAAGAGCAGACAGAGCUGGAGAAGGAAUAUCACUAUCCCCUCUACUACCUCUGUAACGCCGGCUAUUCUUGCGAAUUAGUGGGACUUUUUCUUCUUCUUCGUCCCCAUCAAAAAUGCGGACAAAGGAUGGUGCAGGAUCACACCCAUUGGGCUCAGCUGCAACAGGAUCACACCCAUUGGGCUCAGCUGCAAUAGGAUUACACCCAUUGGGGUCAGCUUCAGCAGGGUCACACCCAUUGGGGUCAGUUGGUGCACGGUCACACCCAUUGAGGUCAACUUCAGUAGUUACACCACCAGUGGGAUCAACUCCAGUAAAGACCUCUGCUGGUACUUCUUCACAAGCAGGAGCAGAAGGUCCAGCAUCCUGGUCCAAACAUGACAACCGCCGGAGCCGUCUCUUUUUCUUCCUCUUCCCUUCAGCAGGUGCAGUUGGGCGGCUGACAUGGCGAAGACGAUUUGGGCGAGUACCAUCAGGCUUUCGGGUGUCCACUAUUCUGUCAAGCUCUGGUAUAACUGCAACAGCCAUUGUUUCAGCAGGAGCCGAGUCAGAAGAUUCUCCAGCCAACAUAUCGAGCACAACAUUCAUCUCUGCAUCAUCCGGACUCGCUGGCAUCUCAAAAUGAACUUGCCUCUCAUCAUUGGGAAGAUCACAAAGAGAAGUAACCUAGGCCUCAAUAUCUUCGGGAGAGGGUCGCACUCUAAGACCCAGACCACUAUCACCAGUAGGAGGAUUAGACACAAAAUUGAAAAAGGACUUAGGAGGUGGUAGAUUCCAAGCAGAGUAGGAAACAAGAGCACCAACAUUUGAUACUUUGCCUCUCAAGAUCAUGUCUAGCCGGCUCACCAAAUCCUUAGCAGGAAUUCUCCUAUUAGUAACCCGAGUGGAGUCAAUAACACCAUUGUACAAGUAAGUCGGGUAUGCUCUGUCUUUCAGGGGCUGGAUGUUCUUAAAAACAAAAUCAACAACCACAGCUUCGGCGGUCAGACCUCUUUCCUUCAGCAGACAGACUUCAGCAAGCAUAACCUUAGCCUCUGUUACUUCCAAGGCAGUAGGAGACUCAAUCCAACUUGGAGUGCGCACAUCUGGUUGUCUUCUCGACCGAGGGGGGAGGGACUUGCCGUGGUUUUCCACAAUAAACCACUCAAGACGCCACCCCUUAAUGUUGUCCUUAAGCGGAAUAUCAAGAUAUUCCGUUUUCCUUCCGCGCCUCAUUUCCAGACUCGCACCACCCAUGAGUUGGUGCUGACCCCCAGCAAUCCUAGGUCGAUAGUGGUACAGAUACUUCCAUAAACCAAAGUGGGGAAGAACUCCGAGGUAGGCUUCACACAGAUGAACAAAUAUAGAGAUUUGCAUAAUGGAAUUGGGAUUCAGAUGAGUUAGGUUCAGAUUGUAAAAGUCAAGGAGACCGCGGAAGAAGGGAGAAAUGGGAAGAGCAAGGCCGCGGAUAAGAAAAGGAACAUAAACAACGGACUCGUGGAUAUCCUCUGUUGGGACAGUAACCCACGAUAAAUCCGCCAAGAACAAAGCUCUUUCAGAGGAAGAAUUCCAACAUCGACAAGGUGAAGGAGAUCCGAUUCCGAGACAACAGACAUGUGGUUACCUGCGAAAGGCAACUGGCUGUUGGGGUCGAUGGGAGGAAUGACCACCGCAGCAGAACUUUGGUUCUUCCGCUUGGGCGCCAUCACAAUCUCGUCAACGGAUUGAAAGGAAGCGAAAUCAGAGGGAAAGAAGAGUAAUGUUUGGAGGAAGGUGAAGUUAGGGCUCAGAAUGCAGAGGCGUGCGACGACGUGAUAUAAAUGGGGUUUUCCUGGGUCAGACACUGUUUCUAAAAAGUGCUAAGUCAUCACUCGGAAAAAGCAAGACGCUCUGGCAUAACUCGGCAGCUACUUCUAAAGCACCGACGUGGCCCAACAUGACUCGGCAGCUACCUCUAAAGCAUCGAUGUGGCCCAGCAUGGCUCGGUAGCUACCUCUAAAGCAUCAACGUGGCCCAGCAUAACUCGACAGCUACCUCUAAAGCGCCGACGUGGCCCAGCAUAACUCGGCGGUUACCUCUAAAGCGCCGAUGUGGCCCAACAUAACUCGGCUGUUACUUCUAAAACGCCGACAUGGUCCAGAGAAGCUCAGCGGUUAUUUCUAAAAAAACACAGGCAAUGCAUAAUUCAGCCGUUUUCUCCAUGUAAACGCCAGCAGAACCAAAUACGACUCAACAAUUACCAGUCAUUACUCGGGCGUUAUCUCUAAGAACAACGGCAACGCUGGGAAUGAAUACAAGCUAUCGAUUGACUAUAAAAGAACGAUGGAAAAGCAAAAAGGAGAGACUCAGAACAAGCCGAAAUUUUCUUCAAUAUAUUGAUAAGGGAAGUUCUUCCACAAACUCAAAGGCCAACUCAUUAUGAGCCGGCCUUCCUUCCCUUUUUUGCUACAUUAUACUACUACACCACCACCCUACUUACACUACUCUAUACUACUAACUACUACUACAUUAUUUCACUAUUACUAAUACUACUUCUACUGCUACUUAUCUAUACUAAUAUUUAAGCCGGUGGUGCUUUGCCACUGGCCCUGCCGCUGCCGCCGUCGCCCUUGUUGUCGCUGUCGCCCUCAUCGUCGUCGUCAUCACCGCUCCCCUCCUCGGAGGAGUCGAAGGAGUCCUCCUCGUCCGAGGAGAUCUCCGACUCAUCCGAGCCCUCGAGCCCAGAGUGCUCGACGGCCCAGAUAUACGUCCACACCUUGGCGGCGAUCCCUUGGGAAUCGUCCAAGUCAUCGGAUGACACCGGGGGCGAGGCGUAGGCUGGCGACCCCUCGGACUCGGAGGAGAACUCCUCCUCCGAGUACUCGGAGUCACUAAAGUCCUCGGAGGGGGGACUCAACUCGCGCUUCCUCUUGUCGCCGGAGUGGUGCGACAAACUUCCGCCUUUCUUGCUCUUUCCCAUGGUUGAUUUGAAGAGAAGAGAAAAGAGGAGAAUAAGCAACAUGCGGCCGAGAGAUAUGUGAAGACACCAGUGAAGCAAGCGCUCUAUUUAUAGGGGCGGGAGGCAACUGCUCAUCUCAUACCAUGGUCACUGAACAGUCGCAAAUAUUCAAUAUGCAAUUCAAAUCGUCUGGAAACAAGUCAGGCGGCAGACACCGUUUCACGUAACACGACACCCAUUGGGACUGAAGUCAACUGCUUGGACGAUAUGAUUACAUCCGUGGUCACGUCAAGUUACUACUCAGGGGAAGUUUGCUAAACGCUCAGCACACCAAGCCGUCCCUUGGCUACAUCCAUUGGGGAGGGGGAUGUCCAGGAAUUUUCAAUAGAUUUUCCCAAGCAGUCACAUCCAUACAGUAUACGCAAUGAAUGUAUCAAGACAGAAGGAAGAUAUCGAUAGAGAUUGGAGGAAAGCCAAAAAUAGCUGGUGAAGUACAAGUCUAAUCAACAUAAGCAUUGAAGCACGAAGCGAAAUGAAGACUAAUCUGUCGGACGUCUACCGAACGUCCAAUCUGUCACAGAUCAAAUUAAAUUCAAACCUAACAGGACAUGGGUAGACCGCGUUGUUGAUCUCAAAGGCAAAACUGUAUGCUGAUCUCUAAAGCAUAAAGUUGAUGGUAUAAUGCUGAAUUCUAAGGCAUUCGACGAAGAUAAAAGGAUGAUUUCUAAAAGCACGGGAUGAAGACCUUUGAGUGGAUUAUUUUCAGUAAUCCACUCAAAGCUCGGGGGCUACACCCAUUGGGUGCACCUCUGGUGCACCCAAUGAAUCAUUAACCACAAAAGACAGAAUGCUGAUCUCUAAAGCAUGAACUAACGAUAAAAUGUUGAUUUCCAAAGCAUGAGAUGAAGAUAAAACAAUGUUGAUUUCUAAAGCAUGAGAUGAAGAUAAAACAAUGAUUUCUAAAAAAGCGUGAGAUGAAGACCUUUGAGUGGAUUAUUUUCAGUAAUCCACUCAAAGCUCGGGGGCUACACCCAUUGGGUGCACCUCCGGUGCACCCAAUGAAUCCUGAACCCCAGAGAACAGAAUGCUGACCUCCAAAGCAUAAGCCAGAGACAGAGGACCGAAUCUGAAGAAUAAAGCGAAGACCGAUGAAUAAUGGCAGGAGAGGAUAACAGAAGAUCGUUUUUACCGAGUUACUCAGAGUUUAGAAGCAAUAACUCGACAGGCCUAUUUUCAGAGCAUUCCUUACCAAAAUCAAAAACUGCAAGUUGGACCUAGAAUCUUUGGGCCGAUUAUUUCAAAAUCAACUCAAAGACUGGGGGCUUGUGGGGGACAGAUAUCCCCUAGGUCCACUAGAAGGCAAGAAGGCCUCGCGAAAGGCCUCAGGCCCAUUAUUUCGCAAGGCCAUCCCUUCGUGGGCAAGGGGAGGAAUGUCUAGAAGAAUGGAUCAACAUGAGAUCGGAUCGGCUCGAGCCCGUGCAGCUCACUGAAUUCAAACGUUAUCCACAACAGUGAUCCGAUUCUCCCGCGCAGCGCCCUCAGACGACGGAACUGAAUGAUGAUAAGUCGGCAGGAUUAUAGGAAGAUAAGCUCAGUCGGUUCACUAUUACUUAGGCGCACGUUGUUAUCAUAUCCACAUGUAACGCCCCACGUUCGAGUAUAUAAGGCCUAGGGGGCACCCCAUCAAACAACAACUCACUCAUUAGCCGUCUACUCAGCUGUCUAGUAUCCCUCAUACUAGAGAACUCCCCUAUAACCCACCACAUAAAAGAUCCACACCAGGAAGUAGGGUGUUACGCCUCUCUAAGCGGCCCGAACCUGUAUAAAAUUGUCCACUGUCUUUCGUGCAUCUAGCACGAACCAUCGAGCUACAGUCGGUAACACCGUCCUACUCCAAAAAGCACCUCGAGGGGCAACCCCCAGGUGCGCGGUCGGACCCAAAACACCGACACAUGCCCUUAAAAUAUGGUGUCAUUAUCUACUGGGAAAUAUCUGCCAUAUAUAUACAGAUCAUAAAAGUUUGAAGUAUAUUUUUACCUAGUUAGAACUAAAUAUGAGGCAAAGGAGAUGGCUUGAGCUGAUUAAGGAUUAUGAAUUAGAAAUUCACUAUCACCCAGGCAAGGCCAACAUGGUGGCAGAUGCACUAAGUCGCAAGGCUUCUUGCCAUUGUCUUACAGUAAAGACUUCUAACAUCACAUUAUGUCAAGAAAUGGAGAAAUUAAACCUAGGAUUGAUUCAACAUGGAACCUUAAACCAAUUAAAGCUUGAGUCGGUUCUUCUGCAAAAGGUUAUUGAUGCACAAAGAAGUGAUAAGGGUAUGAAACACAUUCAUGAGAGAAUAAAGGCUGGUAAAGCAAACUGUUUCAGAAAAGAUGAUCAAGGCAUUGUAUGGUUUAAUAACCGCACAGUUGUGCCUAAAGAUGAUGAUGUCCGCCAUCAAAUUUUAGAUGAAGCACAUCUUAGCCGAUAUUCUAUUCAUCCCGGAAGCACUAAGAUGUAUCAUGAUUUAAAGCAACAUUAUUGGUGGAUAAAGAUGAAGAUCGAAAUUGCAGGCUAUGUGGCAAAGCGUGACACCUGUAGACGUGUCAAAGCCAUACACAUGAAAACUUCUGGUCCAUUGCAAUCCUUGCCCAUCCCGACUUGGAAAUGGGAGGACAUUAGCAAGGACUUCAUUGUGGGAUUACCCAGGACAGCAAAGGGUUUUGACUCCAUUUGGGUUAUAAUUGAUCGGCUUACGAAAAUAGCUCAUUUUCUGCGAGUCAAGACGUACUACCCGGUCAUCACUUAUGCCCAGAUAUAUAUUGCUCGUAUUCUCAGUCUGCACGGGAUUCCAAAAACUAUAGUGUUGGACCGCGGACCACAAUUUGUAUCCAAAUUCUGGGAAGAACUCCACAAAUUUCUGGGUACUAAGUUGCUUCACAGUUCGGCCUAUCAUCCUCAAACCAGUGGGCAGACAGAGAGAGUGAACCAAAUACUUGAAUACAUGUUACGGGCAUGCGUUCUGGAAUACCCACAGAAAUGGGAUGAAUGUUUACCGUUGGCAGAAUUCUCAUACAACAAUAAUUAUCAAGAAAGUAUCAAGAUGGCACCUUUUGAAGCUUUAAAUGGACGACGGUGCCGUACUCUAUUGAAUUGGUCUGAACCAGGAGAAAGAUGGUUUUUCAGGCCUGGUAUGGUUAAUGAAAUGGAAGAAAAAGUUCAACGAAUACAAAAUUUGAAGGAAGAACAAUCUCGACAAAAGAGAUAUGCAGACAAACGACGACAACCCCUAUACUUUCAAGUUGAAGAUUAUGUUUACCUGAAAGUAUCGCCAAUGAAGGGUGUAUCUCAUUUCGGUGUAAAGGGAAAGCUUGCACCCCGGUACAUUGGUCCGUUCCCCAUUCUUGAACAAUGUGGACCAGUAGCAUACCGACCCCAACUACCCAAAACAUUGUCUGCAGUGCACAAUGUGUUCCACGUGUUCCAAUUGAAGAAGUGUCUUCGGGUUCCAGAUCGAACCAUUUAAGUGACAGAUGUUACCUUGGAACCAGACUUAACAUAUUCAGAACAUCCUAUUUGAGUCCUGGAUCAAAAGGACAGGGUUACCCGAAGAAGAACUCUCAAAUUUUAUAAGAUACAAUGGAACCAAUACACGGAAGAUGAAGCUACAUGGGAAACCCAAGACUUUUUAGAAAAGAAUUUCCUAGGCUUUUUAGCUUCAUGUAAAUUGUGAGAUAUGUACAAUUGCUGUAAUAGAGGAGUAAACCCCAUACCACCCCUUGCCUUGUACAACAAAUAAGGAAAUAAAAAUAUGACGCGUUUCCUUUUCCACUACUUGCCCUAGGACUUUGGCCCUGUUUGGCACAACUUAUUUUCAGCUUCUUCACAAAUUUAAGCAGAAGUUCUGCCAAACAGACAGCUUCUGCAUCAGCUUAUCAUUUCAGCUGCUUCUCAAAAUGAACUAAAUGCAGCCAACAAGCAGAAGCUGCUUUUUACCAGCUUAUCAGAUAAGCUGCUUUUUCAACAAGCAGUAGUUGUGCCAAACAGGGCCUUUAAAUCUCGGGACGAGAUUCUUUUAUGGGGGGAAGGAUGUAACACCCCUGGUGUUACUAUCACUAAAACUUGAGCAUAACAUCAUGAGCAUUAGCAUAUCAUGUGUUUGUCACACCUAGAGUGCAUUCAUUAGGUAAAAAGUUCAAAAAUGUUGGACUAAUAUUACUUGAUGUGUGGUGAAACCCUAGGGUAGGGUACUUAACCCUAAACUAGGCUUAUGAGGGACAAUGAAGCCCAAACAAGUUAAAAUCUCAAAACUUAUUAGAAAUGAACAUAAGAUGUCACAUUUAAUGAACUUUGAUAGCACCAAAACCCUAAAUAGGUCAAAACCCUAAAAAUACCCCUCGAAAACCCUAAAUUGAAACCCUAGGGGGCUAAGUGUAAAAUUUGUACCUUUUGGACUCAAGUGCAAAAACCAAGGUAUUAGGGCACCUCAAAUCAUAUGGUUCACACCCUUGUGGAUUUGCAAAUCAAAUUGUGGAAAUUGGACCUAUUUGCAAAAAGGUUCCCUAGGAAUCAUAUGUGGCUAAGUAUGAAAACCAAUGCAUAGAGCCAACUUUGGAAACCUGUAUCUGUCAGUUUAUGAGGAAUUUGCCCUAAAUCAACACAUGAAAAGUCUAGAGCUACUAUAGGAGCACAACUUUGCUUAAGUGAUUAAGCAUUGUUGAUAUACAAAAACUGGGGAUAACUAGCCCUAAAGUCUGGCUGUCAGACCACCCUGAGACUGAAUACUGACUGGCAGUUAGUUCUGACGAACUUUGGGCUCGAUUCUUGCUCAAGGGGUUAAGAAAAGGAGCAAGAUCACUAUAGCAGAAUUGUAGCUGGUAUAUAGAGCUACAAGUUUGUUACAGAUGGAUUAGCAAGUUCUCAUACAAAAAUCCGAGAUCUAGGCACUGCAAUUCUGGCUGUUAGGUGUUCUGAAUAAGCAAUCCGAUGGUACGGUGCUAUACAAAUAUCCUAGGUUCAGAGAACCUCGCCGCCGGUGAGCCGUGCGCCCGGAUUCGUGCCAGCCGCUAUGAUUCGUGCCCAGCGCAAGUGGAUAACGGUAAGUAGUAAAAAUCUUGGCGCUCGGAUUAGCUCGGGCUCGCUCAUCGUUGUGCCCGCCGUACCCACUUGGACCACGGCUGGCCGGGAUCGUCCUCGCCGGCGUUAGUCGCUUAAUGAUCGUGCUCCACGCGUCUUGUAAGUCUAUCACGUCGCAAUGAAUCGGUGUUACAAGCCUAUCCAUCGCCUGAGAACUGGCCACGGUGAAAGCCACGAAUUCAUUGCGCCAGUAACCUCCCCUCUCCCCGGUCGCCAGCGCUUCUCCUCCAAAUUAAGCACCACCACCGUUGAGUGCUAUAAACUGAAGCCUCAGGGAGCUCCGCUAGGUAAUUAUGCGUCCAACGCACUAGCACUUGCCUCCAAUUGUCUACCAGAGCCGCCUAAUUGCCCAUUUCCCCCAAAUCGGUAAAAAUACCACCGUGUGAGGACCUUGCCGUGGCCAGUGUGCUACAGGUCCGUUCAUGUCCUCUGCUCUCUUUGUUUCAGUACCCUUAUGUGCCCCUGAUGCUUCUCGACCCGACUAAUUAAGCUAGAACCCAUUAGAUCACCGGGAACACUUUGAAUUGUCCCCGAAUUGCGUGGUCACCGUGAGCAGAGAAGUUGGGAGCUCGAACCGUGCAAUUGAUCGAGGGGAAACGAUUGUUAGAUGUUGAAUUAGGUAUCAACCAAGUUAGAGCACCGGCCAUUGCGUGACUUGGCCAGUACAGGCUCGCCGGAGCUCGGUCUGCCGCCGUUCUGCAUCGUGGACUUGGCGCGGUGAAGAAAUAGAAAUAUAGGGGGGGUUUUGUGAGUUGUCAGUGACUCAGGGAAUAGUACUUUAGACUCUUUUCAAGUUGUUUAAAAUGCUAGGGGCCUUUGUGUAAAGUUAUCAGCACGGGCGCGCGUGGGGCAUUUUGCCUAUCAUGGGCUAUCUUGGGCCAGAAUGAGCCCAAUACUGUUGACCCUUUCUCGUUUUCUUUUUCUCUCAGAAUUAGAGAAUUCUUAGAAAAUUGUAGAAAAAUGCUAAAAAUACAAGACCAAUUUUGUUACUCCUAAAUUUCUAUAUUAUUUAAUAAAAAUGGUUUCAGGAUUUUUAGUCCAAACUAGGAAUUAUGAAGUAUUUAAAAUAGCUAAAACCUAUACUCCUAGAAUUUUAGAAAUUACUUAGUAACUCCAAAAAUCACCAAAAACAUAUUGGAUAAGCCUAAAAUGGUAUUUAGAAACCUUGGGUGAAGUUUGACUUGAUUUUGACAAUGUUUGAUACCUAAACCCCAAAACCCUAAUCUUCUAAGUAGUGCCUGCCCUAUGGAAUAAAACACUGACUCCAAAAACCCUAGUUUCCUAGAGUACCAUGAAGGAAAAUUGUAUUCAAGACCUAAUAUGAUGUACCUUUAUUAUCUUUGCAUUUCCAUAAGCAUUACAUGAGCAUUCAUGGUUAUAUAUAUAUAGAACCAAGAAGAAGUAGUGGUUGAAGAAGGAGUUGCACCACCACCACAUGCCGGGAACUGCUUUUACUUUGAUAUUUGUGGAGCAGAGCCCGACUCUCCUAUAACACAAGGCAAGCCCCGGUGCAUUUGCCACCUCCUUGCUAUUUUAAAAUCUUUCUCACUUGCUUGAUGCAUUAAGUGAUAGGAGUUGUGUGCUAAACAAAUUGAUGCAUUUCCUUCCUUGGAAGUUUGAUUACCUUUCCUGGAUCACCUGUUUUAUGAAAGGAUUUUUCUUAUGCUUAGUCUUGCUCUAGAAAAACAAAAUGUUUUGUUUUAACAAAAUAUGAUGCUUCAAGUGGGAUGGGAUAUUUUCAAAAAUAAAACUUGAUGGUGGAUCCAUCAUGGCCAUGAUGGGUUCAAUGUCGGAAAAGAUGUACCUCUGUUCGGUACCAAACUUUGGGAUGAAAUGAUAAAGUUGAGAUCGGGCGGGUGACUUGCACGAGAAGAGAGUCUCAGUGUAGUGUCUCCGUCUGUGUUGAUUAAGGACCUUGUAAAUGUAGGCUUGAUGAUUGAGGACCUUUUAACUGGUCACAUGCCUCAUCAUGGGUAAGCUUUGCCUCGGGCAGACUAAUACCAGAAUAAGAUAACGCGCAAUGGGAGUGGAGAGAUGGCGAGAGUAGCGUGUACCCUCCGUGGCAAGAGGCUGGACGGUGGUGUAUCUGUGCUCUCGGUUGGCGUGAACCUAAUCUAGUCUUAAGAACCCCAGUGGCGAGUUGACAUAUGCAAGGGUUAAGUGCUACAUAUGUCGUGUGAUUGGAGAUCCCCAGCUGGGUAUUAAUCGAUUCGGAUCGCCGUUACUUCUCGGACAUGAAGACUUGGUCACUGACCUACACGUAGAAUUCUAGUGAACAAGAAGGGUUAAUAAGAACAUGGCUAGUAUAUGCCAAGUGCUUGAACUAGGGUAGAAAGAACUCUAGAUUCAGGUAAUGACUUAACUUGCUAAUAAAACUGGAUUUUUAAGGAUCCACUAUUAGUAAGCAUUUGUGCAAACAGAGUCUUGAUUCUUGAUUAAGCCUUACAUUGACUCCCUCAAGCCAGCAUAUCCUUGAGAGUCUUUUAUUUUAACGGGUUAGACUUGCGAAAGUACACUUCGUACUCAGGGUUUUCAAACCCAUGUUGUUGUAGGUGAGGAAGCAGCAAACUUUUGUUGCUUUUGCUCUAAGGUGGUGCCAAAGGAAGAAUCUCAAGAAUGAAGCCUCGGGAGGAUGUUGUCCUCCUUAAAAACUUUAUACUUUUAUGCGGGAGGGGUUUUUGCCUCUCGAGUUUGUAAUAAUAAUACUUCUGCACUCAUAUAUAUUACUGGUAUGUAAUAAUAACACUCUUCUAUAUUUUAAUGUAAAUUAAGUUAUUGUAAUUGCUUCUGUUAUUCGUUCCUCUGAUGUGUUGUAAUAUCUGCGUGACGGGUGAAACAUUCUUGGGAAAGGCAAAGAAUGCAGAUACCGAACUUGUCAAGCAAUCAGGUGCAUCUGCAGGAUUGUCUAAGGUCCGAUGGACAAGGACAACUGUAGGUGGGCCUAAUGACUUGGGAGGUUCCAUCACAUUGCCCUAAUCUUUUGGAUGUCUUUACAUAGACUCCAUGUCAUUGGGGUUGUGAACCUGAGAACUAGAUGGACCUAAUGGGGGAGUACUAUAGGAUUAGGCCACCUGAGGAUGCUGAGGCUGAUAGGUCCAAGUAAGUACAACAUAAAUCAAGUAUGUUCCAUUAUUAUAAAACAUUAUUUGUUCUCAUGUUGUUUUUGUUCUUUCACAGGAGAACAUUAGGGGUUCCCUCUAGUCAGAUCUGUUGCCACUUAGGUAUCUAUUCACUAGGUGCUACAAAGUUGAGGUCAAGAGGCACAUUAUAGUGUGGCUCUGGCACUUUGUAGCUACUUUCCUAUUCCCCAACGCUUCUGGCAACAAUAUCAAUUGGGCGAUGCUACAGAUCCUUAAUAAGGAGAGGGAGAACAUAAGUCAGUUUAGCUAGGGCACCAUAGAUCUAUCUUGGAUGUAGCAACAUCUCGUAUAGCCUACCAUCGUGAUGUCUCAAACAUGAGCUUAUGUGGUUGUUCUUACCUGGUUUAGUUUUCAUGUUUGGAUCAUUGGCCCAUUAGGAGACCUAACCUUUGUGGUUUUUCUAUAAGUCAUUUGCAAUGUCACUAUGUUUCAAUCACUUACAUCAUUUGGUUAUACAAACUAACACGUGUGUGUUACUUGCAGACCUAUAAUCACCAAGAUGGGACUUGUUCGAUUUGCCUGUACCAUGAAAAGAGGUAAAAAAUAUGAAAGACAACCUACAAAGAUGUUUAUGUAGUAUAUGGACCUCCUCGAUGUCCUAGCACAAUGCAAGGUUAGCAACUUGUGUUAUCAUCACCGUUGGCAUGUUUGUUUUCUCGAGAAUCUAACAGUUAUAUGUCACUGGUAGGUUACUUGGAUGCCUUGGGCAUAGUAGGAUCUAGACUCUUAUAGUCUAAUCAUGAUAGUGGCAUAUGGAGCAUAUAUGUGCCAUUUAUCUUCUUCCACGUGGUGGAGGUCUACUACCUUUGCAUGGUGUGUAGGUAGUUAAGAAGGUUUCAAUCGAACCCACCGAUGGACUACUACAUGAGCUAGACGUGGCACAAGUUAGUUAAAUAGUUCUUAAUUUGUUACAACUUGUGAAUGAAAUGUAUGGACAAUUCAAAUUAUUAAUAUAGAAAUUCUAGAUUUGAUUAGAGAAACAGGUACAAGAUGAAGGAUUGGCAUGUCGCACACCAUGAUGUUGUAGAUGUGGAACCAUAGGGAGCAUAGGGACCCAUGAGCGAUCCACCACAUGACUAACACAGGUGGUUUGGAAGAGUAAGAAGAAGAUGACGUGGAGGUGGAAGGUGGUGUUAUGGGAAUGAGAACAUCAGAUGUGGAUGUAGAAGAUGAUGGUUCAGAUGCUGGAAUGGAAGGAAGAUACAGGAAAGAAGUAGAUUCUGUGGGAUAAUAUGAGGAGUGAGUAGACUAGUUGUGAAAGAAGGGGCGAUUUUCAUUGAAACUCACAUCUCUAGAAAUUCGAAUACGACGAGUAGAAGGAUCAUAAAAACGAUAGCCUUUGUGUUCAGGACUGUAUCCAAGGAAUACACACUCUACAGAUUGAGCAGUCAAUUUGGUCCGCUCACGUGGUGGUAACAAGACAUAACAUAUACAUCCAAACACACGAAGAUGAUCAUGUCGUGGAGGAGUCCCAAAAAGAACUUCACUCGGGGAUUUGCCCAAAAGUUUAGAUGAUGGAUGUCUAUUAAUGAGAUACACAACAGUGGAAACAGCUUCACUCCAAAAGCAUGAAGGAACAAAAGAAGAUAUCAAAAUAGUACGAGCACUCUCAAUAAUAUGACGGUGUUUGCGUUCAGCAACACCAUUUUGGGCAUGAGCACCAAGACAAGAAAGUUGAGCUAGAGUACCCUCUAAGGUCAAUAUCUGGCAGAAAUUGUCAGAUAAAAAUUCACGACCAGAAUCUGAACGAAAUAUUUUAAUAGUAGCAGAAAACUGGGUGCGAACCAUGCGAGUAAAGGACUUGUAAAUAGAAGGCAAUUCCGAGUGGCGUUUCAUGAAGUAAAUCCAAGUAUAACGAGAAUGAUAAUAAAUAAAAAUGACAUAAUAUUUAUGACCACCUUUGGAAACAAACGGAGCUGGACCCCAAACAUCAGAGUGAAUUAGAUCAAAAGUUUAGCAGAAUGGGAAUCACUAGUAAAAUAUGGAAGUUGUAUUUGUUUUCCAAGAUGACAACCUUUACAAUGAAAACUAGACUCAACAUGUGUAGGGCCUAAACAUCCUGACUUUAUUAGAGUGGAUAGACGAGAUCCACAUAAGUGACCUAGACGAUGAUGCCACUGGGCAAACGACAUCGACCGAAGCAGCAAGCACAUGAGGUGUAGAGGCAUGGUAUGAAGGAAGACGCAAGGUGUCCAAGAUGUAGAGGCGAGGCAAAGAUUGACGGCAACGGCCAGUCCCAAUCACAUCCCAUGUGUGUUGAUCCUGUAUAAAACAAGAUGAGUCAUCAAAUCCAACAAAGCAAUUGUGAUCGGUAAUUUGGCCAACUGAUAGCAGAUCCAUGGAUAAUUCAGGUACAAAGAAAAUAUUUGGGACAAUAAAAUUAGAAUUGGAAAGAGAACCCUUGUGGGUGACAUGACAUAAUGUACCUUCAGCAGUCUGAACAGAAGUACCCUCAGUGACAGGUGUAGUAGAUGCCAGCCGUGACUGAUCAGAUGUCACAUGAAAUGAAACUCCAGAGUCAAGAACCCAAGAGGAUGACAAAGCACCAACAAAUGAAGUAGCAGCAACGACAACUGAGUCUCUAGGAGAUGGUCCUGUAUCACAACCUCGAAUAGCACGACAGACACGAAAAUCAGCUAGCUUCUCUGGAAACUUAGCAAAGCAGUUCUCAGACCGAUGAGUGGUCAUUUUACAAUGCUCACAAGGCUGAAAAGAGGUGUUCCUGGACUUCUAAGUAAUGGCCAAUACACUGUGAGAACUCACACCAGUAAUAGAAGACAUCGACUUCAGACGAGUCUCUUCAGCAAGUAAAUCAGACAACGCCUGAGCCAUGGUGAGAGUAUCAGAACUGUGAAGUAACCUUGCAUGAAGAGAAUCAAAUUCAGGUCGAACGCCCAUAACAAAUCUGUAGGUAAAGAACUUCUCAAUGAACUUAUGGGUUGGGCAAGGCACAGUUGUACAAUCAGGCAACAUGGAGGUCAAUGCACUCAUAAGAUGAUCAAAGGCUAAAUAGUAUUCAUCAAUGGAGAUAUCAUGUUGCUCAAUGACAUGAGUCUACUGCAUAAGGGUAUGUAAAAGAGCACCACUAUCCUGAACAAACCGAUCCUUCAGAUGUGACCAGAUAGCCUUAGUAGUGGUGAAUUUGGAUAGACUCAUAAUCAUAGUUGGUUUAGUGCUAUUGACCAUUGCAUCCAUUACCUUGCCAUCAUUGAUCUACCAAGUCUUGAUUGCAGCAGCAUUGCUUCUAUCAGCUGCUAAAACUAGAGAAUCUUCAGUCAAAUGAAAUAGUAAACCGUGACCUCUUAAUGCAGUCAGAACACAAAAGGCCCAUUAUGGGUAAUUCUGCCCAUCAAGCACAAUAUUGACAACAAUAGCGUUGAUCGACAUAUUGAAGAGCAACAAAAUGCUAAAGAAUAAUAGAUCUGAAAAAUACUGGCUUGAUGGUACCAAAAACCCUAGCGGGUGUAGUGGAUGAACAGUGGAUACGCCAGCUACAGUCUUUUUCAGAUGGCAGGGCACGACACCGGGCAGGGACGGAGCACUGGCGCGCACGCAAAAGAAUCGCACGGACGAUGAAGAUGGCAGGACGGAGCACCGGCUGUUGACACCUUUACGGGCGCCAAUCACUAUAACAAGAACCGGCGGCGGUGUUCUUAGCACAGGCGCGGACGGUUCACGGCCAGGGGCCGGACGGUCCACGACUUGGCGCAGGGCUAGGGUUCCCUGCCUGACGUGCCGGACGAUCCGCGCCCUGGGGCCAGACGGUCCGCACGUGCAUAGGGGCGGCGAAGGUCACCGACGGCGCCUGGAUCUCGCUCCCGGGUGGGACCCCGUCAGGGAGGAUAGAUCCUAGGUGUUGUCUAGGCUUGGCAGGCCGACCUAGACUCCUCUGAUCAACGUAGAGUCGAGGAGAAGCGGAGGAUUUGGGGAUUGGGAGACUAAAAUAUAACUAGACUAGAACUACGCCUAAAUGUACAAGAAAUAAAUGUGAGAUAAAUUGAUUAUUGAUUCGAUUGAUGAUGCUUAAUCGGUCGUAUUCCUCUUUAUUUAUAGAGGAGGCGGGCUGGACCCAUUACAAACAAAUCUCCUGAGUUAAUUCCGUGAAUCUAGCCAACAACAAUAGCGAGAAACUCGAAACCCUAAUUGGCUCUGCGCACGCGUGGACCAUCCGGAGCACUAGUGCGGACCGUCCAGCCAUCUCUUUUGGGGCUCAACAUAUGCCCCUGCCUUUUAGCGGAGCUGAGCGAACCAAAAGAAACUAACACAAUGUGAUCACAUCGGUUUCCUUAGGCAUCUUGCCACAUACUAGGAUGAUACUGCUUGAGGAAACGCCCGUUUAAAGCCUUGGGCCAGUCUUUGCCUUGUAAUGUUUGCAACAAGUAGGUGUUACUAGACAUCACCUAUGUGACUUUGUAAGGGCCUUCCUAGCUUGGCGACCACUUCCCAAACUUCUGGUCUUUGCUCCUCAGAGGCAAGACAACCUUCCACACCAGAUCCCCUACAUGGAAUGAUUUAGCCUUGACCUUUUGUUGUAAGCUUUGGCGACCAUGAUCUUGUCCUUCUCUAUUUCUCCUAAGGCUGUCAUCCUUUUGUCGGUCACUUCAUCAAUAUUGUCCAUCAUUGAAUUAUAAUAAUCACCGAUAGUCAGAUCAUUUUGCUUGGCGAACCUGACAGCACUCUACAGGUAACACUGCUUCUUGCCCAUAGACAAACUCAAACGGAGAUACUUUAGUAGCACGGUGUUUAGAUAUUCUAUGAGCCCAUAAAGCUUCAGACAAAAUCUUAUGCCAAUGCUUAGGAUGAUCAGACAUCUUCUUUUUUAUCAAGCUAAUCAAUGUCCUAUUACUAGACUCGGGCUGUCCAUUGGCCUGAGCAUAAUACGGAGAUGAAUUGAGUAACUUAAUUCUAUAUAAUUCAGCAAACUCACGUACCUCCUUUGACAUAAAAGAAGCCCCUUGGUCUGUAGUCAAAGUCUGGGGAAUGCCGAAUCUAUGAAUAAUAUGCUCAGUUAUGAACACAAUUACCUCCUUGUGUGUCAUGUUCUUCAGAGCAACGACUUGAGUCCAUUUAGUAAAGUAGUCAGUGGCAACUAACACGAACUGAUGCCCUUUUAACGAUGAAGGAUGAAUUUCUCCAUCCUCUGAAAGGCCAAGGCUUGAUGAUAGGAUAUAAUUCAGCUGCAGGGACCAACUAUAAGUCGCCAAAUUUUUGACAUACUUGGCAACCUUUGUAGUACUUGAAACAAUCAGCUAUCAUGUUAGGCAAAUAGAAGCCAGACCUUUGCAACAACCACUUCAUCUUUGGAGCCGAUUGAUGGGUACCACAAAUCCCUUCAUGUACUUCGGCCAUGGCUAAUAUAGCAUCACCUAGGCCCAAGCAUAGUAGGAUGUCGUUGCCUGUUCGGCGAUAGAGCUCAUCACUCAUUAAAACAUACUUGAAAGUUGUACGCCGAACGUUCCUAUCCAUCCUAACACUAGGAUUUCGUAUAUAAUUAAUUAUGGGUGUCCUCCAAUCGCUUGCUUCAUCUUCAUUACCAGCUGAAUCAAUCAGGAGAACUUUCCUCACAACCCCAAACGGUCCAAAACCCUCAACCGGACGGCCCGUGACCUGGGGAAUUGGCCCUGUAUCGGUUAUCAGAUUUUCGGUGUUGUGAAAUUUCCCUCGUUUUAUCCGAUAACCUGAUGCAUCUUGUGCCAAAUUGUUAGCUCUGUGAUUCUCAACUCUAGAGAUGUACCUGUAGGGGACUUGUUCUCAAAUACUAUGAGUUGAGAACAAGGCAACACAAAAUGUUAAUGGUUAAAGACCUUCGUCCUUCGGAGCAUUAUCUCCCUUAGGAUAUAAUGGUCUUCGGACGAAGGUUAUGAAGGAUGUACCUUCAUCAUCUUAGUAUAUAAUAAAGCAAGUAGAAGCAUAUGAAACAUGGAAAAUAACAUGAAUAACUAUAUGAUAUUAUCAGAACAUUUUUAUUAUCUUAUCAUGAAUAAACAUGAACAGUAUAGAAUUACAUUUAUACCUUCGGCUUGACAGAAGGUAAAAAUCCAAGCAUGACGUGCGAGUGAAUACAGGUCAGCGUGAACAGUACGGUGUCACUGUUCAUCUAUUUAUAGGCACAGGACGCAACUUGUGUAGAAUUACAUUCAUGCCCUUGACAUUUACUAUUGACUUGGGGAUAAUCUAUCGAGGACUAGACAACCUUUUCUCCUUUAAGUCGGUUUCAUUUUCCAUCGCUAAGUCGAAGCUUUUUCACGGGUAGCUUCGGCACUGGUUCAUCCUUCUCCUGAACCGCGCUCUUCAUAUCAUGUACAACUUCAUCCCAUGUCCGAAGGUUCCUGUACAUAUAGUAUACUUGGAAAACAUGUUAGUCGUGUUUUUGAGGACCUUCUGAAGACGAAGGCCCCCAACAGUAGCCCCUCGCAGUAUUAAUUUGUUAUAACAACGGAUAUUUAGACUGCGACAUUAAUGAAGGCCUUAAGCCGAAGGUCCGAAAAACACCUUCCCUUCGCUAGAAAAGCGACAGUCAAUGACAGACGGGGGCCGCCAAGUUGCAAAGCACUAGGCGUAUAAAUAUGAACCCACAACGGCAGCAUUUGGUUUGCUAUUUCUGCUAUUCGCGUUAUUUUCUCAAAUUUCUAGCUCUUGCUCAAUAGUUCUUGCCUGAUUUUCGAGCUUUUAGAGCUUCGGUUUAAAGGCGUGCUUGGUCCAAAUUUGAGGAGAAGAAGAUGAGUGGAGAGAAGAAGAUGACAGAAGAGAAGAAAAUAACCGAGGAGAAGAAGUUAUAUGAAGAGAAGAAAGUUGUGGAUCCUUUCAUCGCUGGGUUUUAUGAGUCCAUGGCAAAAACGAAUACAGAGAAAAUUACUAAGGAGAUCAUGGAGGGUUUGUUCGAAGAUUCUGAUGACAUUGAUAGUUAUGACGUGGAGAGUGGGGAUGAAGAUUCUGAGGAUCGGCCCUGGCGGCCAAGUCAUACUAUCUUCGGAAAGUCGACUAUCAAGUAGAGUCAUAUUGACGCCAUGAGGGGGGAUAUUUUCGCGACAUGUCUAUUGUCAGAGUUGGAGGAGACAACACUGCCCUCGCUCUUGAGGAAAAUAAAGUUGUUAUUUAUCGAAGCUUCCUGAAAGCAGGUCUCCGGUUCCCACUGAGCAAAUUUGUGGUUGAGGUAUUAAAGAUUUUUCAGAUUUUUCUUCAUCAGAUUACCCCCGAAGCUAUAAUUAGGAUGGGGAUGUUUGUCUGGGCUGUAAGAAGCCAGGGGCUAGAGCCGAGAGCGAAGUGCUUCUGCAAUAUGCAUGAGCUUUUAUAUGAGACGAAGGCUAUUGGCAAAGAACAAUACCACAACAACUUCGGCUGCUACGGGUUCAUUGCCCGCUCUAAUGCAAGUUACCCGGUGCCAACAUAUCGGAAAAGAUGGCCCGGGGCCUGGAUGGAGGAGUGGUUUUAUGUUAAAAAUGAUCUGAUUAAAAGAGAAGAUAUCAAGGAAACUAUCCAGCGCCCCAUCUGGUCUCGCUUCGGCCUCCGAAGGCCGAAGGUGGAAAUUGAUGGCGAUGUUGAAGCAUGCCAGAAGACUUUUAGUACUGUUUGCGCCUUCAUUGGCACGAGGGAUUUAAUUCAAGAGCACAUAUCCUUCAGGGUGUGGCCACUUGUGGAGAGCUGGGAUAUGCUGAAGGAAACUACUGCCGACUCCAGUGAAGGUGGCCUGGUUCGAUUGGGAUAUACCUUCAGGUUUAGAGAGAAGUUUGACGAGCCAAAUGAUGACUGGUUGAAAUGUAUUGAAGCUACUAGUAACGAGUUGCUUGGGACAUAUUCCAAAGCCGAAGAUGAUGCCUUGUCCGCAGCCUUCGGGGGUCGGGGCAAGAAAAGAUUGAAUAGGGUAUUUGAUGCGAUUGGCUUCGCAUACCCUGAUUAUCGCUACCCGCUACGAGGUCAAGGAAAAAAGAGAGAAAGAUUGCCACUUCGGCCACCACAGCUAUGCCGAAGGGUAAAAAAGUGAAGGUUCUGACCCACCGGCCACGGUAUAUUGAACCGGUUGUAGUGCCUGAAUUUGGCGAAGGGGCCUCUUCAACUGCCGAAGCAAGACAAGCUGCUCCGAUUGUGCAGAGCGUUGAAGAGCUAAAUGUAGUGCCGAAGGUGCCUACAGUCGGGCCAGCCGAAGCUAAGGAUGAUAAGGCCGAUGUCACACCCGGUUUUGGAAGGUAAACCGAAUGCGAACCAUGUACGUGCCAGGAUCAGAAAUUCAUGUACAUGGCGAUUACAUAAAUGACUCAUCAUAGCACAAUGCUUCGAAUAACAAUAAAGAUAAGUAAUAAUAUGAAAGACUAGAGUCAUUUACAUAAUAUAAUCAAAGUACACAGAACAAAAACGUAGCCAACGUAAAUAAACCCACCACAGGCAGCUGACUGGGGGAGGUCGCUAGCCUAAUCCUUGAACUCGUUGAAGUCCUGGAACUCCUGGAGAUUCGCCUCGAUGCCUUCUUCUUUACCUGAGCAUAGAUUGCACCAAAGGCAACCUGGUGUUUUGUGAAAGCAAGGGUGAGUACACAUCAACGUACUCAGCAAAUGUCCCGUUUGGCUGUAGUGGACUAGCUUUAUUUGGGGUUAAGGUCAAGCAGUUGCUUUUAGUUGGUCAGGUUAUUAUUACUCAUUGAGAGCCAGGUUUUAACAUUAACCCAAGUUAUUAACCCAAAGUACCCUUUCCAAACGAAAAGAACACCACUUACCAUUACCAUAGUCAUAACCAUCAUCCUUGUCACCACCAGUAAACCAACCAUCUCUGAUCAAGUAUCUCUAAUCAAAGAGGAUCCCAAGGCCGCUCAUAACCGUGAGCACGGCUGAUAUAUCAGUUUCUAACCCUCUGCAGAGGUCGCACACUUUACCCACGAGUCAUGAUUCCCUUUCUGCCCGGGGAGAGCUAAUCCCCAUUGACCACUACCUAGGUGGCCUGGCAGGGUAUCACUACGUAGCCUUUACAAAGAUUUCCCAGAGGUCAUAGCCGCCCGUUAGGUUUCUCCAGUUUGAUAAACACAGUACAUCUCCCCAAAGGAAGGGUGACUAACAAAACCAAAUCAAGAACCUCUGCAACCAGCCUCGGCAGAGCAAGUACUGUGCCCGGACCCCAUUGACGGCCCUACGGCGAAGCCAACUACUCCUCUGGUUCCUCUAAUUAAUCAGCUAAGGGCGUCCCAUUCCACCCUCAUGGUUGCACUGUUAUCCCGGGUUGUCACUCUCCAAACAGGUCCUUACGGAGAGGCACUCAGGAAACAGCCUGAGCCCCCUAAAGUAUCAUAGGAACAUCAUCGGGAUAACAUCAUAGUAUCAUAAGUAUUCACAUCAUGUUCAUUGAUUCAAGUAAAGCAAUAGCAUAAUGCUAACCAUGAUAACCCAAAAGGUAAAGAAGGAUAAGGUAAAUGGAAAGCUAGUCAAUCCUUAGGUUUCAAUUAAGUAAUGCGGGACAGUGCAUUAAAAGUGAAUGGGACAUAAUGGGUCAGAGGACACUUGCCUUCACCAAAUAGAUGCUCAGGGUCUUCCACUUUGUAGAAUUCGAAGAACUUGAUCCCACGAUCGUCGAAGCUUGACCAGCGAGCAGAGGUUGAAGACACGACGACGGCGAUUGCGUGGCGAGUGGGCGCGGCCACGGUGCUGCUCGGGCGGAGAGGCGCUGCAUAAUGGCGUAGACGACCAUGAGCACGGCGAGGCUGCUGUCGUGGCACGGCGGAGGCGGUGGUUGCUGCAGCGACUGCGAGGGAGAGGAGAGCAGAGCAGGGCCGAGCAGACGUGGGCGCUGGGUGGUUCCAUUUUUAGCGUUGUGGAUGUGUGCGUCUCGAAGAACAGGGAAGGAAUAUGGUUACAUGGGAGAGCUGACUGACAUGUGGGGCCCACAUACACUGCACAGCCUGGACAGCUGACAGGUGGGGCCCUAGCCAUGCACGGCGCGUGCCUGGUCUUGCCCCCGCUCCUGUGCGUGCGUGCAGGAUGGGAGUUUUUAGUGGGGGCGAGAGGGUUGGAUGGGAUUCUCUUUUUUUGUUUUGUUUUUUUUUACUUUUUUUAAUUAUUUUCUUCCUCCCUUUUUAUAUAUAGGUAUAGAUAUAUAUAUUUAUAUAUAUAUAUGAUUAUUUUUAUUUACAUUAAAUCGUGCCCAUAUAAUUUGGAUUCAAUAGUUUUUCCUUCUUCUGAACGUAAAUACCACGAAAAUCAUUUUUUUGCAGACAUAAAUUAUGCUUCGGCAUGAGAUGCAACAAUCAAACUCCUCCAGGGCUCACUCCACUAGGUUCACGCUGAUAUAUAACAAAUAACUCACCUUUAUUUAGAAAAAAAAGAGACGAAAAGAAAAAAAAAGAAGAGGGUAACACCUGAAUUUGGUGGAUAUUAGAAGAAAAUUUUAUACCCCAAAUUAAGGGUGUUACAAAUCUAACCCCUUAACAGGAAUCUCGCCCCCGAGAUUCAAGAAGAGGCUAGCAAGAACGACUAGGUUGGUUCAUAGGUUGAUCACGACUUCUUCUGACUCAACUCUGACUCUGGCAACUUUAACUUGCGGACUGGUUCCUUUGACCUUUAGAUGCUUGAGACCGAUCGAUGCAAUUUUUGAGGAUCUCUUGGACUUGUGAGUCAGGACCCACACACGCUUUCGUUGCGCCAGUCUGAUCUUGUUGGUUGAUGUUGAUCGCAUUGUCUUCAUUGGGGUUAGCGGCUAACCCCCUUAACAGGAGCAUUGAUAAGCACUUGGUGAAGAUGCUGUCGAUUCUGAUCUUGAUUGAUUAAGAGGAGCUAGAGGUUGCCAACUGCAUAGGUGCAAGAGGAAAGAAUAUAGGUAGAAAAGGUAAGCAUAGAUGGAUUAAAGAGAGAAACGGGAGAGCACCCAACAACCUAAAUUUAUGGCACUCAGCUAGUAAACUGAUGUCAUUGCGGACCAAGGGCCACAUCACAUCAACACUCAUCACAUGGAAGCAAAUCAGUCAUCACACAAGGACAAACAACACAAGCAUACAACAACAAACAUCUCGUUGCUAUACGUUGAUGUUAACUAGAUGGUGGUCUUUCCUGAAAAGGGAAUAACUACUCUCUAAGGUUGUUGAAGGACAAGGAGAAGGACAAGACGUACAGGAUAGGGGCACGAGCACCAUAAAUGAUGGAGUUAAAGUAAGCAUUGUAAGCGACCAGGAUAAGGAUACGGCCAAGGCAUAAUGGGAAGAACACUACUCUCGAGUUGAGAUAGAAAAGGGGGGAUUCCAAAAAGCGGAUCUAAGAUAAGCAUCAAGGCAAGAUCUAGUGAUUACAAAGGUAAGGGUGAUAUCAAACAAAAGCUAAGACCUGCAAUGCGGUAGAGGAAAAGGAAACGACUACGAGCGAGAUGGGUAAGACAACACUCUUGAACUGAAAUGGGAGAGGAGGCUUUAAAUUGCAUGUACAAGAUAAACAUCAAAGUAAACAUCAAGGGAUGACAAGGGUUCAGGUGAUAACGAACAAACACACAACAAAGGAUGUAUUUUAGACAAAACGUGUGAGGUAUCAAAGAAUGGGAAGCAGUCAAUGGUGAAGUAGGUGAGGCAUUAUCCUCAAACAUCGAUGAAAAAGAGGUGGCUUUAAAGGGUAGGUUCAAAGUAAGCAUGAGGGCAAGGGCAUAGAUAUCACGAGGGUUUAAAGGUGAUAACAGACAAGGAUGUAGGAGAGGAGGUAAACGCGCAUAAUAACCAAGGAUAUAAGUACCACAAAGGAUAGAGUUAAGACAAGACCUGCAGAUGAAAAAGAAGGAGGUAUGUCCAAGGGCCAGAUAGGUAAACAGCCACUCUCCAAUUGAGGUGGAAGAGAGGAGAUUUUAAAGAGCCAGAAUAAAGAUGAGUAUCAAGGCAAGAUCGACGAAUGACAAGGAGGUCGUGAUAGCAAAUAAAACACAUAGCAAAGGAUGGAAUUGAAACAAAACUUGUAAGGCGACAAGAAGUGAAAAGAAAUCAAGGGAGAGGUAGGUAACUCGCAACUCUCAAAGUGGGUUGAAAGAAAGGGGAGGAUUUAAAGGAUAAGUUUAAGGUAAGCAUUUAGGUAGAAGACAUAAAUAUCGCAAGGGCCAAAGGCGAUAACGGACAAGGGUACAAGAGAAAAGAUGAAGGCAUAGAAGAGCCAGUGGUAUGAGUACGACAAAGAAUGAAGUUAAGAUAAGACUCACACCUAGCAAAGACGAGGUUCCGACCAAGGGCGGGAUAAGUAAAACACUUCCCUCGAAUUGAGAUGAGAGAGGGAAUUUUAAAUAACGGACAUAAGAUAGUCAUCAAGGUAAGAUGGAGAGACGGUGAAGGUAAAGGUAGUAACAGAUAACGAAGGGUGGAGUUAAAAACUCGCAAGCGACAAGGAAUAGGAUGCAACUAAGGGAAAAUAGGUAACCUUCAACUUUUAAAAUUGAGACGAAAGAGAGAAGGUUUUGGAGCACAGGUAUAAUAUAGGCAUCAAGGUAAGAUAUAGAGGUGUCAAAGUCGAAGGUGAUAAUAAUGAAAGGCAUAACAAAGGAUAGAGUUAAGGCAAGACUCGCGAAAUGCCGAAGUGGAGAAAACAAUCAAGGUAAGAUAGGUGAUGUUUCAAUAGAAUGGUUGAAGUAAGAAUUCAUUACUGAGGCAAGUUAUAAGGAAGCAACGAGAUUACCACGGGUGUGCAAAAUAAAAUGACCGCUCAUGGAUCUUUAGGAAAUAAGGAUGGUCAAAGGCAUGUUAACUGAAAUGUCUUGAAUAGUCAUUGGGGUAUGAAGGUAAGCAUACUUGAAAAUAUGAGAGUACGCAAGACACCAAGGAUAUGAGCAUACCAAGACAAGGGAAUAGAAAAAAAAACAAAUGAUAACGACUUAACAACGAAAUAGGGAGGGAUCUCAGAAGACAAGAAGGUCAUGGACAUAAAAACUGGAAUGUUUAAAGAGGAAACCGAGUUUUCAGAGGUAACUAUUUGAAACAAGAGUAUUAAAGAAUCUAGGGGUACAAGCAUGUCAAUACGAAGAGGACAAAGAUAGUCAAAGGGUAGCAAUUUAGUGAUGGAAGAGGGAAAAAUCCCAACAGACAAAAAGUUAUGGUCAGGGGGCAUCUUCAAAGAUGUCGCAAGCAUAAGAGUGAGAACAGAACUAAUAUGACCAGCAAAUAAACCAUAAAUAAAUGAAGGAUUAGAAUAAAACACAAUUUUCAGCAAGGUAUAAUAUGUAGUAAAACAUAGGUUUGGUCGAUAUGACCAACUUUUGAAGGGAUAGCAAAGUCAAGGCAGGGACAGAGGUCUAUAAUCCUUAGAACGACCAUUCUACUCUAGGUUAGCGGUCCUACAGUCAGCACGGCUUUGAUACCACUUAUGUCACACCCGGUUUUGGAAGGUAAACCGAAUGCGAACCAUGUACGUGCCAGGAUCAGAAAUUCACGUACACGGCGAUUACAUAAAUGACUCAUCAUAGCACAAUGCUUCGAAUAACAAUAAAGAUAAGUAAUAAUAUGAAAGACUAGAGUCAUUUACAUAAUAUAAUCAAAGUACACAGAACAAAAACGUAGCCAACGUAAAUAAACCCACCACAGGCAGCUGACUGGGGGAGGUCGCUAGCCUAAUCCUUGAACUCGUUGAAGUCCUGGAACUCCUGGAGAUUCGCCUCGAUGCCUUCUUCUUUACCUGAGCAUAGAUUGCACCAAAGGCAACCUGGUGUUUUGUGAAAGCAAGGGUGAGUACACAUCAACGUACUCAGCAAAUGUCCCGUUUGGCUGUAGUGGACUAGCUUUAUUUGGGGUUAAGGUCAAGCAGUUGCUUUUAGUUGGUCAGGUUAUUAUUACUCAUUGAGAGCCAGGUUUUAACAUUAACCCAAGUUAUUAACCCAAAGUACCCUUUCCAAACGGAAAGAACACCACUUACCAUUACCAUAGUCAUAACCAUCAUCCUUGUCACCACCAGUAAACCAACCAUCUCUGAUCAAGUAUCUCUAAUCAAAGAGGAUCCCAAGGCCGCUCAUAACCGUGAGCACGGCUGAUAUAUCAGUUUCUAACCCUCUGCAGAGGUUGCACACUUUACCCACGAGUCAUGAUUCCCUUUCUGCCCGGGGAGAGCUAAUCCCCAUUGACCACUACCUAGGUGGCCUGGCAGGGUAUCACUACGUAGCCUUUACAAAGAUUUCCCAGAGGUCAUAGCCGCCCGUUAGGUUUCUUCAGUUUGAUAAACACAGUACAUCUCCCCAAAGGAAGGGUGACUAACAAAACCAAAUCAAGAACCUCUGCAACCAGCCUCGGCAGAGCAAGUACUGUGCCCGGACCCCAUUGACGGCCCUACGGCGAAGCCAACUACUCCUCUGGUUCCUCUAAUUAAUCAGCUAAGGGCGUCCCAUUCCACCCUCAUGGUUGCACUGUUAUCCCGGGUUGUCACUCCCCAAACAGGUCCUUACGGAGAGGCACUCAGGAAACAGCCUGAGCCCCCUAAAGUAUCACAGGAACAUCAUCGGGAUAACAUCAUAGUAUCAUAAGUAUUCACAUCAUGUUCAUUGAUUCAAGUAAAGCAAUAGCAUAAUGCUAACCAUGAUAACCCAAAAGGUAAAGAAGGAUAAGGUAAAUGGAAAGCUAGUCAAUCCUUAGGUUUCAAUUAAGUAAUGCGGGACAGUGCAUUAAAAGUGAAUGGGACAUAAUGGGUCAGAGGACACUUGCCUUCACCAAAUAGAUGCUCAGGGUCUUCCACUUUGUAGAAUUCGAAGAACUUGAUCCCACGAUCGUCGAAGCUUGACCAGCGAGCAGAGGUUGAAGACACGACGACGGCGAUUGCGUGGCGAGUAGGCGCGGCCGCGGUGCUGCUCGGCGCGGAGAGGCGCUGCAUAAUGGCGUAGACGACCGUGAGCACGGCGAGGCUGCUGUCGUGGCACGGCGGAGGCGGUGGUUGCUGCAGCGACUGCGAGGGAGAGGAGAGCAGAGCAGGGCCGAGCAGACGUGGGCGCUGGGUGGUUCCAUUUUUAGCGUUGUGGAUGUGUGCGUCUCGAAGAACAGGGAAGGAAUAUGGUUACAUGGGAGAGCUGACUGACAUGUGGGGCCCACAUACACUGCACAGCCUGGACAGCUGACAGGUGGGGCCCUAGCCAUGCACGGCGCGUGCCUGGUCUUGCCCCCGCUCCUGUGCGUGCGUGCAGGAUGGGAGUUUUUAGUGGGGGCGAGAGGGUUGGAUGGGAUUCUCUUUUUUUGUUUUGUUUUUUUUACUUUUUUUAAUUAUUUUCUUUCUCCCUUUUUAUAUAUAGGUAUAGAUAUAUAUAUUUAUAUAUAUGAUUAUUUUUAUUUACAUUAAAUCGUGCCCAUAUAAUUUGGAUUCAAUAGUUUUUCCUUCUUCUGAACGUAAAUACCACGAAAAUCAUUUUUUUGCAGACAUAAAUUAUGCUUCGGCAUGAGAUGCAACAAUCAAACUCCUCCAGGGCUCACUCCACUAGGUUCACGCUGAUAUAUAACAAAUAACUCACCUUUAUUUAGAAAAAAAAGAGACGAAAAGAAAAAAAAGAAGAGGGUAACACCUGAAUUUGGUGGAUAUUAGAAGAGAAAUUUUAUACCCCAAAUUCAGGGUGUUACAGCCGAAGAGCCUGAGGUGGAAAAAUAGUGAAAAUGCCAGAAAUUCUGAGCCCACCAGCUGAGGCAAAAUUGCCGAAGGUGCAAAGGGCUCUUGCCACAACUCCCAAAAGGAGGAGGAUGGCCAGCAUACUGGACGCUGUUCUGGAGACCACAAAGGCCUUGAGCCCUGCUCCUGCUAAGAAAAGUGCUGAAGCUGCCAAAGUCCAAGCCAGAGCCGAAGCUGGGCCUUUAGCUCCCAUUGAGACGAAGGCUGUUGCGCUUGAAGAUAAAGGUGGUCAACAGACUCUAGAUACCGGCAUGGCAGCAGGGCAAGACAUGUCAAGAAAAGCAAAAUCCCCUGCCCCUGAAGCUUCAAUUGAAGAUGUUAAUUACAUUUUUUGACAUGCUUCGGGGAAAAAUUAUCCGAAGAAGAAAUCCAGUAAGCCAGGCAUUAUGCCCAAAAACUAAAAUAUCCAAAGGGGGGUUUAGUGUUCAAUGGCACUAACGAAGAUGAUUUCCUAUACUAUCUCCCGGACAACAAAGAAAUAUCCGUUUGCCGGGAGAUAGCUAAAAGUAUGGGAUUUUCGAAGCUUGAGGAAGGCCUUUCGGUUAUGUCAAAGGAUGAUCUUGCUGAUAGCCUUGCGUACAACAGUAUAAAGGUAUAGAAGUUAAUUUUGAAGUUAGAAAAUGAAGUAUUUUAUUGCCAUGCUCAAUUCUUUCUCCUUCUUUGCAGGGCUUAAUUCUUAGUAAUGCCUUGAGGGCACAAAAGAGCGUCGAAGACGAAGGCUGUACAAUGGCUCUUAACAACCUUCGCUCAGAGGUGAUUGAACUGAGGAAUGAAGGUCUAGAGAAAGACAAAAUUUUGAUUUCAUUGGUGAUUAAAAUAAAAGAAGACGAAGCUAAGUACAAUGCUCAGGCCGAAGCCCAAAACGCUGAGGUUGAAGACCUUCGGAGACAACUGGCCGAAGCUAAGGAGAACUGAGCGCUCGCACAGGCUAACCAAGAGAUUAGUGAAUAUUGGAAGAAUAAACUAGAGAAAAAUGUUGAAGAACUUCGCGAAUCCAAGGAAAAGUGUUUUGAAAAAUCCUUGGAUUGCAUGAAGAAAUUAAAAACUAGCUUCUCCAAAGUGUGUGCCUAUUCUUCUGAAGAAAAUUUUAUCCGAGGUGACCCCAAAGGUGUUAUUGAAUGGAUAAGUGGAGAAGUCAAAGCCUUCGAGGAAAUCUUGAAUGAUCGCGGGGAUAUUUGUGCGUUUUCCGGCGCUCACGGGAUCUCAACUAUUCUGGAGAAGGCCGAAUGUGAUCACGUCAAGGCUAUAGCCCAGGCCGAAGCUGCCUUCUCCUUCGACGAUACGAAGGAUCCUUCAGCCGAAGCAACUUUAGUGGGCAGGAAAUUUUAUUCUGAUGUCUGGGUGAACGGUGGCCGAGAGCUGGCCAGCGAAAUUAUAAAAAGAAUGAAAAAGACACCCACGACGCCCGGGAAGAAGCAAAGCGAGCUGAAGAGGCUGCUGAACGCGAAAGGCGCAUAGGUAUAGUUUUUGAUUUUUUGGCUUCAGUACUUUCUAUGUAGCUUCAAAACUAAUAGUUUACUUACUACAGCUGAACUAUCCCCGCCACCGGAGCCGUACAAUCCCCUAGCUGAUCCAGAGAUGAAGGAAGUACUGGAUAUUAUAAGCAUGGCGAACUCCAUUAUCGACGAAGCCGUCGAUAAACUUUUGAACGAAGUCGCAGAAAAAGUCCUUAGAGAAGAAUAGAUUUUGUUGUAAUAAUGUUUUGAAAUGCUUGAUUGUAAGGGACAAUUGAAUGAAGAUUAGGCUUCUGUUGUAACAAAACUAUGUAACAUUUGAUGUAUGUAAUAUUGAACCGAAUGUGUAAGCUGUUGUAAUUUAUUUCUUUGCGAUGCAUGAAACAUACACACAUACCGCUUUUUGAGCCUUCGGUGAAAAAACACCUUCCCUUCUUUUCAUGCUUCAUAAAGAAGGAAACCACUUCUAGGGCAGAUCUGAUAGAAUUGUCACCCGAAGUUUGCUUCGUGCCUUAGCACAUUUUCAUUUAAUCGAAGUAUUUCCAAAGAUUUGCUUCGUAUUCAGUCUUUCUGUUGAUGCGAUAUGAUGUAUGAUGUGAUGCUAUGCUAAAUGAUGUGAUGAUAUGAUGCAAUAUGAUGAUGCUUUAACACCCACACAUACGCCCAAACUGGUACACGGAAGACUCUGCAUCCCCUUAGGAACGUCUUUUGAGUUUAAGCUCUGCAUCCCAUUAGGAACGACUUUUGAGCUUCUUCACCUUCUAUUUCGGUGGUAUAAGUUCUGCAUCCCCUUAGGAACGACUUUUGAACUUCUUCGCCUUAUAUUUCGGCGGUAUUUGGCUUUGCAUUCCCUUUGAAACGACUUUUGAGCAGAAAACUUACACUGUGCUCCCUUAGGAACGACUUUUUGUAGCUUCGUCAAUUUUGGCUCUGCAUUCCCUUAGAAACGACUUUUGAGCAGAAAACUUACAUUGUGCUCCCUUCGGAACGACUUUUUGUAGCUUCGUCAAUUUUUGCUCUGUAUUCCCUUAGGAACGACUUUUGAGCUUCGAAAUUUACUUCGUUCCUUUAAGAGUCGUCUUUCGAGCUUCGUAAAUUUAUGAAGAAGACAUAUUUCAUUCUGGUGUAGGCAAAAUUAUUACAAGAAAUUGAAACUGAGUUUUUCAUUACUUGUUUCUCACACAGAAAGUAAAAUGGCAUAAAAUAUAAAAGUACUUCAGAAGUAGGAUAUUCCUCAGUAUAUGUGCUUCGAUUCUGGUACAGUGUUGUUGACUGUACGAGCUUCGGACUCCUCCCUGAAGUCACAUUGCUGUUGGGGGUGCUGGCGCCCUUCUGGCUGCUGGCUUUGGGUAUGAGUAGGUGGCAAUGGUGGUGGCGGUGGAAGCUGAGGCCAGGAAGCUUGUGAAUGGCUUGCCGAAGCAACAGAAGCUGCAGGUUGAUUGCCCACAUAUUCUGGUAUGUAGGGAGAGUAGCAUGAAGCAGUAUGUAAAACCUGCUUCGGCUGGUUCUGCCGGGCUUCUGCUUCAGCAAUCUCUUUUUGCUUUUGAAUGGUAAUCUGGCAUGUUUUUGUAGUGUGGCCCUUGUCUUCACCAUAGAAUAAGCAAUAGAUUUUCCUGGGCUGAUCCUCAUAUCUUCCUCCGAAGCUCCUGUCGCCUCUACCCCUUGGCGCUGGUGGCCUGAAGGAGCUUUGCUGCUGCCCUGAAGACUGUGAGCUAUGUUGUGGCCUCUGAAACUGGUUUCCAUUGUCAUCACUCUGACUGGAGCUGUGGAUUGAUCUGACAUGGCUAGGGUGGAUUCUUUCUUCGAAGCCCCUAGUCAUCUCAGAAAACCUAUAAGCUUCUUCCCUUCUCUGGCGAAAAUCAUUAUUGGCUCGAAUGUACUCAUCCAUCUUCUGAAGCAGCUUCUCCAGGGUCUGAGGGGGUUUCCUGGCGAAGUAUUGAGCCGUAGGCCCUGGUCGAAGACCCUUGAUCAUGGCCUCAAUGACGAUUUCAUUGGGCACUGUUGGCGCUUGUGCUCUCAGAUGCAAGAACCUUUGGACGUACGCCUGAAGGUACUCCUCAUGAUCUUGUGUGCACUGGAACAAGGCCUGAGCAGUAACUGGCUUCGUCUGAAACCCUUGAAAACUGGUGACCAACAUGUCCUUAAGCUUCUGCCAUGAUGUGAUUGUCCCUGGCCAGAAAGAGGAGAACCAUGUCUGGGCCACACUUCGGACUACCAUGACGAAGGACUUCGCCAUGACAGCGACGUUGCCUCCAUAUGAGGAUAUUGUUGCCUCAUAGCUCAUCAAGAAUUGCUUUGGGUCCGAGUGCCCAUCAUACAUGGGAAGCUAGGGUGGCUUGUAUGAUGAAGGCCAUGGUGUAGCCUGCAGUUCUGCUAACAGAGGAGAAGCAACAUCAAAAGCAAAAUUUCCAUGGUGGAAAUCGUCAUACCAAAUGUCAUCAUCAUAGGAAUUGUCCUGGCGAAGCUCUGUGCGUUGAGUUCGCCGGUCCUGGUCAUCUUGGGUGAGAUGACGCAUUUCCUCAGCGGCUCUGUCGAUCUUCCUCUAAAGAUCAGCAAGAUGAAUCAUCUUCUCCUUCUUUAUUUGGACUUGCUGAUGAAUGGCUUCGAGGUCCUUGAUCUCCUGGUCUAACUCUUCCUCCUGAGGCGUUGGACUUGUAGCCUUCCUUUUUUGGCUUCGGGCUUCGUGCAAUGUGUCUUGGUUGACGUCUAGUGGCUGCAGUGCAGCCCCUAGCCCUGAAGCUUUCUUCGGUGGCAUGACGAAGGUCACAGCUUGCCGAAGGUGGUCGAAUGAGUUCACCGGAGGUGGGCGCCAAUGUUGGGGACUUGUUCUCAAAUACUAUGAGUUGAGAACAAGGCAACACAAAAUGUUAAUGGUUAAAGACCUUCGUCCUUCGGAGCAUUAUCUCCCUUAGGAUAUAAUGGUCUUCGGACGAAGGUUAUGAAGGAUGUACCUUCAUCAUCUCAGUAUAUAAUAAAGCAAGUAGAAGCAUAUGAAACAUGGAAAAUAACAUGAAUAACUAUAUGAUAUUAUCAGAACAUUUUUAUUAUCUUAUCAUGAAUAAACAUGAACAGUAUCGAAUUACAUUUAUACCUUCGGCUUGACAGAAGGUAAAAAUCCAAGCGUGACGUGCGAGUGAAUACAUGUCAGCAUGAACAGUACAGUGUCACUGUUCAUUUAUUUAUAGGCACAGGAUGCAGCCUGUGUAGAAUUACAUUCAUGCCCUUGACAUUUACUAUUGACUUGGGGAUAAUCUAUCGAGGACUAGACAGCCUUUUCCCCUUUAAGUCGGUUUCAUUUUCCAUCGCUAAGACGAAGCUUUUUCACUGGUAGCUUCGGCACUGGUUCAUCCUUCUCCCGAACUGCGCUCUUCAUAUCAUGUACAACUUCAUCCCAUGUCCGAAGGUUCCUGUACAUAUAUUAUACUUGGAAAACAUGUUAGUCGUGUUUUUGAGGACCUUCGGAAGACGAAGGCCCCCAAUAGUACCGAAUGCUGAAUUUGUCAAAAGAAUGAAUUAUGCCCCAACAUUUUUCAAGGUAACUGUUUAGAGUACCAUCAAAACAUUGAUAUUCUUCUACUACUUGUUGGACAACCAGCUGAGAAUCACCAAAUGCCCUGACAUGUUUUACUCCCAUACAACUUAACAUCUCCAAGCCGAACAAAAGGGCAUCAUAUUUGGCUUGAUUGUUAGUGCAAUAAGUUUUUAAUCAGCUAGAGAAGUUGAAAGAGACAUUACUUGGUGAAACAAGCACGAUGCCAAUUUCUUGUCCUUCAUUGCAAACCGAUCCAUCAAAAUAUAAAAUCCAGGGAGUAACAGUGAGAUAUGAUAUGUCUAGUUUAUGAGUGUCAUCAAUCUGAUGUUCUACAAAAAAAGUCUGCUACGACAUGGCCUUUCAUAGAUUUCAAUGGUUCAUAAGCCAAGUCAUAUUCUAUGAGUGCAUAAGCCCAUUUACUAAUUCUACCACUCAUAAUCGGGUUUUGCAACAUGUAUUUGAUCACAUCGGUUUGACCGGAAACGGUGCAAUGAUUAGACAACAAAUAACAUCUACACUUGGUGCAUGCAUAAAACAGGCAUAAGCAUAACUUCUCGAUGAAAGUGUACCUUAUUUCAGAAUCCACCAGCCUCUGACUUAGAUAGGUCACCACAUGCUGCUUUCCUCUGGUCUCUUGCGUCAGAACAGCCCUAAUAACCUUAUCUUCAGCUGCAAUCUACAAUCUGAACGGUACUCCUACUUGCGUUGCUUUUAACACCGGAGCCGAAGACAAAUAUUUUCUGAUGAGAUCAAACGCUUCCUGUUGUUCUGCCCCCAGGUGAAUUCGGCAUCAUUUUUAAGCUGAAGGAUAGGGGUGAAGGCAUCAAUCUUCCCAGCUAGGUUAGAAAUAAACCUUCGUAAAUAAUUUAUCUUGCUAAGGAACUUCUGCACUUCGACCUUACAGGUCGGAGGUCCCACAUUCCGAAUGGAUUUAAUUCGGUCAGGUUCUACCUCUAUACCAUGUUCAUGAAUGAUGAACCCUAAGAACUUACCAGCUGACACUCCAAAAGCACAUUUACGUGUGUUCAUUUUCAGAUCAUACCGACGAAUUUUAUCAAAGGCUUUGCGCAAAUCAUCUAUAUGAGAACUAAACUCAGCCGAUUUGACUACAAUAUCAUCAAUGUAGACUUCCACAGUGUUUCCCAAUAGCUCGUGAAAGAUCAAAUUCAUAGCCCUCUGAUAAGUAGCACCAGCAUUUUUCAGACCAAAUGUCAUGACAACCCACUCAAAUAAACCAAUGAAGCCUAGACAUAUAAAGGUCGUUUUAGACAAAUCUUCUUCGGCCAUGAAAAUCUGAUUAUAUCUGGCAUUACCAUCAAGAAAGCUAAUAAUUCUAUUCCCUGGCGCAUUAUUGAUUAAUGUCGGCUAUGGGCAUGGGAUAUUCAUCUUUAGGAGUUGCUCUAUUUAAAUUGCGAAAAUCAAUGCAUACUCUAAGCUUACCUGAUUCUUUCUUUUCCAUUGGCACAAUAUUGGAGACCCACUCUAUGUAUCUGCAAGGUCUAAUAAAAUUAGCUUCUAGCAGCCAGUGAAUUUCGUCCUUUAUUCAUGGGAGAAGGUCUAGAUGAAAUGUUCUAGCUUUCUGUUUGAAAGGUCUAAAACUGGACUUAAUGGGCAGUCGAUGAUCUACUAUCUCACGUCUUAAUCCCGGCAUCUCAGUCUAAUUCCAAGCAAAGCAAUCAGAAUAUUCUUUCAAUAGACUGAUCAUUUCAUCUAUAGGAUCGGUCUCUAGGGUCUUAUUCACAAAAGUCGCCUUGGAGUAUUACCAUCUCCUAUAUCAAUCUCCUUCAAAGGAUCAGCCGAUGUAAACCCCUGUCCUAAUUUGUUAAGAUCUCUGAAUUCCUCUAUUAUGUCUCCCACAGAGGAAUUAGAUGAUCUUUGUGUGACGGCGGACCCUCUGGUCUCGGGGGCCGGAUCAUCCGCGACACUGGUUUUAUGCUAUGGUGAAUGUUCGGUCUUAAAAGCUGAACUGUCUUGUAAAAGACCGGACCGUCCGACCUCAGAAGUUGGACUGUCCGCGACCAGAGACUCAUUCAUUCUGUGUACUCAUCAUUUAAACUUUAUUUAGGAUUUAGCUGAUUGUCUAUCGGGUCUAGCAUUACAGGAAUGAAACCCUUUUUAUCUAUAUUUAUGAACUGAUAAUCAGAAAAAUCUACUCCUGUGAGACACGUAGUAGUCUCAUAGGUCCAAAGUACAGGGGCAUCGGCCACAGCGAUACAGGCCGAUGCAUCAACAUGUACUUGCUCUACAUCGUCGCCUUCCCAUUGUAGUAACAUUUGAUGUAACGUAGAAGGUACACAUUGGAUAGCAUGAAUCCAAUCCCUACCUAGGAUUAGACUGUAAUUUCCUUCUACAUCAGCAACGAAUAAUGCAGCAGCAAGGGUCUUAGUCACGAUGGUUAACUCAACGGACAUGACUCUCUUGGCUUUGAUCGAACUAUCAGUUCCAACGCCGCUGAGGGUCAUGUUGGUCUUGACAAGUUCAUCAUCUUGUUUACCUAGUUUUCUGUAUAAUGAAUAAGGCAUUAGAUUUACAGCCCCCCCCAUCUACCAACAUUUUAGCACGGUAUCCCAUUAAUGUGACCGCGCACGAAGAGCGACUUCAAAUGAUUUACCGAUUCCUUUGGUUUAGUGAAGGCGACUUCUUUAGGACCAAAGUCAAACUGAGCAACGACAAGUUCAUCAUCGCCGACAAUAGUACAAUCGGCGGAAAUGUAAUCAAAUUUAUGUUCAUACCUGUGUGCUCUGAAGAAGCCUCGUAGUCGACCAGGUCCUCUCCUAGUAGGUCGUCCUCCUCCAUGGGCGUCGGCACGUCGUUGGAGGUGUCCUGGUGUAGUGUGGGCGGUCCGGACUCGAGAGUCGGACGGUCCGUGUCAUCUGCGGAUGGUCCGACCUUUAUAGCCGGACUGUAUGCCGUACCUGCAGAGAGCUGUGGAGUUGCUGUCUCAUUCUCUAUCUUCGUGGCCGUUUGAUUUAUCUCAACGGCCUUUGGCCUCCACCUCUUUUGCGGUGGGGGGUACUAUGGAUGUGUGUCAUUAAAUAUUUUUCCGCUUCCUUUUCUUGGUUCUCCUUCGCUCUUAGGCACUGUAGUUUUCGCUUUUGGGACCGUGUCAAUCCCGAUGGGCACCAUCGAGGCAUAGAGUAUUUUGGAUCGGCUAUUUUGAUGGCAGUUGUAUCUUUUUUUGUUUGUGUUGGCCGAUUCACCAAAAAUCAUCGGUCCUUCAUUAUUUUCCUGUAUGACAACAUCUGUUGUACCUAUUUUGAUGAUGUCCUUUUUUGUCGUUCUCUCAGUUGCUGUAGGUAUAUGCCCCCCUGUUGGAUUGGUCGGCCUUUGCGGCCGAUUAGUCCGGUAAUCUUGCUGGGCUUGUGCCUGGUGAACGGAUUGAGUGGCGCUCAAUUGGUCUUGUACUAGUGGUGCCAACCUGAUGAAUACAGAUACUUGGGGUGCCCCCCAAGCAGGAUACUGUGGCAUCCCAAAUGGAUAUGGUGGCAUACCCCACAUUUGAUUUGGUGCGUAUGGCAGUGGUACAUAUGCAUAUUGAUAUGGCAUAGGUAGAUAUGGGAGUGGAUGUGUCCAUGCAGUUAUGCUAGGCCUCAACUGGACAGUAUGACCUUCCAUUUUUUCCGAUUGGUGAGGUGGUCCAAUCGGUCUUACCUGCUGUUGCUCCUGUAUGGGCGAGCGAGGUCGCUUCGCUGGCUGGUCACUUGGAACGGCCUUCUUUUUUACAUAUGUCGGGGACCAUAAUUAGGGGUACCCUCAAGGCUCCUAAUUCUCAGCUGGUAACCCCCAUCAGCAUAAAGCUGCAAAGGCCUGAUGGGUGCGAUUAAGUCAGGGAUCAGUCCAUUCGAGGGACUCGAUCAUGCCUCGCCUGAGCCCAGCCUCGGACAAGGGCAGCCGACCCCAAAGGAUUUCCGUCUCGCACGAGGCCCCCCUCCAGCGGCGAAUAUAUUUCCGGCUCGCCCGAGGCCCUAUCUUCGCCAAGAAGCAACCAUGACCAAAUCACCGCACCGACCGACCAAAUCGCAGGAGCAUUUAAUGCAAAGGUGGCCUGACACCUUUAUCCUGACUUGCGCCCCCCAGCCGGCAGAGCCGAAGCGACCGCCGUCACUUCGCCGCUCCACUGACCGGCCUGACAGAAGGACAGCGCCGCCUGCGCCACUCCGACUGCGGUGCCACUUGACAGGGUGAGAAUGACAGGCAGUCAGGCCCGGCCGAAGGCACCAUAGGAAACUCCGCUCCGCCCGACCCAGGGCUCGGACUCGGGCUAAGUCCUGGAAGACGGCGAACUCCGCUCCGCCCGACCCAGGGCUCGGACUCGGGCUAAGUCCCGGAAGACGGCGAACUCCGCUCCGCCCGACCUAGGGCUCGGACUCGGGCUAAGUCCCGGAAGACGGCGAACUCCGCUCCGCCCGACCCAGGGCUCGGACUUGGGCUCAGCCCUAGAAGACGACGAACUCCGCUCCGCCCGACCCCAGGGCUCGGGCUCCGCCCUGGCCUCAGCUGACGGCCUCCGCCUCGCCCGACCCAGGGGCUCGGACUCGACCUCGGCCACGGAAGGCAGAUUCGACCUCGGCCACGGAAGACAGACUCGACCUCGGCCACGGAAGACAGACUCGACCUCGGCUUCGGAGGAGCUUCCACAUCGCCCAACCUAGGGCGCAGACCCACCACGUCAACAGGAGGCACCAUCAUCACCCUACCCCGAGCUGACUCGGGCCGCAGGGAACAAGACCGGCGUCCCAUCUGGCUCGCUCCGCCAGAUGGGCGAUGAUGGCGCCUCGCAUACUCUGUGACGACGGCGGCUCUCAGCCCCCUUACGGAAGCAAGAGGACGUCAGCAAGGACUCGACAGCCCUGACAGCUGUCCCUCCGCAAGGAUCCAGCACUCCUCCGACGGCCACGACAUCACACCAGCUGGGUGCCAAAAUCUCUCCGGCUGCCACGACGGCAUGUACUUAGGGCGCUAGCUCUCCUCCGCUAGACACGUAGCACUCUGCUACACCCCCAUUGUACACUUGGAUCCUCUCCUUACGCCUAUAAAAGGAAGGACCAGGGCCCUCUUAGAGAGGGUUGGCCGCGCGGGGACGAGGACGAGACAGGCGCUCGCUCGGAGCCGCUCGCUCCCUCACCCGCGUUGACGCUUGUAACCCCCUACUGCAAGCGCACCCGACCUGGGCGCGGGACAAACACGAAGGCCGCGGGAUUCCCACCUCUCUCACGCCGGUCUCCGGCCGCCUCGCUUUUCCCCCUUCGCGCUCGCCCUCGCGCUCGACCCAUCUGGGCUGGGGCACGCGGCGACAUUCACUUGUCGGCUUAGGGACCCCCCAGUCUCGAAACGCCGACAACAUAUUGAGACAAUAACUGGUUAAAGGUUGGGCCGGAUCUUACCAGUCGGCCAGCUGCCUUUACUGUGUUAGUUUUCCACGUACCUAUUUCUGGUCGUCGUGGUUUGAAGGUACGUGGUCGUUGUGGUUCCUGGGUGUUGCCGAACCGUCCACAAGAAUGGUCUGGACUUUCUGGCGGUGUCCCAGACCAUCCGCGUCUAUGCGUCGGACCGUCCGCGAUGCACAAAAUAGGUGUACGCGCCUGGUCCCUUGCUUGCAUCCGCCCCCCAGCGUUGGAGGUGGUGAUGGUAACUUUCAAAGUCUCCCCUCCUUUAGGAGUCUUUUCCGCCACCACUUUCCUGUAAGAGAUUUUAUUAUUCUCAUUGGCCUUCCGCGCGUCGCCAAUGAUGACUUCUUUGCCUUUGCCCUUAUCGGCUGUGCUGGGCUAAAUUAGGACCUUUUUGCCCUCGAAGUCGAUCACAUUCAUUGGGAAGGGUUCCGUAUCCACCUGCAUUUCCUGAAAUUUCAAUCGUCCCUCGUUAAUGGCUGAUUGAAUUUGUCGUCGGAACACAUUACAAUCAUUAGUGGCAUGAGAAAAUGAGUUAUGCCACUUGUAGUAUGCACGGCGUUUUAGUUCGCGGCAGAUGGAACAGUAUGAUUUAUUUUAAUGUUGCCAUUUUUGAGUAAUUCAUCAAAUAUUUUGUCACAUUUGCCAACAUUAAAUGUAAACUUAACCUCCUCUUGUCGUUUCUUUUGAACCGGCUGUAAGGAGGAACAAGCCGAAGAUUUGGCCUGCUUUGGCCAAACCAUUUCAGCCGCGUAUACUUCUGUUGAUUCGUCAUCCGAGCUGCUUUGGUCUCGCUCUACUAUAUGCACGUUGUGAUGAACUGUUUUAGCAGUUUCUUUGCUUCGGCUUUCACAAGCCAAAGCUCUUUGAUGUAAUUGUGCUAGCGUAAAAAACUGGAAACCUUCUAAUCUUUCCUUUAAAUAAUAUCGUAGUCCAUUAAAGGCUAAUCCUGCUAGUUGUUUGAGUUAUGUGGUGCAUUACUAUUUGCCCUAUAUGGUUCAUAGGAUUGACCGUUCCUUUCCGGCCUUCUAAGCGGGGCCGGAAAGUACUCGCCCUCGUGGGCUUGGGAUUUUGUAUUAAGGUACAGGGGUGCCGUAGGAUAUGAUGGGAAGUUUUGCUGGGACGAAUUGGGAUCCAAGUAACAAUCCCCCUCAAAAAAUUAUGCGCCGGACUGUCUGGUUGGAUACGCGGAUCGUCCUGUGGUAUGCGCGGACUGUUCGGUCACGUGGCCGGACCGUCCGUUGUUGUAUGCGGACCGUCCGUCGCUAUAUGCGGACGGUCCGACUGGGUAGUUUAGGGUUUGUGCAGUACGUGGUUGCUCGGGCGCAUGUCUCGGUAACUCAGUAAAAAUGGGACCGGCCGUUGCUGGCCCGGACGGUCCGCGCUCACGUGUGGACGGUCCGGAUAUGUGCAAAUCAGCUAAUAUAUUGCUGAUGUAAAUAGGAGGUUGUGGUUGCUCGGGGUAUGUGUCUAUCAGUAUCCCAUAAAAGGGUUGUGAUUGGUCGUGACAACUUGUAGCCGAUGAAUUACACGUGUUUUCCCCCAAUUCAACCUCGUGCGAAGGAAAAUUUGCGACGGUAGAUUUAUCGAACACACGUACUAGCCUCCUAUAAUCCUUUUGCAUACCCCCUAUGAUAUUUUGCAUUUGGUCUCGCUUCUCAUCUAUAUAAAUUUUAAGAGAUUGGAGCUCGUUUGUGUUGCUUACCUCGGGGGUAGUCGUGGUAGGUCGAAGCGAAGCCAGAUCUGUCACCCAUUGCCGAACGACUUUGUUGUUCCUGUCCACCUUGAAGUUCACCAGGAACUUCGCCUUUGCUUCUUGGAUCAGCUGCUCUUUGUGCUCCUCAAACUGCAGAUGUUCAUCAGCCGACAAGGUUUCCCAAGUUGGCUCUAUGGUGUUGCUGGGGGAGACUUCAGAGUUAUCCCUUGAACCGGCCAUUGAGGGCCGAUCUGACAGGUCUAUAUGUGAUGUCCCCAGCAGAGUCGCCAAAAAGUAUGUUGACACCUUUUCGGGCACCAAUCACUAUAACAAGAACCGGCGGCGGUGCUCUCUACACAGGCGCGAACGGUCCACGGCUAGGGGCCGGACGGUCCAAGACCUGGCUGUCACACCCGGUUUUGGAAGGCAAACCGAAUGUGAACCAUGUACGUGCCAGGAUCAGAACUCACGUACACAGCGAUUACAUAAUUGGACAUCAUCACACAAUUGAAGCGUCCCCAAUCCUCUGGGACUCAAAUGUGAUACAAUUACUAGUCCCAGGAGGCUAGUAAACACAUUUAUACAUCAGAUGAUUCCAGAUAUGCUUAAAUGAGACAAACCUAUAAAUGUGACGAUCAACUUUAAGAGUUGGUCCACAACUCGGGACAUAUCAUCAGAGUAAGGCUGAAGCAGCCCGAUAUACGCAGCGAAGCAAAUCAGCGGUGCAACAGCCACAUGCAAGGUUGGGAACAGUCGUAACUCUUACCCGAUCUCCUUUUUCUGAAAAACAACAAAUAAGCAAGGGUGAGUACAAACGUACUCAGCAGCCCACCUUCACCCGUGGAAUGGGGAAAUCAGAUAUAAUGCAUGGAAUAUGUGGAGCUCAGGAUAUUUUGCAGAAAUAGCAAUAUUUUAUGCAGGGUUAUUUUGAAAAACAUUUUGUAUUUUUGCAAAGCGCAUCCUCUCCAAAAGAAGUAGGAAGUUUUUCAAUAUUAGAACAAAAUCCCCUGGACUAAACCAUCCAGGUAUCUCAGCAGUUUCCCACUGGUUUUCCUUUUCAAAAACAGCUACUGGACUUCCCGUCCACCAUAGCUCACGGCUCAACCGUCGAACCUUUUAAAACCAUUUUUCUCAAACGCACCCUUUUUUGAAAACAAAACAUUAAUUGCCAUACCAUACCAGACUCGUCCAUUCCUGUGGACACGGACUAUUCGAAUAGGUUUUCAAACUCUGCGCAGAGGUGUACACUUUACCCACUAGUCCGGCUCUGCGAUCUCAUAGCUAGCGAGACCCGAAUCCGAAUCUCUUUCUUUCCCCACACGUCCUAACCUUAACGGUUAUCCGGAAGGAGUCAGGCCGCCACCAUGUUCAAACCGGACAAAACUUUCCCCCUCCUUAUCCUCCCGGUGCUCCCCAGCCUUCAUAACCCUGGGGUCGGACCGCACGAGUUCAGAUUGAGUGACUGCCCACACAGUCUCGAGUGGUUGUACUAUUAAAGAGUACAGGUAGUGAAGAUGACAAAUCGGUCCUUAUAUGAGGGGACAAUCCUUCUGCUCACGCCUAAACCAGCUGAGCCAACACCUUAGGCCCUUCCCUAAACCAGGGAGUCCCUGAUUAUCCCACUCACAAGGUGAUAAGGGUGAAAACCCUUCAUCAUACACAUUUUGAAAAGCAUUUUCUUUUGAAAACUCACACCUUUUCUCAAAUCAUUUGGAACAUAUAUAUCAGGGAUUGAUUGUGGCAAGCGGCUUGGGUGGCCAUAAUAACUUGUCUCAAAAUCAUAUCAUGCAUAAAAUAACAGGCUGAGGGUUGUGGUUGAAAAAUCAUAGGUAAUUUAUGCAUCAAAGGGAUCCAGUGAGCUUGCCGUGCUUAUCCAGCGAAGGGGGAAGGAGAGCUCGCGGAACUGGCUUCUAGCUCCACCGCCUGGCGUAGACUUGCAGAUCUGGCCUCCACGAGACGGCACGAAUGCUUCGAUAACUAUGCAACAUGAAUAAGCAAACAUACAAACAAGCAUGUAUACCAACAAAUAUUUAGCAUAGUGGUCAGAAUAGUGAUAUAUGGAUGGGUAGAGUCUUGAGUAGAAUCUGUGUCAUGUGGUGUUGUGAUAUUACUGGUGGUGGAGCGGAGGUGCUUACGAGGAGGGUGGACUGGAGGCGAAGCGACACUAUGCGUGUAGCCGGCAGAGCAGAGUAACUGAGUGGGUGGGGUGUUUGCCUUGGCUGAGGGUGUUGAGUGUGUGUGGAGAGGGAGAGGGUAGCUGGGUGUAUGUGGUGUAGCACAGUGAAGUUCACUGUUGGUGAGAAUAGUGACGAAUGAAUCGUCUGACUUAGUAUGAACAGGAGAGUUAUAGGCAGAAUAUGGGACAAGAGUAUUUUGGGAGUUUUCUGGAAUAUGAACCAUGCUUAAGGGAUGGCAUGGUUGGAUAGGGAAUAGUUUGAUAAGAAUUUAGAAACGAGAAUUAUUGGAAUCUGAGUUUGGAAGCCUGGUUCGAAGGAAUCUCAAGUUAAGCGUGCUCAACUUGGAGAAACCUAGGAUGGGUGACCAGAUGGGAAGUUCCCACUGGAAGGAAAAUCACAGUUACUGGAGUUUGUAUAACUGGAAUAUGGGUCUGGCUGGUCUUAGGUGGACUGGACAACAUGAUGGAUGAGUAGUUGAAAUUUGGGGUGAUCGGAUGAUCGAUGAAUAGUAACGGUAAAAAGUAACGGUAAAUAGUGAGAGUAAAUAGUGACGGUAAAUAGUAACAGUAAAUAGUGACGGUAAAUAGUAACGGUGAAUAGUAACGAUGAAUAGUAACGGUGAAUAGUAACGGUAAUUAGUGAUGGUGAUUAGUUCGUAUGAACGAACGAUGAACGGUGAAUAGUGACGAUGAACGAACGAUGAACGAUCGAAUGAUCGAACGAACGAACGAUCGGAAUUUCGGCAGCAUAACGGCAGGAAAAAGAUUAUUUGGACGAACGAACGGACGAACGAUCGAACGAUCGGACGAAUGGAUGAACGAACCAUGAACGAUCGGACGAACGAUCAAACGAUCGGACGCACGAACGAUCGGAAUUUCGGCAGCAUAACGGCAGGAAAAAGAUUAUUUGGACGAACGAACGGACGAACGAUCGAACGAUCGGACGAACGAACCAUGAACGAUCGGACAAACGAUCGAACGAUCGGACGAAUGAACGAACAAACUAAGAACAGGGGGACGAACGAUCGAAGAACGACCGAACGAUCCUUGUGCUAGUGUGUGCAUGUGUGGGAAGUGGAGUGGGAGUGGGAGUGGGCGUGUGGGUGUGGGGGGAGAGAGUUGCCAUGAAAUGGCUUGGGGUGGGAUGAGAGGAGGCCCUUGCCCCUCUAUUUAUAGCCAUGGUGGGGUAUUAGGGGGAGGGAUGAGAGGAUUAGUGGGAGGAUGAGAGGAUUAGUGGGAGAUUAGCAUGGAUUUGUCUUAUAUGAGUGUAAUUAGCUUGUAGAGCUUACCGUAUGACACCGGAGGCAUACGUAUACGUAUGAGCAUGAAGAAAGUUAUGAAGAAAAUAUUUGUGGGGGCUUGAAAAAUGAUUCUGAAGGUAUUUCUUAGGAAGAAAAUACUUGGAGAUAUAUCGGUGGAAUAUUUGGGUAGUAUUUCUGAAAGAGUUUGAGGGUGAUCACUGGGGAAAUAUUUGUAGGAUAUUUUGAGGAGGAUUUUAGAGAGAAUAUAGACCACUAUACUUUAUUUGUUGAUAUCAACUCGCAAACAAACAUUUUGAAAUGAAAUUUGAAACUCAUUUUGAAUUUAGAGCGAGUUUGAGAAAAUUUCAGGAUUUGAAUUUUUGGGAUGCUACAACAAUGCUCAAAGUAAAUAGCGGAAAGAUACUUUAUUUACAUCAAGAUGUCCAAGACAUCCAUAGAGUCUAAUACAUAGCCAUAGUCUUCAACAUUAAUAUCAAAGUGCGGAAAUAUGAAACGUAGAGGGUAAGCCUACAUAGGCAGCUGACUGGGGGUUUGCCACUAAGAUAAACUAGAACUCAUCGUAGUCCUGGAACUCCUCAAAGUCCUCCAUGUUUCCAUCAUCUCCUCCUGAGCACUGAGUACAGUGGGGACAACCUGGGGUGAGGUGGUUUGUAAAGCAAGGGUGAGUACACAUCAAGGUACUCAACAAAUGUCCUGUUUGGCUAAAGUGGACUAGUUGUAUGUAGAGUUAAGGUUAAGAAGUUGCUUUUAGUUGGUCAAGUUUUUAUUACUAUAAGUAGAGCCAGAUUUUAGUAAUAAACCCAGUUAUUACCCAGAAGCACUCCCUCCAAGAGGAAAUACCAGAGAUCAAAAUUAUAACCAUCAUUGCCAACCAUCAUCAUAAAAGUAACCAAAGUUCUUCUAAUCAAAGAGGAUCCCAAGGCCACUCUUAACCGUGAGCAUGGCUGAUAUACCAGUUUCUAACACUGUGCAGAGGUCGCACACUUUACCCACAAGUCGUGAUUCUCAUUCUGCUCGGGGUUCUAGCCUCCCCAUUGAUCACUACCAAGGUGACCUAGCAGGGUCUCACUAUGUAGCCUUUACAAAGAUUUCCCAGAGGUCAUAGUCGCCCGUUAGGUUUCUCUAGUUUGAUAAAUACAGUACAUCUCCCCAAAGGAAGGGUGACUAACAAAACCAAAUCAAGAACCUCUGCAACCAGCCUCGGCAGAGAAAGAACUGUGCCCAGACCCCCAAUGAUGGCCCUACGGCGAAGCCAAAUACUUCUCUGGUUCCUCUAAUUAAUUAGCUAAGGGCGUCCAAUUCCACCCUCAUGGUUGCACUGUUAUCCCGGGUUGUCACUCCCCAAACAGGUCCUUACGGAGAGGUACUCAGGAAACAGCCUGAGUCCCCUAAAGUAUCACAAGAACAUCAUCGGGAUAACAUCAUCGUAUCAUAAUAUUCACAUCAUGUUCAUUGAUUAAAGUAAAGCAAUAGCAUAAAGCUAAUAAUGAUAACCCAAAAGGUAAACAAGGGUAAGGUAAAUACAGACUAGUCAAUCCUUAGGUUUCAAUAAUGUAAUGUAGGACGGUGAAUUAUAAGUAUGUAGGACAUAAUAGGUCAGAGGACACUUGCCUUCACCAGGUUGUUGCACAGAAAGAUCUUCAGCAACACACUAAGGAACCACGGACUACUCGUUGUCUAAAUAAAGCGAUCAUGUAUUCAAUACAUUUGGUAAAUGACAAAUAAACAACACAUCAAUCAUGUACAAACAUGGGAACACAUCUCAAAAGAAAAGCAUAAACCCAAAAGGGAAAUCAAAUUAUAGGUGAACUAAUUCUCAUUUAGUAGUUAAUUAUUCCCUAAGUACUGUCAAUGAUUACAUAAUCUAAUUUAAUUACUUUCAAUGAGACAUAAAAAUUAAACCAAAGAUAAAUUCAUGUACUACACACUAUUAAUCCUACAAGAUUAAGUAUACUUUAAUCUCUAGGGUUUCCCUUUUAUUUAUUUUAUUAAAUGAAUAAAUCUACACAUAUACUAGUUCAUAGUUAACCAUAAAAAUUAGAGUGUGCAAGUAGUAAAUGUAACUAAUUUAUUUAAACAGAGAAUAUUCCUAUGAAUAUUUUGCAAUUUGAAUCACUAAAUUUGGAGUUCAUAUGCAAAAGAUAUGAAAUAAACAAGUUUGGAAAUUUAGAAUAUGAAAAUAGGUCUAAUUCUGUAAUUAUUUAAAAGCCAAGGGUUCAAUCUGCAGGAUUGCAGGGGCCUGCGUGCGAAAACCAGGGACGGCGGGUUGAUUCCCAACAAACCGAGGGUUUCUUACGCAAAAUAAUCACGCGAAGGGGUACGGGAUCUACUCAAUCGUCAGAUCUAAAACUAACGGCUAAGACUAGAUCAGCGGGCGAGGGCGCGCGCGGGCGAGCGAGCGCUGACAGGUGGGCCAGCGGUGUCAGCGAUCGAGAAGAGGGCGGACUGACCGAUUGGGCCCAGUGCCAGGGGGCACAGGGCUGACAGGCAGGUCCGGACGUGGGGCGCGCGUGCACAAAGCGGUAUCCCGUGAUCUAGGUCGUGCGAUAGAGAUCAGACAGGGAGAUCAAAGCCGGGGAGGGGUUAACGACUGCGGCGGCGCCGCUCCUUCUCGCGGCGGUGAGGUCGCCGGAGUUGAGGCGGGUGCGAGCUAUGGCGGCUCCGAGGUCGCCGGAGCCAGCCAAAAACGAAGGGGAAGGCACGACGAACUCACUGGUAGGGUUGUGACCGUGAGACCGGGGUCAGAGAGGGGAGAAUGGCUGAAGGAGGACUCCGGGCGGGUCGGGGUAACUCCGGUGAGGGAUUCCGGCCACGGGGAGGGGGUCUGAGGCGCGCUAAGGCCUGGACUAACUUCAGCAGGGUGAGGGGAACACCAGGCGACUGGACGACUGGCGUGGCAGGUGCGGGUCUCUAGUGAGGUCGAAUGGCGUGGGCAGAUCGCAAGAGAGGGCAAGGCUAUGCGAAAUGGGACGGGGGAGCGAGUGCGGGUGCGGGCGGUGCUCAAAAAGGAGAUGGGGUGCGUGGGUGGGCGACAUGGCCGGGGAUCUCGGCAUGCGUGCGCGAGUGCGCGCGUGUUGGUCCACGGCGGGCGCGGUGAAGGCGGAGCUGACAUGGCGGUCCCACGGCGCAGCGAGAGAGAGCGGGCGCGCGGGGGUAACGGUUCGGCACACUGACGAGACGGGCCAGCGAGGCAGAGGGGAGAGGGGCGCAUGGGUGAAGGCAACUAGCGCCGAUAGCCCGACCCCAUUGGGCAGAGAGAGGGAGAGAGAGAGCGUGUGGGGAAGGGAACCGCCGCUGACAGGUGGAGCCCACCUGUCAGGCGGCACGGGCGCACGGCCUGGCUGGGCCGAGCUGGGCCGGCUGGGCUGCUUUGGCCUUUUCAUUUUUCCUGGAAUUUCUAUUUGCUUUUCCAUUUCUUUUUUUCUAGGGUUUUCAAUUCAAAUUCGAAUCAAGUUUCAAAUUCAAACUAAUACAAACAUGUGCAACAAUUCAAAGAAUAUUUAAGGUCAGCAUGAUGCAACAUGUCAUGACUCACAAUGUUUUGGCAAAAACAAAUAAUUAAUCUCUCCUAAUUAAGCUAACUCUACUCAAAAGGGAAAAGGAGAGAGAGAAUCUAGAGAUAGAUAGAAACUAGAGAGAGAGAAGAGUAACACCUGAAUUUGGGUGAUAAUUAGAAAGAAAUUUUAUACCCCCAAAUUCAGGGUGUUACACUGGCGCAGGGCUAGGGUUCCUUAUCUGACGUGCCGGACGGUCCGCGCCCUAGGGCCAGACGGUCAGAGCGUGCGCAGGGGCGCCGAAGGUCACCGGCGGCGCCUGGAUCUCGCUCCCAGAAGGGACCCCAUCGGGGAGGAGAGACCGAGAGAUCAUAGGUGUUGUCUAGGCUCAGCAGGCCGACCUAGACUCCUCUGAUCGACAUAGAGUCAAGGAGAAGCAGAGGAUUUGGGGAUUGGGAGACUAAACUAGAACUAGACUAGAACUACUCAUAAAUGUACAAGAAAUAAAUGUGAGAUAAAUUGAUUAUUGAUUCGAUUGAUGAUGUUUAAUCGGUCGUAUUCCUCUGUAUUUAUAGAAUAGGGGGGCUGGACCCGUUACGAACAAAUCUCCCGAGUUAUUUCAGUGAAUCUAGCCAACAACAAUAGUGAGAAACUCGAAACCCUAAUUGACUCUGCGCACGCGUGGACUAUCCGGACCACCAGUGCGGACCGUCUGGACCGCGGACCAUCCGGCCGUCUCUUUUGGGGCUCAACAUAGCGCGCGCAGAAGAAUCGCGCAGGAGAUUAGGGCCACGACGGUGGCUGGGUGGGGGGAGGUCCACGACGGCAGCCGACCAGGGAUGAGUGACGGCGGCUGGGGUGGGGGAGGGUCGCGACGGCGGCUAGAAAAUUAGUGGAACCCUAAUCAUAACCUCCUUUGUUACCAUGUUACUAACCUUGGGAUUGACAAUAGAUGAUUAGUCCCUAAGGACUAUAUGUUAUAUAUAUAGGCAGUAGGCUAGGGUCUAAUGGGCCUUAACAAUGAGUACCUCAUCUGAAGGUACUGUGAUCAUACUGAUCAAGCAUUGGUUUUAGUUUAGAAUUGUUAGAUCAAGAAUUGGUUUCAGUUUGGUACUUUGGUUUCAGUUUAGAGUACCUCAUUUGAAGCUACUGCUGUUUGAGAAUUGAGACUUUGAGUCUACUAAUUGAUGCUUUGAUUACCUACUGUUGUAGUGUUGUAGUUCUAGGACCCUGUUUGAAGUAUAGUGCAUAUAACUAUAUAUAAUUAUAUAUGUCCUGAUUAGUACAGGGCGUUUAGGACGAUCAGUCACCGAUUAAUCGUCCUGGUCAACGUCCUAAUCGUGAUUAGUCGCCUAAUCGGUCACCAUCAACGACCUGGUGACUAGGCGACUUGAAAUCCAUGCACUUCAUCUUCUUCCUCCCUCUCAUAUUGACCAUCAAAUCCCACAUUUCAUACAUUAAGUGAAUACAUGGUGUGUUGGUGCCCACCAUACCUAUCAUUUCAUAUAUAGUAGUAAUCCUAAGAAUGUAGUUCACCUCAUCCCACCGUACAUCACUAAGUAUCCUGUCCUUCACAAGUUGGGCAGUUGGAGCAUCAUCUCUGUAGACUGUAGAUGCUGAUUGUUGGAGGGUUGUUUUUACUUCAACAAACUGUUUCAACAUACAUACAAUUGAGGCAAAUCUUGUUUCAUGAAUCGAAAGUAACUUCAAAAGGCUAAACUCAUUGAACAUUAAAAGCUGCAUGCCAAUUAUUUAUCAUAGCAGCCUCAGUUUUAAAAUAGCAAGAUCGAGGGUAUGCACAACAUGUGGUGUCCAAAAUAUGUUAUCAUAUUCAUCUUCUAUUACGACCCCAGCACCUUUGCAGUUUGCGGUGUUGUCUGUAAUGAUUUGUACCGCAUUGUUGACCUACUUCAAUAACACCCCCAACUUAUCAGCAAUGUAUUCUUUUGAUUUGUAUUUACUCACCUUGACAAUUAUCAGCCCUCAAGAACAAUGAUGCCUUCUCAGAAACAGCAAUAAAAUUAAUGAUUGGUCACCUCUGUGGAUCCAACCAACCAUCAGUGCAGAUUGUGACUCCCUUCUCUGCCCAUAUCCUGUAGCUCCACCUGUUCCUGCACCAACAUCGUCUAUGCCACAUGUGGUAGCAGGUGGUGCAUCUACAAUGUCUCCUAUGCAGUUUGUAGGAACUCCAGGCACUAAUAUGCCAAAGAAUGACAUGAGAAAUGUUAUGGACAAUAGAAAAAGGAAGUAUGCACCACCCCCGUUGCAAUCAUUCAACAGUCAUUUUAUGAAGUUAUUUGUACAUGCAUUGUUUUCUUUCCUUGCUAUUUUGUCUGUGCUAUGAAAUCAUUGGUGAACUAUUAUUUUUGAAGGACAUGAUCCAAUUCAGUUUGAUUUAUGGCCACUCUUCCAAUAUAGAUCAUGAAGAUUCUCCUUUCCUUACAGGAAAGAUGAUUGAGACUCUCAACAUGUUUUUUAGGGAAGCUAUAUCCACUUCCCCAUUCACUCUGGUUGCUCUUCUUCAUUGAUGAUGGUGGAGAAAUACUUCUACUUUACUACUCUAAUCUUUGGCCCAUUAUCCCAGUAAAAUUUAUCUGAAGUUCUGUCAACAAUGCAUAUUGAGUCAAGUGUUAUUCGUCCCAUUGUGCAAAUAAAGACUGGAUAAAGACUAGUCAAUUGAAAUGUGAACGUCAUGUAGCUGUGACUGAAUCUGCAUAUUUCUUUAGAGCUUAUAAAUGUGAUAUGAAUGUUUCAUAAAACUAUUGUUUGGCUGAUGAUAUGUAUACAUCUUCGUCGCAGGAUGGGCUAAUUGAAAUUCUUGCAACUUUUCAACGGACACUGCCGAAUUCGAGCACAGUUGCUGCCUCUGGAGCCUUAUUAUUUCAUUUUGUUUUAGUGCUGGUUAUUUGGCCAAGUAGUUGAGGGUUCGCGAGUUUUUAGAAUGGAAGCUUCUGUGUGAACAUAAGGUUGACUUAUUCCUUGUGGUUCGGGUUGAUGAUAAGUGAUUGUCAAUGGGUAGCACUCUGGGAUAGUCAGUGGACUGAUCAGAGUGUGAGAUUAUGCUUGUGCAACCAUGUCGGUCGACUUGUGGUGUGCAGGUGUGGAGCACAGUAACGGUGGUCGAUGGCUGAGGUGAAGGUCAUGCGAGCUCGUGCUGAUGGACCGGGAGCGGUGAAGGGCGAGUGUUGGGUCUUGACUGACGGAUCAGAGCAACCAGGUGACCAACCAUGGUGGCUGACACCUAGGACACGCACUUGUGUGAGGACGUGGUGGAGUGGACCGUGUUGCCGGCGUGGUCGAGGACUGGCGGGACACGCGUCUAAUCGUGGAGGACGUGCACGAGGUGCGGUGCUCAUGGCAGGUUUAUUGGUUUGGGCCUCAAAACCACCCAGCGCUACGGAUGGCUGAUUUUGCUGAGUUUGGGCCUCAAAACUCGGCGGUGGCGGUUUCAGAGGGAACUAGUGGCGGCACGCGGUAUGAUCGCGGAGGGUGCGUCAAGGCGAAGCAACUCCGUGUGAAGGACGUGGCCGUCGGAUCGAAAACUUAGGAGUUGGUCCAUUUUGCCCCCCGGUGGAGUGGAUAAGCUAUAUAUAAAACAAUUAUAAGUGAUAAAAUACCUCAAGCAAUGCAAUUUCUUUUGCCAUCUGAAAGUAAUUGAAAGUCGCCUAGAGGGGGUUAAUAGGCAAAUCUGAAAUUUAUAAACUUUAAGCACAACUACAAGCCGGGGUUAGCGUUAGAAAUAAAGUCGAGUCCGAAAGAGAGGGCGAAAACAAAUCACAAGCAAAUGAAGAGUGUGACACGGUGAUUUGUUUUACCGAGGUUCGGUUCUUGCAAACCUACUCCCCGUUGAGGUGGUCACAAAGACUGGGUCUCUUUCAACCCUUUCCCUCUCUCAAAUGGUCACCUAGACCGAGUGAGCUUUUCUCCUCAAUCAAUUGGGACACUUAGUCCCCACAAGGACCACCACACAAUUGGUGUCUCUUGCUUUGAUUACAAAUGUCUUGGAAAAAAGAAUGGGGAAGAAGAAAAGCGAUCCAAGCGACAAGAACUCAAAUGAACACAAAUAUCUCUCUCUCACUAGUCACUAUUUGUUUGGAGUGAUUCCGGACUUGGGAGAGGAUUUGAUCUUUGCUUUUGUGUCUUGGAGUGAAGUCUAGAGCUCUUGUAUUGAAUGUGUUGGCUGAAAAACUUGGAUGCCUUGAAGUGUGGUGGUUGGGGGGUAUUUAUAGCCCCAACCACCAAGGUGGCCGUUGGGAGGGGCUGCUGUCGAUGGGCGCACCGGACAGUCCGGUGCGCCACCGGACACUGUCCGGUGCGCCAGCCACGUCACCCAACCGUUAGGAUUCGACCGUUGGAGCUCUAACAUGUGGGGCCACCGAACAGUCCGGUGGUGCACCGGACAGGUAUUGUUCACUGUCCGAUGCACCUUCUGGCGCCUGCUCUGACUCUGCGCGAACUGUCCGCACACUGUAGCAUUGUCAGCCGACCGUUGAACUCGACCGUUGCGCUGGCGACCGUUGCUCCGCUGGCACACCGGAUAGUCCGGUGCUACACCGGACAGUCCGGUGAAUUAUAGCGGAGUGGCUCCCUAAAACCCCGAAGCUGAGCAGUUCAGAGUGGAUCUCCCUGGUGCACCGGACAGUCCGGUGCGCCAGACCAGGGUAGCCUUUGGUUGGUUUUGCUCCUUUCUAUUUGAACCCUUUCUUAGACUUUUUAUUGGUUUGUGUUGAACCUUUGCCACCUGUAGAACUUAUAAUCUAGAGCAAACUAGUUAGUCCAAUUAUUUGUGUUGGGAAAUUGAACCACCAAAAUCAUUUAGGAAAAGUUUGACACUAUUUCCCUUUCAGUAAUCAAAUAAGCCAUUAUUUAUAUUUCUGCAGAACUGGGAACUAAUUCUGGUGUUGUAGAUGAGGUAAUACUUGAUCCUUGAACUCCAAGCCCAAGAUUCACUUGGGAAGAUAUAUAGGAAUUCUGUGAAUUAAACUACAUAAAUAAAUUGAUCAGUGUGCAAAAGAAAAAGAAGUAGAACCACAAAAAGGCAUUAGGUGAAAACAAGCGAGUAUUUUUUUACAGAACUAUUCUACAAUGGAAAAAAAUACGGGCAACACAUUUGGAAACUUAUUUCACAGAAAUACAAUGUUUGUUUGCUCUUCUGUAUCACAACUAUAUUUUGAAUAAUGUAAACUACGUCCAUUGUCAUUUUAAAUCAGAAAAUAGACCUCUUAAAGAAUUUGUAUCGAAACCUAAACUUAUAUCAUCAUCCCAUUUCACAAACCUACACAUUUCAAAGUGCAGCUUGAGACAUAGAAUGAUGAAAAAAGCAUAGUUCGUUAUACAAAUUGCCAGGAGAAUAGUUCUGUAAUAUGAGAGCACAAUGGGAUUGUUAUGAAAUUAAUAGUAGCUUUGAGAUGAAAAGGUACAAGAAAUUUUAGUGCUACAAAACAACUUUGUAAAAAUGCAGUUUUGCAAUUGGUGCUUACCAUGUGUCGAGGUUAGCCUAGUUUUGUGAUUGCUAGGAGAAUCUUACUAAUCAUGGGCAGUCCCCAUUAAACCACGAUCACAUAUAAUCUUUAGCUUCCUUAUUUUGUAAAAGGGAAUAUAUUCAUAGCCCAACCAUCCUUUUUCUUCAAAGAUGCUGCAAAUCUGCCAAGGUUAGCACUCAUAUCCAUAAUGUUUCGAAAGGAAUCCUUUUGUAUCUCAGACUCCAUAAGCUUCCAGUACUGAAUUACUCUUGAAUGCCAAAUCUCAUGCAUGCGUGAAGUCAUCUAGGAACAGCUUGCUCUACAAGUUGUCGAACAUGUGCCUCAAUAGGUUCCUACAAAUAAAAAGAUUCAACGUCACCACAGAAUGAAGUAGCGCUUCAGCUCAAUGAAUCCAUAGAAUUCUUGGACUAGAUUUCCCCCUCCUUAGGAUUUUUGGUUCUUAGGUUGGGGCAACAUGAUGGGGGAAAAGAUGGAUUUUUUAGAGCCGUGAGCUUACUUGAACAUUAUGAUGGCGCUAAUGAAGGUUGGCUAGAGGGCGGCGCCCUAGAAAGUGGCAAAGGAGAGGACGUGAGCCAGCUUGGUGGAUGUGACGGAGCCUACGCCGAAGGGGGGAAUCAAGAGCAUCAGAGACGAAGAGUUGGCACGCAGCAAAGAAGAACACCGCCGCUAGGAACCAUGUCACCCACCCCAUCGCUCGAAUCUAUGGAAUUUUUGGACCAGAUUUUCACCUUAGGUUUUUUGCUUCUUAGAUUGGGAUAAGAGGACGGGGGGAGAAAGAUGGGGGUUUUAGAGCCGGGAGCUUACUUGAACAUCAUGAUGGCCCAUCGCUGAGCCUGGAAGGCUUGGAGCAGGGAACGCCAGCGGCGACAGCAAGCCGCGAGGGGGAAGCAGUGGCGUGGGAGGGAGAAAGGUACAGGAAGGAGAGGAGAUAAGGAUGGCAUGGGGAGAGAGUGUUCGAUGGUAGACGGACGCGACUAGCCGCUCAGAGCUAAAAUUUAGGGAAAUUUCGGGUCCAAGCGACUAUCACAUGUCGCCUGAUGGAUGGCGGGGAAGCCGCCGAAUGCGGUCGGCGCAGCAAAACGGGUGAGAUUUUAAUAUCUCCGAUGUUUCAGCGUAUUGGCAGCAGGAAAUAUGUAAUGUUCAUAAACUAUACAUAUGCCCGUUGGCCCCAAUACAAAGUUGACAUUUUGGCAAUAUUCUGUUCAUACAAAACAACUUACAUGUUUCUGCAUUUUUACACAAAUAACUUAAAAGAAUGUUGACUUCAAACAAAACGAAGCUAUCCAAUGUUACUCGGUUCAACCUGUCUCUCGCGUUCGCCAAUACACGUUUACAAGGGAAAAUAUAUGGUGGAAACCACUUGUUGGAAUCAUAAAAACUAGUUCAAGAAAUAUACUUCAUAACUAUUUUUUAAAACUUGACACAAAUCUACUCACAUAUAAAAGCUGGGAUAAAAAAUUAUUUUUGAAAAUUCAUACUAAAUCAGAAAUUUUAGUUGUAUGUGCACUGCGAGACAAAAAAAUCUAGAUUUUUGUCUUCUAGUAUACAUGCACAGAAGUUGUGUUAUUUUCAUAUGAUUUUUUUUUCAAAAAUGACUUUGCAUCUCAAUUUUUGGGUGAGUUCUGUAUGGAUGAACUACAUAUGUGUUAAGUUUUAAAAAAAUCAAGUUACAAAAGUGUACUUGUUAGGUUCCAAUUUAUAAUUUAUUUAACUUUAUCGACACCAACUUUAUCGGCUCGUCUUAUUCAAAAAAAAUAUAAUUAUUGUGGUAUUGUUUAGCACAUAAUAUACUUUAAUUAUGGUUUUGGAUUUUCAAAAUUUCAAAAAAAAAAUGACUAAGAUGAGUCAGUCAAAAUUAGUGUCAAAAAGUCAAAUGAAUUAUAAAUUAGAAUGGAGGAAGUAAUUUUUUAAACUAGUUUCCAUACAUCCAUGCAUGUCAACCCUAUCAAUCGUUGAAAGCUGACCUCUCUUCUUUCUUGGGCAGCUGGGAUGGUGAUUGAUCCUCCGAAUGCUCCUCCGGGCCUCCAAUUACAUCCCGACAUCAGGAGCCUAAAAAUGGCCAAAUGCGCCACUAUAAAGAGGGGAACCUCGUUGCACCGAAGAAAUCACCGUACCAUUAUGGCUAGUUCGUGGAUGGCGGCGCCACGACCUCUCCUAUUGCCGCUGCUGGUCGCCAUGCUAGCGGUGGUCGCCGAUGUCGCCAACGCCGGCCACGCCAAGCCCCUGACGCCUGGCGGGCGCGUGGUACACGACAACCACGGCAAGUUCACGGCCGGGCCGUGGAAACCUGCCCACGCGACCUUCUACGGCGGGCGGGACGGGUCCGGCACCACGGCGGGCGCGUGCGGGUACAAGGACACGCGCGAGCAGGGGUACGGCGUGCAGACGGUGGCUGUGAGCACGGUGUUGUUUGGCGAUGGCGCGGCCUGCGGCGGGUGCUACGAGGUGCGGUGCGUGGACAGCCCCAGCGGGUGCAAGCCCGACGUGGCGGCGCUGGUGGUGACGGCGACCGACCUGUGCCCGCCCAAGGACAAGUGGUGCAAGCCGCCGCAGGAGCACUUCGACCUCAGCAUGCCCGCGUUCCUCCAGAUCGCGCAGGAGAAGGCCGGCAUCGUGCCCAUCUCCUAUCGCAGGGUGGCGUGCGCGAAGCAGGGCGGCAUCCGGUACACCAUCACCGGGAACAAGUACUUCAACAUGGUGACGAUCACCAACGUGGGCGGCGCCGGCGACAUCGCGGCGGUGUCGGUGAAGGGGAGCAAGCGCGUCAAGUGGACGGAGAUGAAGCGCAACUGGGGGCAAGUGUGGCAGACCGGGGAGGACCUCACCUGCGAGUCGCUGACGUUCCGGGUGAUGACUAGCGACCACCGCAAGGCCACCUCAUGGCACGUUCUCCCCGCUGACUGGAAGUUCGGCGUCACGUACCAGGCGUCCAAGAACUUCUAAGUAGCCACUUUCCCUCCUCUUCUUCAACCUGCAUGCCCGCAAGCAGCCAUGCAGAUUAUAACAUGCAUCAUGCAUGCAUAUUCAUUCUUUCGCUCAUGCACUCCGAUACGGUGCCAGAGUUAAAAAAUGUAAAUCAAUAUGCAAAUUCAAAUUACAUCUUAACCAGUUGUGAUCAAUCUUUAUAAAUUCGUAAUAAAUUCAUCUUAGCUUAGAAAAAUAUGAAAC
This 124342-nucleotide long non-coding RNA is filed under the name Zea mays. Its description in RNAcentral is "long non-coding RNA (ZMAY_LNC005315)". Lineage: Eukaryota; Viridiplantae; Streptophyta; Magnoliopsida; Poales; Poaceae. The record is from RNAcentral.